CUCAUCCAGGGAGCAGUCAUAUGGCUCCUCCACCUCCCCCAUCUCCAAAGAGCCAUCCACCUCCAUCUCCAAACACUGAUUUGGCUCCUCCUCCACCACCUCCAUCUCCAACGAGCAAUCCACCUCAACCGACACAGCCGCCUCCAGGACCGUGUGUGGAAGUGAGGUUGUACAAAGGGCCAUGCGUCAACAUACUUUGCGCGGCCGCCUGUGUCGCGGAGUUCCAUCAGGGUGGCCACUGUCGUGGGAAUAUUUUUUCUGGUGGUUGCUAUUGUUUCUCGUGCUCCGUAGCAAAGUCUAGCCCACGAUUACAUUGAUGUGAAACAUGCGGAAUGUGGCUUGAGUUUUCUAUUGGUUCAAUCAAAUAAUAAAGGAAGUGGUUGUUAUAGUGUUUCACUUUUUAUGAAAAAUUAAUGAAUGGGGCUUUUCCCUUUUUGGAGUGUCUAGAACGGGUUUGACCCCUCUACGGUAAUGUUUCUAGGGGAAUAUUCAAGAUCCACGCCCAACGGUUGAAUUAUCUUCUUCGUUCCGGCAGAAACUAUAUUUUAGCUUGUGGGAGAUUCAACCUGUUGUUCAAACCCCUGUUUUGACCCAACGCAUCGAAUGCCGACAAGUUUUUCUUAUGCUGAUUCACUGCAUCAUUAAUCACGAAUAUGUGCUUUAAAUUUGACAGGACAACCCAGUUAAAAAUCUGGAAUAAUAGUAAAACAAGAAACAAUUCUGCUGCUAAUAGUCCGCUUAUAUAGCACAUAUAAAGGCGACAUGGAAGCUCACAUGCUCUUGGGUGAACAGUAAAAGACAAAAAAUAAUUAAAAACUGAAAUAAAAAUGUUAUUGAGCAUUAAUGAUUUUUCCAUGGGCGUGCAAAUUUUUAUGAUAAAAUCAUGUCUGUGGAGGUGCCGGCAAAAAAACAAAAUUAGUGAUCCAAAAAGAGUGUUUUUAAAGCAUUUUAAGUAUUGAUUUUUUUUUUUGCUGAAAUAUCCACAAAUGUGAUUCUAUUGCGAAAAUUUGCAUGCAUGUAGAAAAAUCAUCAAUGUUUCUUGACAAAGCAAAAUCAGAUAUUUUUUUAAUUUUUUAAUAUUAACUGGAUUUACUGUAUCUCAGAGCAUGUGAACUCGAGCUCACAAUAGCACUUCCGAUGUAAAAGUGCAUCAUACUUCUCCUCUUCACUUAAAAAAUGAGAUUUCAAAAUUCUGGAUGAGUCACAAAGAUGUUAGACUUCCUUCAGGAGACCCAGAAGUCAGCCAGUCUAUAAGAGCAUCUCUAGCAGACCCCUUAUAAGGCUAGACCUUAUAAGGUGUUUACAGUUUGCGGCCUCGCUCAGAUAAUGGCCGAAAACAGGUCCAGCAGAACAGAAACCUCAAAUGGACCUUUAAAUUUUGAAAAUAAAAUAUCUCGCCAGAGAAGAACACAAGCAAUAGAACUAGGUGCAUCAAUACAUACUUGAUCAUCCAUACAUAGUUGAUUUACAUAUACUAGAUUGGAGGAGGCCGCCUACCACAAACUCUAAUGCCCAAAAUGUAGCUCAUCGGACCCCUCCGGGUGCGGCGGCGACGCUGUGGCAGCGAAGAUCAUCAGUCGUCGUCAUCGGAAGUAAGGUCGACGAAGAUGGCAUCCUGUGCGGCGGCUUCGCGGCGCCACACGACCAUGUUGUCGUCGAAAUCGCGCGCCCUUGCAAGCCCCUUCUCGUACAGGACGGUGUGAAGUUCCUCGUCCCGAUGGCGGCACUGCGCGCGAGGAUGGCCGCCCCGAUGGCGUCCGCAUCGGAAGGGCGCAGGAAAUCCUCUGGUGUGACGCCCGGAUAAUUAGGCUACAGUAAUCAUGUGAUAACGAUGCCAAAUCACCUCGGUUACUGUUGAUGAUCUUGCAUUAGUUCGAAACAGAUUCGAAUUACAGUUAAGACAAUUAAAGUUUUCAAAAGUCAAAACUAAAAUAUUCCGUUUGCGGCAAAUAAUCCAUACAUUACUUUGAUGAAGAAACCACAUUUUUAUAAUAUAAUUAAAUGCUCUAAGAUAAGUAAAACAGUGGUUGAAACAAUUAUUUUAACGUCUCUUAAAUGAUUAAAUUAUUGCAAACCACUUUUUAUAUUCAAAAAUAAUUGUGGCAGAGGUAUAACUACUAUUACUAAUUUAGGUGUUAGUAGAUUUUUUAAACCUAGAUUUGAAAAGAAAAGAAACUAAACUAAAAUAGAAAAAAGAAAUAAAAGAACAGAAGAACAAUUCAAAAUUAAAGUUACAGAAAAGGGACCCCCCUGGCCAACUGGGCCGAACUGCCCAGCAGCCCAGCCCAUUAGCACAACCGGCCCUCUCUCACUCCACCUUAUCCCCCUCGACAGCCAAACCCUAGCGGUUCGACCGCGCACUCCCCCCANNNNNNNNNNNNNNNNNNNNNNNNNNNNNNNNNNNNNNNNNNNNNNNNNNNNNNNNNNNNNNNNNNNNNNNNNNNNNNNNNNNNNNNNNNNNNNNNNNNNNNNNNNNNNNNNNNNNNNNNNNNNNNNNNNNNNNNNNNNNNNNNNNNNNNNNNNNNNNNNNNNNNNNNNNNNNNNNNNNNNNNNNNNNNNNNNNNNNNNNNNNNNNNNNNNNNNNNNNNNNNNNNNNNNNNNNNNNNNNNNNNNNNNNNNNNNNNNNNNNNNNNNNNNNNNNNNNNNNNNNNNNNNNNNNNNNNNNNNNNNNNNNNNNNNNNNNNNNNNNNNNNNNNNNNNNNNNNNNNNNNNNNNNNNNNNNNNNNNNNNNNNNNNNNNNNNNNNNNNNNNNNNNNNNNNNNNNNNNNNNNNNNNNNNNNNNNNNNNNNNNNNNNNNNNNNNNNNNNNNNNNNNNNNNNNNNNNNNNNNNNNNNNNNNNNNNNNNNNNNNNNNNNNNNNNNNNNNNNNNNNNNNNNNNNNNNNNNNNNNNNNNNNNNNNNNNNNNNNNNNNNCCACGGCCACCUCGUCGUCGUCCUCGCCGUCUCGUUGGACGCCAUGGCAGGACUGCCUCCCCGUCGUCCUCUCUGUCGCCUACUCGUCCCCGUCGUCGCUCGCGUUGUCCUUAUCGACCUCCUCCCCGAGCACCGUUGCCCGAAACCCUACAUCCCCCGGUGAGGACCCCGGUCCUCCUCUCUCCCUCGCCCCGCUCACCUGCCGCGUCGCCCGCGCCUGCACGCUCAGUGCCACGCCGGCCGCGUCGUCGUUUCCCGACCCCACCUCGGCUACUCGCCUUCGCCGUCAUGCACGCCGGCUGUGUCGGCCCCGGACAUCCCCUACUGCUGCACCCUGUGGCCGCCGGCGCACCGUCCAUCGGCUCCCCUGCUGCCCUACCCUACGGUCGCCUCCACAGCUCCCUCACGCGACCUUGCCAUCCUCUGCUGCAGUCCUGUACUCGGCCGGCCUCGUCGGUGCCGUUCGCGACUAGCCUCGCCGCGGCCCCGGUCAACGCCCGACGCCGGCGCCCGUUGGCGGCCGCUCGGCCCUCGCCUGGUCAGGCAUCGCUAGCGCCCAGCGCCCGCUAAGGCCCUGAGCCAAUGACCAGUGGGGCCUCGGCCCUGAGGACAAAAAAAGGGGAAAAGAAAUAAUAAAAAUAAAAAUACUAAAUAAUUAAUUAAUUAGCUAAGUUAAUUAGCUUAAUUCAUCAUGUUUAAUUAACCUAAGACAUCCAUUAAUUAAACUAACUAGGUUUAUUAGUUAACAGUCUAUGACAAACUGACCCCACACGUCAGUUUGACUAAGUCAACAGCCGGUUGACUACCGACAUCAUGCUGACAUCACGUGACGUCAUAAUUACACAUUCUAGUUAAAUUAAUUCAUUUAAUUCAAAAAAUGAAUUAUUUUUUUUAAAAUUAAUAUAAAAUUUGUACAUGAAAGUUGAUCAGAAUGAUGAGACGAAUUCAGAUACACAGCCUGUUCGUCCGUCACGCGUCCCUAGCAUAGUAAACCCGCAACUUUCCCCCUCCGUUUCACCUGUCCAAAAACGCGAAACACCGGUGAUACUUUUCUAGAUGUUUCCCCCUUUCGCUGGUAUCACCUACUACCGCGUUAGGGCACACCUAACACCGCUCAUUGUCAUGUCUUGCUUCGUCAUGCUUAUGUUCGCAUUAUAUUUAUUGUUUCAUCCCCCUCUUCUCUCGGUAGACUACGAGACCGACGCCGCUGCUACCCAGUACGACUAGGGAGUUGUCGACCCCUCCUUCUUGUCAGAGCAUCCAGGCAAGGCCCCCCUUUGAUCACCAGAUAUCGCCUAUUCUUCUCUCUGCUUCUUGCAUUAGAUUAGUGUAGCCUGAUAAUGUUCGGUUACUCCUAUUCUGUUGCAUAGCCUGUCAUUGUUGCUAUAGUCAUUGAUACCUUACCCGCAAUCCUAAAUGCUUAGUAUAGGAUGCUAGUUUAUCAUCAUUGGCCCUAGAUUCUUGUCGGUCUGCCUUGCUAUACUGUCGGGCCGUGAUCACUCGGGAGGUGAUCAAAGCUAUAUACUAUACAUAUAUACAUACUAUACAUGUGGUGACUAAAGUCGGGUCAGCUCGUUGAGUACCCGCAGGUGAUUCCGAUGUGGGGGCUGGAAGGACAGGUGGCUCCAUCCCGGUAGAGGUGGGCCUGGGUUCCCGACGACCCCCGACUGUUACUUUGUGGCGGAGCGAUAGGGCAGGGUGAGACCAUCUAGGCGAGAGGUGGGCCUGGCCCUGGUCGGCGUUCGCGGUUACUUCAUAAUAACACACUUAACGAGAUCUUGGUAUUUGAUCUGAGUCUGGCCACUGGCCUAUAUGCACUAACCAACUAUGUGGGAAAGAUAUGGGCACUCAACGUCGUGGUAUCAGCCGAAGCCUUCUUGACGUCAGCGACUGAGCAGCGCGCGCCGGAUUGGACUGGAACGCCUGCUCUUGUAUUAGGGAGGCUAGGUCUGCUUCCGGCCGCCGUCGCAACGUGCAAGUGUGUAAUGGGCGAUGGGCCCAGACGCCUGCACCAUAUGAGUUAGACCGGCGUGCUGUCCUCUCUGUUGUGCCAAGGUGGGGCUGCGACGUGUUGAUCUUCCGAGGCCGGGCAUGACCUAGGAAAGUGUGUCCGACCAAAUGGGAUCGAGCGUGUUGGGUUAUGUGGUGCACCCCUGCAGGGAAGUUUAUCUAUUCGAAUAUCUGUGUCCCUCGGUAAAAGGACGACCCAGAGUUGUACCUUGACCUUAUGACAACUAGAACCGGAUACUUAAUAAAACACACCCAGACAAGUUCCAGAGACAACCCGGUGAUCACUUUCCCACAGGGCGACCAAGGGAGGAUCGCUGGGUAGGAUUAUGCUAUGCGACGCGACUUGGAGGACUUCAAUAUACUCUCUUCUACAUGCUGCAAGACGGAGGCUGCCAGAAGCAUAGUCUUUGAUAGGACUAGCUAUCCCCCUCUUAUUCUGGCAUUCUGCAGUUCAGUCCACCGAUAUUGCCUCUUUACACAUAUACCCAUGCAUAUGUAAUGUAGAUCCUUGCUUGCGAGUACUUUGGAUGAGUACUCACGGUUGCUUUGCUCCCUUCUUUUCCCCUCUUUCCAUUUCUUCUCGGAUGCCGCAACCAGACGUUGGAGCCCAGGAUCCAGACGCCACCAUCGACGAUGACUCCUACUACACUGGAGGUGCCUACUACUACGUGCAGGCCGCUGACGAUGACCGGGAGUAGUUUAGGAGGAUCCCAGGCAGGAGGCAUGCGUCUCUUUCGAUCUGUAUCCCAGUUUGUGCUAGCCAUCUAUGGCAACUUGUUUAACUUAUGUCUGUACUCAGAUAUUGUUGCUUCCGCUGACUCGUUUAUGUUUGAGCACUUGUAUUCGAGCCCUCGAGGCCCUGGCUUGUAAUAUGAUGCUUGUAUGACUUAUUUUACUUUUAGAGUUGUGUUGUAAUAUGAUGCUUGUCCCUGAUCUCGGCCGUACACAUUUGCGUGCAUGAUUAGUGUAUGAUUGAAUCGGGGGCAUCACAAGUUGGUAUCAGAGCCGACUGCCUAUAGGAAUCCCCCUUCCACACUCCUUGGCCGAAGUUGAGUCUAGUGGAUGAAAAGUGUUUUACUAACAUGGCUGUGCAGCCCAUGGGCCCAUGUCGCCAUUGGGUGGUAUUAGGAUCUUUUAUUCCUCGUCUAUACUCAGGGACUCUUAUCUCUCUUCUAUUUGGUAAAAACAAAACUAACUUUAGGUUCUCAAAAAUACUUUCUCCCGGAGAGCCCCUCAUUUCAGAUGAUCGCCUACUGCGCUAGAAGAUUCCGAUGUUACUCUACGAUGUUCUCUCGAGUUUUUGUGCCAUUGCAUUUGCAAUUUCCUUCCACGAUCAACCCCUAUGAAAACUGUAUACACUUGACAUUCAUACAAUCAUUCCCCAUUGAUCUUGUUAUUACAAGAUACCCCCGAAAUUCUCUCUAUUGUUUUGAGAAUACUUUGUGCCUACUGCCCUGCAGUUCUUUGCCACCUGAAUACCCAUACGGAUAAUUUCUCGCACUUAUCGAGUAUCCAUUCUUUCCUAGAUGAUUCAUGUAUUUCACAAUAGUCUUUGAAAUACCAUUCGAUCUUCCAAAAAUCCUGAGCAACCUAUUGCUCUUGAAAUUCUUGCUUGCUUGCAUUAUGGUUAAUCCCAUAAGUCUCGUAAUCUUAGUGGCAUCCCUUGUCAUUAUCAUUUUGAGUAUGUUGAUUCAAUAUGUUGCGAAUCCUCGCAGUCCUCCGUCAGAUCCUAGAAUUCAUCCUUCUGACUCAGACGUCAUUUGGAUAUGAGAUGGUUCUUGACCAAUCAAUGCCUUGAUCGGUUGUGCUUCUAAGUCUAUUGAACUUAUUAAUUUUCGAUCAGAACAUUUGCUUUUGAUCCCUUGAUUUGGAAAUCAUAAAUUCCUUUGCAAUUGAGCUUUGAAUUAGUCAGUUGUUUCUAUACCCCAAUGCCUUUGCAUUGUUUGUUCUUCUGAUUGUGUGCCGAUGAUCAAACCCGCUCCGUUGUGGACCGUCAGAUCCUUUGUUGAAUUAUCAAUUCGACAAUGUCCUUUGUAUACAAAAACCUCUAGAAGUUCUUUCCCUGAAACAUAAUGCCAUUGGUAAAUUCUAUUCUCUCAUAUGGCCAACAACGCUCUGCUUUCAAGCUUGAGUUAUUUACUUCUGAACUUUGUAGUAUAUGUUCCUAAGAUAGCAGCUGGGUUGGACCAAUGUCUUCCCUAAUCUGUGCAAACCCAAGCUUUCACGAGUCAUACUCAUCCGGUGUUCUACCCGAUAAAAUUCCAAUACUACAGCUUUAUCAAAUCGAGAGGUGAAUGAAAUGUUAUGCAUUAAAGAAGUGGGAGUCGAACUUGAACUUUGUGUUCAUGCCCAUGAAAAUAAUGUAGACCGUCUCGGAAGCUUCUUACAAAAUCAUUAUCCAGUUGUAUGAUUCUUUCGGUAUUCUUGAAUUGAUUCCUUACAGUUAUGGUUCCGACCAUGCUGUCCUGAUCUGAUAUGUCUGAUGGGAAUUCAUUCCAGUGCCUCGUCUAUUUUUGGCGAGGUUAAAGUAUCUACUGUCACAGGUCAAUGACCCGGUUAUACUUCUAUCAUGUUCUACCUUCGAGUAUUACCCCCCUGUUAUCUCCAAGAUGUCUAGCCAUUGCACCACAUCUUACUAACUUUGUUGAAGUAAUGUCUUUCCUUGUCGUAAUCACUCUACAGGUUUUGGAUUGUUGUCAACCGAGGACACCGACUAGUGAAACUAUUCUGCACUACAAAUCAAAUACCCCUAGUAUUUUUUACUAGGAAAUUCUGAACUCAAUCUAGUCAUUCCUAGACUAUCGUCUGCAUCUUGGUCUUGCUAUCUUGAUUGUGCUACCUUGUCCUUCUCUGGUGCAUGAAUUCUUCACUGUGUGAGCACGACUCACGUCGAGCUUUCAACAUCAUGUUGCUUGUCUUGAAAGGCAACAUUGGUUCCGAGGUUGCAUCUUAUAGAUUAAUCCUGUAACUUGCCACUUUGUUAUUUCCUUGCUUUUCGCCGUUGUUGUUUGAUUGCAUCCUCUUGAAAUCUCCCGGCAAAUAUGUCAGAUCACCUUCAACACUUUGACUUCUUCCGAGAGGUCAACUGUGUUCAUGAUGAGAAAUACCCUCCUUGCCAUCGAUGAUUUUUAUUAUCAUCAACAACACCCUUCACUUCCUAUCAUCGCGAACUUGUCCACAUUAUGAAUACAACUUGCUCUCCAGCUAGUGUUGUGUUUUGCCUUGAAGUAUUACUGUCUUUUAUGUCGAGAAUGUUGUGGGGGAAUUGCUCCACCUCUUAGAAAUUUCUCGGUAUGAUGAUACUUCUCACUAUCACCAUUCUUCCUUGGUCCCCGUGUUGUUUUUAACCGGGAUACCAAUAUGCUAAUGAUGUUGUUUGAAUUCUGUACUUCUAGCAACCCUAUUGCUUUGAAGUCAAUGAUCGACAGUUUUUUCUUAGAAUGUUGGUUAUUGAAUUGUCACUCUAACAUUGAUCUUGCUGCCUAAGGUCAUAUUUCGGGCACACCUUUUAACUAAUGAUUGAUGGUGUAUGUUUCCCUCGAGCAUACAACAUUACAUCAUUUCAAUUGACAAUUGUCAUCUUCUUGUUCACCUUAUUGUCGAAAUCCAUCUGUUUGGAAUUCUCGAUGAAUUGUCGCUGAGCCCAUCAACCACCUCCUCAUCCCCUCCUUGGUUUAAUGAUGAACUAUUGUUUCAGGAACCCGCUCCCAUAGUUCAUUUCCCGAGAAUCAUGCAAUGUCGAUUUGUGUUGCACCUUUUCUUCUCGGACAUUCUGAGUCUAAGGUAUCAUGACACCAAUCAGAUCUGAAUCUCGGUCAGAUAUGAUGGUUGGGACAACUUUCCAGGAGUUGUGAUGUUGGUCCUUUGAUGACCCGGUAAUAUGAUGUCAUGCCUGGCACCCCUUGGCUGGAGGACCUAUCAUUAUAAUUUCUUUUGCAAGGAUAACCAUUCUUCCUGGAGUAAAUUGUAGGACUUAUUUUAUAAGUUGCUCCUGAUGGAUCAUUUGUGUAUCCAAAGUCCGGCCCUUGAUUGUAACACCAUAUCAUUGCUACCUCGAAGCAUGACUAUGAUACCCCGUUCAUCAAUAAGAACAUUGGAGGCGCGAUGCUAAAUGUUUCUUUGUCGGUUAUCCAAACACCGUUGUAUGGGUAACAUCUUUAUUAAUCCUUGCCUCUUUAUCUGAAUUGGUGGGUACUUGCUCUCCUACCCUGUAUGCCAUAUUCUGCUUGUCCAUCGGAAGGAUAUACUCCUAAUAAUUGUGUGUAAUCACAUUUUCCUUUCCAUUAUUCUUUUUAAUAUGAUAAUCGCGUUUUCCUUUCCAUUCUUUUGUUUAACCUUUCCUGUAAUCUGACUUAACUGAGCAGAGAUAAUUCCCUGCUUAGGUAAGCACCUUGUUGUACCAUCCUGUCUAGUGUAUCCCUAUUACUAUUGUUGAUGACAUUCCGGUAAUCACCGAUGGACGAGAACCUUGCCUAUUGGUCCGCCUCGUUUCAACGAGUAGGAAAAUGGUUCUCUUCAUCCCUCGCCCUUGGUACCAACGAUGUUGCCGACAUAACUGACAUGCUAUUCUCUGGCAUGCCUUGCUAUCAUAACCGUGCAAGAGGUCAACGCCCUUCCUUAUUUUUAACCCACAUGGUGGGCCCAUAACCCACAGUUCCCAGCAUCGAAACCUAACUCCCCUGUACAACCCUGUUUCUAUUGGUUAUUCCUCAUGCUUGGCUUUGUAUUUAAUUCACGGGUCACCUUCCUAGUGCUCUAUUCUGGUAUCAAACGCAAUACUUACUCGCGUUGCUUUGAACCCUUUUCUCACUCUGGUUCAGACUUCGAGCAACUAUCUAUCCGCUUGGAACCUCUUAUUGUACCUUCGGACCUUACUAUUUGCGUAUGUUAUUGGUUCAACUCGAGAGAUACUCUUAUGCUCAUUCAUGGGUUAACCCUACAUUGUUUCCCUCAUAAGCAUUUUGUCGUAGCCGAGCUGCCCCUUACCUAUUCGUAAGUAUGUUGGAGUUCCCGAAGAAAAAGGCGACUUCACCAUGAUGACCUAAAGCAGAGAAAUAAAGACAUCAAUGUAAUGGAUCGACCUCUUCGAGAAGAGCAACCAAAGACGAGAAGAUCCGUUAGAAUUUCGUAACCGAAACUUUCCCCCUUACACCCCUCUUAAAUCUCGGGACGAGAUUUCUUGCAGUGGAGGAGAAUUGUGACGCCCAGAUAAUUAGGCUACAUUAAUCCUGUCUUAAUGAUGCCAAGUCACCUCGGUUACUGUUGAUGAUCUUGCAUUAGUUCGAAACGGAUUCAAAUUGAAGAUUCGAAUUAAAGUUAAGACAAUUAAAGUUUUCAAAAGUCAAAACUAAAUUGUUCGGUUUGCGGCAAAUAAUCCAUACAUUACUUUGAUGAAGAAACCACAUUUUUAUAAUAUAACUAAAUGCUCUAAGUUAAGUAAAACAGUAGUUGAAACAAUUAUUUGAACGUCUAUUAAAUGAUUAAAUUAUUGCAAACCACUUUUUAUAUUCAAAAAUAAUUGGGGCAGAGGUAUAACUACUAUUACAAAUUUAGGUGUUAGUAGAUUUUAUAAACCUAGAAUUGAAAAGAAAAGAAACUAAGCUAAAAUAGAAAAAUAAAUAAAAGAAAAUAAGAACAAUUCAAAAAUAAAGUAACAGAAAAGGGACCCCCCGUUGGCCAACGGGGCCAAACGGCCCAGCCGGCCAGCCCAUUAGCACAAUCGGCCCUCUCUCACUCCACCUUAUCCCCCUGGACAGCCAAACCCUAGCGGUUCGACCGCACACUCCCCACCCCCCCUCCGCCCUGAUUCAUUCGCUCCCUUUGCCCCUCCCCCGAUCCAGAUCGAGGGGCAGAGACUCCGGCGACCUCGCUGCCGCGCGGCCGGAUGCCGGCGCCCACCUCGGUGCCGCACCUCGCCGUGUGUCUCGCCCUCCUCCCCGAAGCCCACCUUGUCGCGACACCCCCCUGCCUCUGGAUCGUUCCGCCGACGCCACCCGGAAAGCCACCACCACGGCCACCUCGUCGUCUUGCCGGACGCCAUUGCUGGACUGCCUUCCCAUCGUCCUCUUCUCUUCGUCCUCAUCGACCUCCUCCCCGAGCACCGUUGCCCGAAACCCUACAUUCCCCGGUGAGGACCCCGGUCCUCCUGUCUCCCUCGCCCCGCUCACUUGCCGCGUCACCCGCGCCCGCGCGCUCAGUGCCGCGCCGGCCGCGUCAUCGUUUCCCGACCCCACCUUGGCUACUCGCCUUCGCCGUCAUGCACGCCUGCUGCGCCGGCCCCGGACAUCCCCUACUGCUGCACCCCAUGGCUGCCAGUGCAUCGUCCAGCGGUCCCCUGCCGCCCUACCCUGCAGCCGCCUCCACCGCCCCCUCAAGCAACCUCGCCAUCCUAUGCUGCAGUCUGGUACUCGAUCGCCCUCGUCGGUGCCGUUCCCGACCAGCCUCGCUGUGGCCCCGGUCAUCGCCUGACGCCGACGCCCGUCGGCGGCCGCUCGGCCCUCGCCUGGUCGGGCAUCGCUAGCGCCCAACACCCGCUAAGGCCCUGAGCCAAUGACCAGUGGGGUCUCGGCCCUGAGGACAAAAAAGGGGGAAAUAAAAUAAUGAAAAUAAAAAUACUAAAUAAUUAACUAAUUAGCUAAGUUAAUUAGCUCAAUUCAUCAUGUUUAAUUAACGUAAUAAAUUUGUUAAUUAAACUAACUAGGUUAAUUAGUUAACAGUCUAUGACUAACUGACCCCACACGUCAGUUUGACUAUGUCAAUAGCCGAUUGACUACCGACAUCAUACUGACAUCAUGCUGACAUCAUAAUUACAUUUUCUAGUUAAAUUAAUUCAGUUAAUCAAAAAAAUUAAUAUAAAAUAUACCGUAGCUCGCAUGGAAAAACUUUGUACAUGAAAGUUGCUCCGAAUGACGAGACGAAUCCAGAUACGUGGCCCGUUCAUCCGUCACACGUCUCUAGCAUAGUGAACCCGCAACUUUCCCCCUUCGGUUCACCUGUCCGAAAACGCGAAACACCAGGGAUACUUUCCCGGAUGUUUCCUCCUUUCGCUAGUAUCACCUACUACCGCGUUAGGGCACACCUAACACCGCUCAUUGUCAUGUCUUGCUUCGUCAUACUUAUGUUUGCAUUAUAUUUAUUGUUUCAUCCCCCUCUUCUCUCUGGUACACUACGAUACCGACGCCGCUGCUACCCAGUACGACUACGGAGUUGUCGACCCCUCCUUCUUGCCAGAGCAACCAGGCAAGCCCCCCCUUUGAUCACCAGAUAUCUCCUAUUCUUCUCUCUACUGCUUGCAUUAGAGUAGUGUAGCAUGAUACUGUUCAGUUACUCCUAUUCUGUUGCAUAGCCUGUCAUUGUUGCUACUGUCAUUGAUACAUUACCCACAAUCCAAAAUGCUUAGUAUAGGAUGCUAGUUUAUCAUCAUUGGCCCUACAUUCUUGUCGGUCUACCUUGCUAUACUAUCGGGCCAUGAUCACUCGGGAGGUGAUUGCGGGUAUAUACUAUACAUAUAUACAUACUAUACAUGUGGUGACUGAAGUCGGGUCGGCUCGUUGAGUACCUGCAAGUGAUUCCGAUGUGGGGGCUGGAAGGACAGGUGGCUCCAUCCCGGUAGAAGUGGGCCUGGGUUCCCGACGGCCCCCGACUGUUUCUUUGUGGCGGAGCGAUAGGGCAGGUAGAGACCACCUAGGCAAGAGGUGGGCCUGGCCCUGGUCGGUGUUCGCGAUUACUUCAUAAUCACACGCUUAACGAGAUCUUGGUAUUUGAUCUAAGUCUGGCCACUAGCCUAUACGCACUAACCAACUAUGUGGGAAAGAUAUGGGCACUCGACGUCGUGGUAUCAGCCAAAGCCUUCUUGACGUCAGUGACUGAGCGGCGCGCGCCGGAUUGGACUGGAACGUCUGCUCUUGUAUUAGGGAGGCUAGGUCUGCUUCCGGCCGCCCUCGCAAUGUGCAGGUGUGCAAUGGACGAUGGGCCCAGACCCCUGCACCAUAGGAGUUAGCAGGGGAUACCCAAAGCAUAAACCGCUGGAAGAAGAGACCAAAGAGCCGGAACUUCCAGCACAAGAUGAGGCUGACCGGCCACCUCGUGGCCAGGAUAAAACAGGCUAUCAGGCUGGACACCAGCCCGCACCGCCACGCUGGUUUACCACGGCCCGAGGGAAUACGCAGGACCUACGAGACAUAUUGGAAAACAACGCAGGACAACCAAGAUCGAUCUACGGAUCACGAGGGCGCGCCACAGCUCAUGACACCGAUCGUCAUGCCGGAUACAAUGCUAAUAAAUCCGGCCAGGCUGGACAUUACCGACCAGACCCAAUUGGAAUACGCCACGACAUAGCCCAGCACAGAGGCGCCGUACACUCCCUCUGCGUCACUGAUGAAGUAAUUGAACAUGAAUUCCCAGAAGGGUUUAAACCCAUCAACGUUGAGUCAUACGAUGGCACAACAGUCCCCGCGGUGUGGAUCGAGGAUUUUCUUCUCCACAUUCACAUGGCCCGCGAUGAUGACCUACAUGCCAUCAAGUAUCUCCCACUAAAGCUUAAAGGGCCAGCUAGACACUGGCUGAAUAGCCUGCCAGCAAACUCCAUUGACAGUUGGGAAAUCCUUGAGGACACAUUCCUUGAUAAUUUCCAGGGCACCUAUGUGCGACCACCGGAUGCUGAUGACUUAAGUCACAUUACCCAAUAGCCCGGAGAGUCAGCCAGAAAAUUCUGGACUCGGUUUCUCACUAAAAAGAACCAAAUUGUUGAUUUUCCGGACGCUGAGGCCCUGGCGGCCUUUAAGCAUAAUAUCCGCGAUGAGUGGCUUGCCCAGCACCUCGGCCAAGAAAAACCGAAGACCAUGGCAGCCGUCAUGACACUAAUGACCCGCCUUUGCGCGGGUGAGGACAGUUGGCUGGCUCGCAGCAACAUCGCGCCUGGAAACCUUGGUACUUCAGACAUUCGUGACAGUAACGGAAAGCCACAGCGCAACAGUCACCAGCGCCAAAAUAAUUGUGACAAUACGGAGGAUACAUCAGUCAAUGCCAGAUUCAGUAACUCCAUAUCCGGUCAGCGGAAGAAGCCGUUCAAGAGAAACAAUCCGGGAUUGUCCAGUCUGGACCGCAUACUCGAUCGCUCGUGCCAGAUUCAUGGCACCCCCGAUAAACCAGCCAAUCACACUAACAGAGAUUGCUGGGUGUUCAAAUAGGCUGGCAUGAUAAACACCGAGAACAAGGACAAGGGGCUGCAUAGCGACGAUGACGAGGAACCCCGGUGUCCGAACACUGGAGGGCAGAAGAAAUCCCCCCCCCCCAAGUAAAAACGGUUAACAUGAUCUAUGCCACCCACAUCCCCAAACAGGAGCAAAAGCGUGCACUCAGGGAUGUCUAUGCGAUGGAGCCUGUCACCCUGAAAUUCAACCCAUGGUCAUCCUGCCCGAUCACCUUUGAUCGUAGGGACCAUCCCACCAGCAUCCGCCAUGGCGGCUCAGCCGAAUUGGUCCUUGACCCAAUCAUAGACGGAUUUCACCUCACGCGAGUCCUCAUGGACGGUGGCAGCAGCCUGAACCUGCUUUAUCGGGAUAUAGUGCGCAAGAUGGGCAUCGAUCCGUCACGGAUCAAACCCACCAAAACCACCGUUAAAGGUGUAAUUCCAGGGGUAGAGGCCCGCUGCACGGGCUCAAUAACACCGGAAGUGGUCUUCGAAUCUCCGGAUAACUUCCGAAGCGAGGAAUUAAUCUUCGAUAUCGUCCCUUUCCGUAGUGGCUACCACGCACUAGUUGGACGAACCACGUUCGCUCGUUUCAACGCGGUACAGCACUAUGCAUACCUCAAGCUCAAGAUGCCAGGACCUCGCGGGGUCAUAACGGUUAAUGGAAAUACAGACCGCUCCCUCCGUACCACGCGUGCACAAUUACGCGCUCAAAUACCAUGGGCAUAGGUGGAGGCGAAAUGACAAUGCGGCCAGAGUGCGGUUCGGCCGCCAAGAGGCCCGCAUACCUUUUUCUUUUUUUCAGGACCCUACUUUCGGGCAGCUCCUCCAGAAGAGAUCGGAUGACCGGACUCAUCAUGGAGGAGGCACCAUGGAGGCAAGAGGCUUUUUGCACGCAAGGGAAUACCCAGGUGGUCUUCUUCAAUGAUCGUUAUACAUGUUCUUGCAUACCCGCAUGUAGCCUGCCCUUGGAUAGGACACGUCAAACAGUCCUAUUUCUUUCUGCUUAUGCAUCAAUUGUACAAUUACGUCUUGCCGUAUUGUCCAUAUAAAUGGGAAGUAAUACGUAGCGUCAGCUUCUUAUCACUAUCCUCAUAUUUUCUGUUGAAUAUUUAUUAAAAUACUCCAUCCGUACGUUUUGGUAUGGUCAUUUUUGCCAGGGGCUUCUCAUCGAGCCCCAUACUAUGGCAACGAAAGUAUGAACACUUUCAACAGUGCGGCACCCCAAACUUAUAGCAUUAUAUGCAUCAGCUCCGAAUCAUGUCUUAGGUCAAUAGUUGGGUUAGCCCUGCUCCCUUGUUUUGGUACCUUAUGUUCCGUUAUAUCGGCUAAGGUAGCGCAGGGAGAACUACUGCGAUUGUGUCCCGGUUCUUCCGGAUGAGCACCUCAGUAGAGAAAGCCGAAAACUGACCGUCAUGAUGUAGCAAGAGCUAGUCGCUGUUCGCGAGGUAUAAAAAUCUCUAAAGAUUUUUUCCGCUUAAGGCGAGGAAUCGGCGUCGUCUGAUUUUGGCAUGCAUAGCGCCCCAGUUCGGCCUUCCGAAUACUAGGGGCUUUGCCGAAAUUUAAAAUUGUAGACUUCUAUGGUCAAGUGAGAGCUAUAAAUCUGAAUAGUCCGAUUGCCUCGUUCGCUGCGCCAAACACCUCCUUAAAGGACCAAAACUUUGGAUAAAGAGUGUUUGGGUUUCCACGAACACCCCAGUACUAGUUACAAGGGGGCGGAAGCCGACGACUGGCCUACUUUCAAGAUUUUGAUAAACGACCGCAGAGAAGGUAAUAUUUUAAAUCCAACAAAGUGAUGCAUAGCACAAAUAAACUCGUUCUCAUAUUACAUUAACGACAUGAGUACAUUCACUCAAAAAUUAUGUUCUUAGGACAUUCAUUCGCCACAAAACGAGCACCUUUCAUAACGCCAUCAUAAUAUUUCUCAGGGCAGCGAUGCUCCUUGCCCUCCGGGGGUCCAUCCUUCACGAGCUUCUCAACGUCCAGCUUGCCCCAAUGCACCUUCGCGCGGACAAAGGCCCGUCGGGCACCCUCAAUACAUGUGGAAUGCUUGAUAACUUCUAGCCGUGGGCAGGCAUGCACCAUCCCCUUCACCAGGCCAAAGUCGCUGCCGGGCAGGGGCUCUCCAGGCCACAUCCGGACUAUGAGGUCCCCCAUGGCCUGUUCGGCCGCAUUGUGGAGUUCGACCAGCUGCUUCAGUUGGUCACUCAGAGGCAUCGGGUGUUCGGUCCCAGCAUAUUGGGACCAGAACAGCUUCUCCGUAGAGCUCCCCUCUUCAGCGCAAUAGAACUCCGUAGCGUCCGAAACGCUGCGUGGUAGAUCUACGAAUGCCCCUGGAGAACUCCGGAUUCGUGUAAGUAAAAGAAAUGACUCCUCCACAUGCUUGCUUUGCAUAAAGAAUGUCUUACCCUCCGCUAUCUUUUUGGCCGCCUGGAUUUCCUAGAGGGCCUUUUGGGCUUCGGCCUUGGCGUCGGCCGCGCUCUGGAGGGCAUUUUCAAGCUCAGACGCUUGCGUCUUGUAGUCGUGCUCCAGCGAGCCAAACUUCUGACCGAGCUCCUGGAGCUCUUGCUACACCUCUCCCACACGAGCAUCUUGCUCCUCUCACUCGGUGCGCUCAGUAUCCUCCAUGGCAUCGGCCGCAGAUAGCGCUUCCUUCAGGGCCGCCACUUCGGUCGCGGAUCCGUAUCAAAAGCCAUGAUGCUCAAAUAAUUUUCAUCCUUUAUACGACAUAUGGACGGGGUUUUUCUCACCUCUGUUCGCCUCGAGAUGCUUCUUCGCAAGGCCGAGUUCCUCUUCGGCCUGCCCUAGUUCACGCUUGAGUCCGGCAACUUCGAUCGUGCGCGCAGUGGCGGUCAGCAGCAGUGCCUGUUUGAUUCAUAUACUAUUAGUUUCCUGCGGUUCUUUAAUUGACCCUCUGUUUGGCUUUUCUCUCCGGACACCAAACAGAGUAUCAGGGGCUACUACCUAUCGGGUGAUAUUUCCUCACACUUUCAUUACCUCAAAGCCCCUUAGCAGGCUGGUGCAGGCUUCGGUCGAUCCGCUCUUGGCAGACCGAACCUUCUCAAUCAACGUACUCAUAAGUGUACGCUGUUCAUCCUCGAUGGAAGCGCCUCGAAGCAGUUCAAACAAAUUAUCUGAUGCCUCCGACUGGGCGGAGGUCAUCGGCACAGCCGCCUCGCCCUUCUUCGCGAGGGACUGCUUAUCGGAAUCCGGAACCUUUGCAGGCUCCAGUGCAGUAACCGGCCGAGAGCCAGACUUACUUUGGCUCCCGUCAGCAUAAUCCAUGGGGUUCUCAUCCCCCAUUUGUCCAGCGCCCAAGGUUUUUCCUUGGGGCAUCUCCGGAACCGUCGCCCCCUGCUCGGACAUUCUCCGGGACAACACCUCGGUGCCAUCCGCAGGUCGCGUAGAGGUUGCCAUCGGGAGCGAAUUCAUGUCUGACUCAUUCAGAGAUUCCUCUGAAGAGGACUCCUCGAGAUCGGCUCCGGCCGGACUGCAUGGACGUGUUUGACAUCAUUACAAACUGUGAGGUCAAAAGUCAUACAAAAAUAUCAUGCAAUACUUCCAUCAUUCACUAAAGGCGGCAAUAGUGGAUUGAUUCGGAAGGGAUGCCUUUCCCUUCUUCGGGAUCCCGGCCUCCCCCGACGGUGCGGCCUUCCUUUUCUUCUCCUCCCUAGCACGGGUAGGAGGCAUUUCUUCAUGUUCUCCCCCGUCUUCGGGGGGAGAAUCUUCCUCGUCGUCUUCAUAUGAUGACUCUAUCACGGCCCUGCGCCGGUGACCUAUUCUGGUCCCACCUCCUUCUUGGACCCUUUGGCCCCCUUAGUUGAGGCGGCCUUCUUCUUCUUCCUCUCCUCCCCUUCGUGGGAGGAGUGCGCCUUGUCCUCUUCUGGCGAGGCGUCGGGUGCGGCCUCGUGCUGAAGACCCCUUCGGGUCCCCGUGGCCUUCUUUUCGGCCUUUUUCUCCGGCGCCUUGUAAGGCACCGGAACCACCAUCUCCGCCAGGAGUGCGCUUACUGGGUCCUCACGCAAUGGAGCCGGACAGUUGAUCUGCUCCGCCGUCUCCACCCACUCCUGUUCGGUCAGCAAGGUGACUUAUAAAUCCUCCCCCAAAUGUACUCGGAAGGAAACAUCUUGUAAUAACCAGAGGACUUACCGGACCGGCAAGGCGCGUUGCGCUGAGCCCCCGGUCCUCGGAAAGGGGAGGAGGGACUUCGCCAGUCUUGAAUAGAACCUUCCAAAUUUCUUUGUGCGUUGUAACGAAGAGCUCUAGCAGCAUCUGGUGUUCGGCCGGGUUGAACUCCCACAUAUCAAAUGCCCGUCUUUGACACGGGAGAAUCCGGUGUAUGAGCAUGACUUGGACCAUGUUGACAAGCUUGAUCUUCUUUUCCCUUGUAUUUCUGAGGUGGGUCUCAAGUCCGGUCAGCUCCGUGGGCUCGCCCCAGGCCAGGCCCUUCUUCUCCCAGGAGGUGAACCGCAUGGGGAUUCCAGAUCUGCACUUGGGGGCCGCCACCCAGUUGGCGUCGCGUGACUCGGUGGUGUAGAACCACCCUGAUUGCCACCACUUUAUUGACUCCACGAAGGAGCCCUCGAGAUAUUUAACAUUGGGCAUUUUGCCCACCAUGGCGCCUCCGCAUUCCGCCUGUUGGCCGCUCACGAUGUUCGUCUUCACGCAGAAGAUUUUCAGCCACAAGCCGAAGUGAGGUUUGAUGCGGAGGAAGGCCUCGCACACGACGAUGAACGCCAAGCUGUUGAGGACGAAAUUAGGGGCUAGAUCGUGAAAAUCUAGCCCGUAGUAGUACAUGAGCCCGCGGACGAAAGGGUGGAGUGGAAACCCUAGUCCACGGACGGAAUGAGGGAGAAAUACCACUCUCUCCCGAGACUUCGGCAUGGGGGUAAUCUGUCGCUCCGUUGGAAGCCUGUGCGCGAUAUUAGCGGCCAGGUAUCCGGCUUCCCGAAGCUUGGUUAUGUUCUCCUCUGUGACAGAGGAGGCCAUCCACUUGCCUCCCACUCCGGACAUGCUGUGGUCCCACGGAGAAGGUGAGAACUUGGGCGCUGGAGCUCGAGGGUGCGAGAACGGAUGAGCGAAGGAAGAAGAAGGCGUGGGUGAAGAUGGGAGAUUUCUGCCCCCUUUAUAAAGGCGAUGCGAAUGUCCGCCUCCCCACUUGCCUCUCGAAAUCUCUUAUUUUUUCAGACGCCUCGAUUACUGGCGCUGGUUGGGUUACCCAUACCCGCAUUGAUGGAGAUCCCGUGAUAAGGGGACACGAUCUCUGCUUUGACAAGACGUGCCAAAGAAACCGCCUCGCAUGUGUGUGGAAGCAAGUUGUAGAAAACGGUUCGAAUAAAAAUCGGAAUGUGGCGUGAUGUCACUUUUCGAAGAAUUUUCAACGGAUUAGACUCGUGGAUUAUUAUUAUUCUCUCUACGGUGGUAUAUGGACUGUUAUCUUGCAGAGACGGACACGGUCCUUGUGGUCGGAAUUUACCUUGGAGUAUUCGGAGAUGGAACCCGCCUCGCAAUGCCGAAGACAAUCUAUGCGCUGGACUCAUCGUCAUUGAAGCCUGGUUCAGGGGCUACUGAGGGAGUCCUGGAUAAGAGGGUAUCCGUACUGCCGGAUUAUAUACUUUGGCCGGACUGUUGGACUAUGAAGAUACAAGAUGGAAGACUUCGUCCCGUGUCCGGAUGGGACUCUCCUUGGUGUGGAAGGCAAGCUUGGCGAUUCGGAUGUAGAUCUCCUUCUCUGUAAACCGACUUUGUGUAACCCUAGUCCCCUCCGGUGUCUAUAUAAACCGGAGGGUUUAGUCCGUAGGACUGAUCACGAUCAUCAUCAACAAUCAUACCAUAGGCUAGCAUCUAGUGUUUAGCCUCUCUGAAAUCGUGGUAGAUCAACUCUUGUAAUACUCAUAUCAUCAAGAUCAAUCAAGCAGGAAGUAGAGUAUUACCUCCAUCGAGAGGGCCCGAACCUGGGUAAACAUCGUGUCCCCAGUCUCCUGUUACCAUUAGCCUUAGACGCACAGUUCGGGACCCCCUACCCGAGAUCCGCCGGUUUUGACACCGACAGCGAGCUCAGAUUCUUCCUCCUCUGCGCAUUGCCGGAGCUACGGGCUACGUCGACGGCACCCUCCCAGCCCCUGCCAAGCUCCUGGAACCCGAUGACAAGGGUGAGCGCGCUCCAAACCCUGCGUAUGUCAACUGGUACCGUCAGGACCAGAUUGUUCUCAGCUACCUCCUCGCCUCUCUCUCCGAUGAAGUGUUGCAGCAGGUGCAUCGGUUUGAAACUUCUCGCGCCAUCUGCGAUGUCGAGGAGAUGUACAACAUCCACUACCGUGCCAGCAUCAUCCAGAUCAAGCUGGACAUGGCGGUCUUCCGGAAGGGUAACCUCUCCAUGGCGGACUACUUCGCCAAGACCCGCGCCAACGCCGACCAGCUUGCUGCCGUCGGCCGCGCCAUGCGUGAUGAGAACAUCAUCGCCGCUGUCAUCUCCAGUCUCGACAGCGACUACGAGCCACUCAUCACUACUGCCACGACUCGCCUUGAUGACAGGUCCCUUGGGGAGUUUUACUCCCACGCCAUCGCCUUCGAAUGCCGCCGUGAGUACAACGCCGCUCGUCUUCAACCCAGCGGCUCCUCCGUCAACUUCGAAAAAACAUGAGUACUUUUUGAAACAGGAACAUUUUUUAUUUUAUUUACAUGAAAACAUGACAUUUUUUGAAAUUUUUAAAAAACAUUUGAAACAAUAAUUCUUUAAAAAAAUCCCAAAAAAUGAAAUUGAAAAUAUUGUUGUACUUUGGCUCAUGUUUUGGAAACUUAUAGAAUAUUCCAAUUCAUGUUUUUUCCUUCCCUGGUCUUUGGAGUUUCUCGUACCAACCAUCUCAUGACACCACAUGGACGAUGUGGUUCUUUAACAACAACGCCUUGAAGAAGGGAGUGGCACUCAAACACCGUCGGCACCGGAUCCAACUAGAACGACAGAAACUAGGUUUUCACCGUAAAGAAUCAGUCUGAACAUAUCCGAGCUAUGCCUUCACCAAGGUAAUGUUGUAAGAGAAACAUCGCCAUUGUCAGGUACAACCACUCGUGUCUGGCCUAGGCUUUUGCCCCGGAGUUCGGGGCUGGGUGCUCGAGUAGCACCACCAUCGAAGUCUCUUAUGUGUUACAUCUAAUGCGAUCACCGCCCCUACACCACCAUCCCUCUGGAAGACCUUUUGAUGAUAACCACCAUCAUGAUGCUACAAAAAGUCACUGCAGUAUAGUUGCGGUAACCACCAUCCGGUCAAUCGGAUCUGUAUCAACACCACCAAGCCGUGGACCUUAGCCUCAUGAGCCAGAUGGAUGUCGUGCCUAGCCGGCCGUGCUAGGGAACGAUCAACGCGCCUCCACGGAAUGUCACCACGGACGACACACCCGCUAGUCGCCGGAGGAGCAGACGCUCACAUCCGGCUACCACCCAAGCAGCUAAUGAGCUUCGGCCAUCAGUUCUAGGGGCAAAGCCUAGCCAGAUCAAACAUAGGCCAGGUGCCCGAGGGCCAGCUCCACCAUGCACAGUCAGCUGCGGGAUAGCACACACAGCCACAACUAGCUUAGCGUCACAGCACUAUGCUCUGCCGCCAUCGUGGCCACUCGCACACUUGCAGGCGCUGCCUCCUCGCUCGUGAAGGACGUAGCCAAGGUAUACCCUCCACUCCCGUCGCCUGUGAUGGAAGGGUGCCCAGAAUUCUUUUAUUUUUUGGCCCAGUGAUCGUCGCCUGUGAUGGAAGGGUGCCCAGAAUUCUUUGAUUUUUUGGCCCAGUGAUCACUUAUUUUUGGAAGCAAGGCUAGAUUGAUUUGUGUGAUGCCUUGCUUCAGCUCAAGAGGGGAAAACGUGACCUGUAUGUUUGAUAUUUGCAAAGGAAUUGGUAAUCAAGAGAAAUUGGAAAAUAAUUCUAGUAAUGAAGAAUUGACCAGGAAAGAGAGUAUGCAAAUUGAGAAGUUAUUAGUGAAGGAUGCUGGAAACUGUACUACUCCAUCAACCGGUGUUAUUUUCAUUGGUCCUGCUUGAUGUUUUUCUUCUAUUCAUAUUCUUAGGAGUUGGUCCUACUUUAGCUCCUUUUGUUGCCAUUGCUUGGUCCUACCUACUUCUUGUGCUACACUCUAUCUUCCCAGUGGAGCUUUCUGUGAAGCUUGUGCACAAAUGUCCAUAAAUUGUAUUCAAGAAAUAAGACAGGAAUAACAGGUUGACAAGCAAAAAGUUUUAAAAACAUUGGGGCCGAAGAAGGUAUUGUCGUUGGGCUGAACUACCUAUUGGCAGAGAGGCUGAACUAGGUACUUUAGAUAACUGACAUGAUGCUACAUUGGUACGAUUGUACCAGAAGGAUUUCUUUUUAGACAAGAUGUCCAAACUUAUUUGCAUAAUUCAAGUCUUAUGACAGUCCCAUGCUUACUGACCCUAGUGUUUUUAGCUUCUCCUGUCCUAGUUGUCUUUGUUCUAUCUGGCAUGACUAUAUGAGGUGGAGGUUCUGACUUUGGUUUGUGUGACAAGUACCAUGAGGACAUGCCCUCUAUAUGUUGAAGCCCCGCUUCNNNNNNNNNNNNNNNNNNNNNNNNNNNNNNNNNNNNNNNNNNNNNNNNNNNNNNNNNNNNNNNNNNNNNNNNNNNNNNNNNNNNNNNNNNNNNNNNNNNNNNNNNNNNNNNNNNNNNNNNNNNNNNNNNNNNNNNNNNNNNNNNNNNNNNNNNNNNNNNNNNNNNNNNNNNNNNNNNNNNNNNNNNNNNNNNNNNNNNNNNNNNNNNNNNNNNNNNNNNNNNNNNNNNNNNNNNNNNNNNNNNNNNNNNNNNNNNNNNNNNNNNNNNNNNNNNNNNNAAUUGGCAAUAUGGACCAGCCCAUUGUCACACGUGGAAACAUGGAAAAUUUUGCCAAAACCGUAUGGCAGUCUGAGGGAUCAAACCCAACAUGUACCUAGUGCUGCUAACCGCUGGUCACUAGUCACACGAGGUGAUAAGUUUCAGUAUCCACGAGGCAACACGAACUAAAACAGCUAUCCCUCAGCGACCGAUUUAUUGUGGCGAACCGUUCUUUCCACUAUUUCUUUUUCUUUUUUAUGUUCGUUCUUUGUUUCUUUUAUUCUUUUUUUAUUUUUCAAAAAAUUCUCGCACUUUUAUAAAGUUGUUUAUAAUUUCAACAAAUGUUCUAUUCAUAAAAUAUAAAUAUGCGCAUUUUUAAAAAGUUACAAUUUUUUGAAGUAUUUAUGUCUUUAAAAAUUGUUCAGAACGUCGAAACACGGCCUUUUUUUGAAACAAUGCAAAACAAUUGAAUACAAACUAUUUUGAAUCUGUUGACACAUCUUUUGAAAACCAGUAACAAAUUCAGAAUGUUUUUUUUUUGCAAAAACACGAACAAAAAAUUGAAACGAUUUCAUUUGAAUAUUUCUGAAGUUUUCUUUUGAAAAGAGGAAUAUUUUUAAAUUCCAAAUAAAUUUUGAAAGCUCAAACAUUGCUUGAAACUCCCGGAACAUUUGAAAAAAUUGAAACAAAAUUAGGAAAGUUGACAUUUUUUCGGAUCACUGAAUAAUUUUUUGAAAACGUGAACACUUUUUGAAACCUGGACAAAAUUUGACGCAAAUAAUUUUUUAUUUUUUACAAAUAGUUUUUUUACACUGUGAAUAUUUUGUGAGUUUUUGAACAUUGAUUAGUAAAUAUGAAUAAAUACUGACGUGAUUUUUUAAAAAAAUCUGAACAUUUUUUGAAAAUAUAAGAAAAAUUAUUGAUAAAAUGAACUAAACUUGAAAAAGAUGAAGUAAUUAGAGAUUACGGAUAAAAUCCGAAAUUCUUAGUUUUUUGAAAAUAUGUAAGAGAAACAUUAAAUAAGAAAAAGGGGGAAAAGGUCAAAGAAAACGAAAACAGAAAGAAAAAGAAAUGGAAAAACAGGUGACAAGAUAAAAGGAAAAAGGAAAAAAAAUUGGAACCUCCUAAAAGGUUCCUUAAAUAGGAAAAAACUAGCUAGGAAGCUGAGGUUCCCAAAACCGGGAACGUUUUUCAGGAACCUCGUAGAAUGUUCCAAAAAUCGGAUAAAGCUGGAUGGGAUGGUGAAAAAAAGGUUGAUUCGUAAUGUUCGUAUGGUGUCGGAAGUCGUUCAAACCUCGCAUGGUAGCCUAACAUGGGUGUCCCACCUGGUGGACAAAGUUGGGAUCAUUUUAAGGAUGUCUAGAAAAAAACCAUGUUCAACGUAGGGUGUACGGGUAGGCCAGAAGGCUCCAUUCAAGAGCAUGUUUCUUUUUCGACAUCCGUCAAAAGGCCCCAAUUUUUUUCCCAUGGCCUUCUAUGGCCAAUUCAAGGCACCAUGUCAAGUUGCUUGGGUUUUCGAGAAGUUUUGCAUUUUCUACAGUUUUCUCGAUAAAAAAGUCGAUAAAUGGCUAGAUGUGUUUGCAACUUGCAUACGGUCAAGAUGUUCAAAGUAGGGAUAGGUGCCUACCAUGGGCAUGCCGAAGUGGUGGCAAAAGUUGGGGGCGAUUGAAGGAUGUCUAGAAAAACACCAUGUUCAAUAGAGAGUGUUCGGGUAGGCCAGAAUGGCCCAUAUGAGAGCAUGUUCUUUUCUGAUAUCCUUGUAAUGGCCCCAAUUAUUUUGCCAUGUCAAGUUGUUUUGUUUUUUCUAAAAAUUUAGCAUUUUUUGUGGUUUUCUCGGUCAGAAAAGACCGAUAAGUGGUCGGACGUGUCGCAAAUUGCAUAUGGUACCGGAAAAUUCCAACCCUGACAUAGAUGUCUACUAUGGUCAUGCCCACCUACUCGCAAUAUUUGGGGUAUUUGAAGUAUGUCCAAAAUAGACCAUGUUCAAUGGAGGGUGUUCGUGUAGGCCAGAAGACUCUGUUUGAGUGCAUGUUGUUUUUUGACAUCCUUGAAAUGGCCCCAAUUUUUUCAUGACUUUGUAUGACCAAUUCCAGGCACCACGCCAAAUUCUUUUGGUUUUUGACAAAUUUUGUAUUUUCUAGCAUUUUCUCCGUAUUUCAAGGAUGCCCCAAAGUAUAGACUGUAUUCAGUGGGGGUAGGCCAGAAGGCUCUGUCUGAGACCACAUUAUUUUUCAACAUCCUUGAAAUGACCACACUUUUUCAUGGCCUUGUAUGACCAAGUCAAGUCACCAUGCCAAGUUGUUCCAUUGUUCGACAAAAUUUUCAUUUUAUAGAGUUUUCUCUGUAGAGGCUGAUAAAUGGCCAGACAUGUCGCAACUUGCAUAUGGUGUUGAAAGUCAUUCAACUCAGGCAUGAUUCCUACCAUGGGCAUGCCCACCUGUUUGCAAAAGUUGGGGUCAAUUCUAGGAUGUCUAGAAAUGAACCAUGUUCGAUGGUGGGUGUUGGGGUCAUUUCAAAAGUUGGAAGUACAUUUUUUGACAGAAGUCAAACGGCCACAAAUUGUUUCCACCAUCUUCUAUGACCAAUUCAAGGCAUCAAGGCAAGUUUUUUGAAUUUUUGAUAAGUUUCUCAUUUUCUAGAGUUUUGUCAGUGAAAAAGGGACGAUAGUGAAAUGACCCAAAAUUGUUUCCACCAGCGUUUCUAUGACCAAUUCAAGGUAGCACGCCAAGUUGUUUGUAUUUUUGAUAAGUUCUGCAUUUUUAGGAGUUUUCUUAGUGAAAAAGGACCGAUAAAUGGUCGGAAGUGUCGCAACAUGCUAAUGGUGUUGGAAGUCUUUCAAACCUGGCAUAGAUGCCUCUUAUGUCCAUGUCAGGCUGCUGCAAGAAGUUUGGGACAUUUAUCCAUACUCCAAGAAAAUCACUAGUUGAGAGGAGUGUGCGAGACUAGGCCGGAUGGGUGCAUUCGUGAGCGUGUAGUUUUUCCUAAUUUAUAUGCUUCUGUUAUUUGCAAUUUCCGUCAUUAUCAAUCAACAUGAACAUUUUCUUAUGUCUUAACCAUUUCAUGAAAUUUGUCAAUAGUGAAAAUAAAUCUUCUUAUAUUUGUCAAUAGUGUAGCACUUGGCAAUGUAAUCAUCAUUGCUUUUGGUUGUAGAAUAAAUGCAAGCUAUAACCAAAGGUCUAAAUAGCGGAAUAUUAAAAUCGUGGCAGAAGUCUUAGCGCACUAGCGCGCCAAUUGCGCUAUAGCCUGCUAAAUGGUUAAGCAGCAUGCCCCUCCAAACACUAUAGCUAUGCUAUAGCUCCAAGAUAGUACACUAUUUAAAACUAUGGCUAUAACAUAUUACCAUGUUAGCCAGAGAGUUGCCAAUACCUACAUCUACAAGUCCUUUCACCUAUUGCAACUAUAAACAUGUGCUUAUGGUACAUGUGGGUAAGUUCAUAUGAAUCUUUCUAACACUAUGAACUGCAUUAGAAAAACACAAUUACUUAAUGCUCUUGUGCAAAGAUUUUUUUUCAUUUGAAUUAUCAUAUUUGAAUUAUUUUUUCUUCGAUCCUAACUAUGACUUUUCAUCUAAUAGCAUGUAACAUGCCGAUAAGAGGUACAUACCUACCUCAGCAUUCCACUUGUUGAAUGAUUCACACACAAUAUUGUUAUCUGCAAAAUACCUGACCUGGACUAGUCUCAGCUCUGAAUAUGUGUUCAUCAUAGCUCUGGAUCUUUCUUUUUUUGAGAAUCACCGGGGGAGCUCCCCACCUGAAUAUAUUACUCAAAAUCGGGUGUGUUCUGGAUCCAUCAGGUGUGUUCUGUGCUAACAUGGGUUUUGCAAGUGAAGAACAUUGGUAGGGUACACCAAGAUCGGAUGGGUUAGACGGGCCGUCUUCCUACUCAUCACUGCCCAAAAAUCCAAAUCCAUUAUAUGCGAUCCCAUCAGAAAUGAAGAUGCCACUGGUGGUCAUUGGACGGACCUAUGUCCCGUUGCGUUUGUGGUCGCAGACGACGCGACAUGCCCACUGACCGGAGGUGGUCAUCCAUGCCGACAUCGAUUGUGCAUCGAAGUUAAUGAGUCGACAUUAUAUAGCUAUCUAUUAUUAUAUACUAAAAGUAACUAGUGGGGUUACCCGUGCAUUUGCGCGGCUAGAUUUCCAUUUAUGAUUGUAAUAUUUUAAUGUUAUACAUUUAAUCUUAUUUGAAAGUAAUGUAUGAUUGUAAAGGUUAUCUCAUUUGUAAGGUGUGAUAAAAGAUUACUUAAUUAAUUUUUGUGCAACAUAAAUAUGAAAUUUAUAUAUUAAUUUAUUAAAAAAACUCCUUUUAAAUAAAAUUUUAAGUUGUGAUAAAACAUAUGAUCUAAGAAUGCUAUUUUGAUGCUACGUAUGCAUUACUGAUGCCUUGCUUGUUACAUUAGUUAAUUAACUUAAUAUUAGCAAUACGUAUAUAGUAGAUAUAGUAGUAUCAUUCCGCUGUGAUAUGAAGUAUAUAUUUGCUUUCAUAUUAUUUUUAAUAGAACUAAAUGGAGGCUUAAUGAUGAUAUUGAAGCUUGAAAGGAGUCUGUAGCCUGAGAAAUUUCAUAUUAUAUAUAAUGUAAGUGUUUCGAGUUGGCAUAUCGAUUAUUUGACCUUCAAGAAAGAUUGUGCCAAGUCCAAUGCAUUUUAUAUUUCUCUCUCUUUAUAUAAAAAAUAUCACAAUCUUUCUUAAGUGCCACUAAAACACUAAUUGUUUGCAAGGUUUGAUCAAUUGGGCUGCGGUCAUCAUCAAUGAUGUCAUUGCAUGUAAUAAUUUAUUAAUUAGGCCGGUGAAUUCCAUCUUAAAAAUAAGCCGGUAUAUUCUUGUCUAUGUACAACGUGUAGAUCUGGCCGUCUCCCUAACAACUAUGGUUAGAGGGACUGUGGUAUCCCAGCCCAUCAGGGUACAAAUCCUGGUGCUCGCAUUUAUUCCUGGAUUUAUUUCAGGAUUUCCGGCGAUGCGCAUUCAGUGGGAGGAGACGUUCUCGUCGACGACGAGGCGCCUACGGUGACUUCGUAAAUCUCAAGAUGAUAUGCCGGGUCAGUCUUUCGGAGGUGCUCAUAGGGGUAGGGUGUGCGUGUGUGCAUUCAUAGGGGUGAGUGUAUGCGCGUGUAUGUGAGCGCUUGUAUCUGUACUGAUGUUAAAAAAAAAGAUGGUCGAUUGCGUCCGCAGGUUGACAGUGCCUACGUUCUUAUUAAUUGGGCUUUUGCAUCAAAACGUGUCCUAGUAGGACUUUGUUUCUAUUUUUUACGUGGGUAGCUAGCAUGCAUGCAGAUAGCGAUCCAAACACAGGUGUGGUGCCUUUUUUCUUUCUUUUUGCGGGUGCCUUGUUAGCUUUUACCCCGAAUAAAACUUACUGAUGCGUAUGCAUGAGCUAAAAUAGGCCAUUGUGUGGACAUGUGUUACUUGGCCUUUUUUUCUUCUUGUUUUACUCCUUGCGAUGGAAUGGUGCGUGUCCGCGUCAUAUUCUCGUUUCUUUUUUCUUUUUCAUAAGCACGUGAGUUUUUGUUUUCUUUUGGUCCAUGUAUAGAUGAAUCUAAGCCGUUUAAAUAACGUUAAUCUACAUCAGUAAGUCAUUACCAUCCAUUUUCUAUCGUUUCAAUAAUAAUAUAAUAUAAUAGAUUGAAGGGCUCACAAGGAUUGGGCCAUUGAAGGCCCCGGGGCCGGAUGGCCUUCCGGCGAGGUUUUUCCAGCGAAACUGGAGCACUAUUAAGGAGGAUGUUUUAGCUGCGGCUAAGGAUUUUUUCCGGACUGGAAUAAUGCCGGAGGGGGUAAACUCUACUGCCAUUGUUCUUAUUCCUAAAAUAGUUAACCCUUCUAAGAUUUCGGAUUAUAGGCCCAUUAGCCUUUGCAAUGUUACCUAUUAAGUUUUAUCGAAAUGCUUGGUGAAUCGACUUAGGCCACUUUUGGACGAUUUAAUAUCUCCGGAACAGAGUGCUUUUAUCCCAGGCAGGAUGAUAACAGAUAAUGCCGUUAUUGCUUUUGAAUGCAUCCAUUACAUUAACACUAGUGCAGAACCGGGCAAUAGCACCGGUUCGUAAGGCCCUUUAGUGCCGGUUCCAUAACCGGCACUAAAGUGUGGUCACUAAAGCCCCCCCCCCCCCGUUUAGUACCGGUUCUGCACGAACCGGUGCUAAAGGGAAACCACGUGGCACGAGCCAGCUUCGGGGGCCUGGAGCCCUUUAGUACCGGUUGGUAACACCAACCGGUACUAUAAGGUUUGGGGGUUUUUAGUUUUAUGAUUUCUUUUUUAUUUAAUUUUGUGUUUCCAUUUUAAUUCUUUUUCGUUUGCUGGUAUUUUAUGAUACUACACAUUGUAAACGUUAUGCANNNNNNNNNNNNNNNNNNNNNNNNNNNNNNNNNNNNNNNNNNNNNNNNNNNNNNNNNNNNNNNNNNNNNNNNNNNNNNNNNNNNNNNNNNNNNNNNNNNNNNNNNNNNNNNNNNNNNNNNNNNNNNNNNNNNNNNNNNNNNNNNNNNNNNNNNNNNNNNNNNNNNNNNNNNNNNNNNNNNNNNNNNNNNNNNNNNNNNNNNNNNNNNNNNNNNNNNNNNNNNNNNNNNNNNNNNNNNNNNNNNNNNNNNNNNNAAUCAUCGAGUACAACAUGAUUGUCAUGAUAUUAUAAGCAUUCAUAUAUAACACCACAAAAGCAAAUCACUUAAGUUCAGAAUGAAGAACACGGACAUGAAAGGCCAAGUACUAAUUAAGAGUAGCAUGAAGAACUAGCUAAAUCACUCCUGCUAGCUACUCUCUCUCUAGUAAAAUAGGAUAGAACAUGUAUAGCUCUCCUGAUUGAUCAUACUGGAGCAUGCCGAUGAACCUGUCUCCUAAUUGUGGGCUGCGCUUCUCAUUGCUGCCCCCUAGUAUUUCUCUGCCAUCAUUAACAAUUUUCCUCCAAUCUUUCACUAUUAAGCAGUCAUCGCUUCUAGAAAUCCUGAAUGCAUUCAUGUGCAAUGCAGGAUAUCUUGGCCUUAAGCUAACAAUUGACAUCUGACCUUUAGUCUCGAUCCCCUGAGGCACAACUGUCAUCGGGAGUCCCUGUUGAAGAACAUCGUAUAGUACUUAAUUAAUAUACUCCGCAAUGAAAGUUUAAAAAAAAAUAUGUAUGCAAAAUAUGCACUGAGGACAAAUAGUAAAUAUCUUACCAUCAUUCCUAAAUAGAUGUGACCGUAGUUCAAUACCAUCACUAUUGGUCGCACGUUUUGAGUACUAACAUUUCCAAGUGCAGGAAAACUAAUUUUAUUAAUUCAACUACUUCUAUUAAUUCAACUAAGCAUUUACUAAAAAUAAACUAGUUAUAUUAAUUCAGUUAGUUCAACUAAGCAUUUACUAAAAAUAAACUAGUUAUAUUAAUUCUAUUAGUUCAACUAAGCAUUUACUAAAAAUAAACUAGUUCUAUAUAUUAAUUCAACUAGUUGAACUAAGCAUUUACUAAAAAUAAACUAGUUCUAUAUAUUAAUUCAACUAGUUCAACUAAGCAUUUACUAAAAAUAAACUAGUUCAAAUAUAUAUCUAACUAUAAUAUUUUAAUUAGAUAAUCAAAUCUCAGAUACGACAAUUUUCUUACUAAAAAUAAACUAGUUAUAUUAAUUAUUCAACUAGUUCAAAUCUCAUAUACCUAAAUAAACUAGUUCGACAAUUUUCUUACUAAAAAUAAACUAGUUAUAUUAAUUAUUCAACUAGUUCAAAUCUCACAUACCUAGCUAAUUAAUAUCUAAUUANNNNNNNNNNNNNNNNNNNNNNNNNNNNNNNNNNNNNNNNNNNNNNNNNNNNNNNNNNNNNNNNNNNNNNNNNNNNNNNNNNNNNNNNNNNNNNNNNNNNNNNNNNNNNNNNNNNNNNNNNNNNNNNNNNNNNNNNNNNNNNNNNNNNNNNNNNNNNNNNNNNNNNNNNNNNNNNNNNNNNNNNNNNNNNNNNNNNNNNNNNNNNNNNNNNNNNNNNNNNNNNNNNNNNNNNNNNNNNNNNNNNNNNNNNNNNNNNNNNNNNNNNNNNNNNNNNNNNNNNNNNNNNNNNNNNNNNNNNNNNNNNNNNNNNNNNNNNNNNNNNNNNNNNNNNNNNNNNNNNNNNNNNNNNNNNNNNNNNNNNNNNNNNNNNNNNNNNNNNNNNNNNNNNNNNNNNNNNNNNNNNNNNNNNNNNNNNNNNNNNNNNNNNNNNNNNNNNNNNNNNNNNNNNNNNNNNNNNNNNNNNNNNNNNNNNCGGCGCGAGACGACGACGACGACGGGCGGCAGCGCGGACAGCGACGAUGACGACGAACGACGGGCGAUGGGCGGCGACGACGGGAUCGAGCGGCGCGCGGCGAUGUCGAGAGGUUGGAGACGAAAGUGGGGAGAUGUAACUGAAAUUUUCGUAAGUGCUAUAUAUAUAGGAUGGGCCUUUAUUACCGGUUGGAGCCACCAACCGGUACUAAAGGCCAACUUUGGCCAGGCCAAGAGGCGGGAAGAGCAGGCCUUUAGUACUGGUUGGUGCCACCAACCGGUACUAAAGGGUGAUUUGUAGUACCGGUUGGAGCCACAAACUGGUACUAAAGGCCUCGCGCUGCCACCCCAAAGUUUAGUCCCACCUCACCGGGCGAAGGGCAGCCGCACUGGUUUAUAAACCCAGCCGCGGCUACCUCUUUGAACUCCUCUAUAUAGCAGGCUUGUGGGCCUAAAUUCUGCGCGCUGCCCUUUGAGUCUGCUGGGCCUUUAAGGCCUGUAAUUGCACGCCCGUGGCCUAGCAGGCCCACAGGGCAGCGCCCCAAUUUUUUUUAUAGUUUUUUCUUUUCUGCUUUAUUUUCUUCGAUUUAUUUCUGCGUAGUUUUUUGUAUAGUUUUUUCUUUUCUGUUAUAUUUAUUUUCUUCUAUUUAUUUCUGAGUAGUUUUUCAUCUAGUUUGCCAAAAUUCAACAUUUUCAGAGUUCAUUUUGUAGUGAUUUUCAAUUUCACGGUCAUUUUAUAUAGUUUUUUCUUUUCAGCUAUAGUUUUUUUUCCUGCUAUUUUUUCUUUUCUGCAAAACUUGAUGGUCAAAGUCUGGAGUUAUAACCAAAGUUUAAAAAAAAGAAAUGCCGACGUGCAAUUAGUUUUUGCCAUAACAAAAGAAGUCUGGAGUUGUAAUAAGUUAUUAAAAAUAAAAAAGAGGUGCAAUGCUCGUUAAUUUGCUUCAAGCCUUUCGCAAUAGUGUAAACUGCACUGCCCAUAGCUCCGUGCAGUAUACCAUAUUCCUGAAGGCUUGAAGCUAAGCAACGUGAGCAUUGAGCCUCUUCUUCAUCGUCUCUACACUCAGGGCUUAUAAACUGCUCCUAAUCCCUCUCUCUUCGCGAGGUGGGACUAAAAAACAGCUUACUAAGAAACUGUAGUACUGGUUCAUCCAUGAACCGGUACUAAAGGUGCUCGUGCGGCACCAGCUAGCCUUACCUGACACAACAUCAUUAGUACCAGUUCGUGGCACGAACCGGUGCUAAAGGUUCGCCACGAACCGGUACUAAACAGCUCCUCCCGCCUAGCAGUUGGUGCAUACUGAACGCAAAAAAUAUAAGAGCAUUUAGAUCAUGAUCUUACAUUUCUUUAAAGUCUAAAUUGUCAAUAUGAUCUUAUAACAUCAAAAAUAGUUUGAUCAUCAAUGAUCUUUGUGUGUACAAUCUGAAUUGUCAAUAUGAGUCAUCAACGAUUUAUAAACCGAUGAAGACUCAUAUUGCGGCCACAAAUUCUAAACAUAGAGUUCAAUGAAGACCAAGUGCUUGUGAUAGUUUGAGAAAUAACAUAUUUAAGGUGGUAAAAGGCUUGUUAGGGGAGCGAUGUGGGACUAAAAACAGCUUGCCAUAACCUCAUUAGUACCGGUUCGUGGUACGAACCGGCACUAAAUUGUGAUGGUGGGGCCAUAGCCUGACCGCAGGCUGACACAGCCUCUUUACUACCGGUUCGUGGCAUGAACCGGUACUAAAGGUUCGCCACGAACCGGUGCUAUUGAUCGCUGCCACGAACCAGCACUAAUGUACACAUUAGUGCCGGCUGAAAUUUAAACCGGCACUAUUGUGCUUCACAUUUGACCCUUUUUCUACUAGUGUAAGCAGGAGAAGGAUCCAACAAAGAGUUUUUGUGCUUACAAGCUAGAUUUGUCAAAGGCAUAUGAUAGAGUGGAUUGGGUUUUCAUGAGGCAGGUGAUGCAAAAGAAGGGUUUCUCUCAACGAUGGAUUGACUGGGUUAUGACAUGUGUCACAUCGGUGAGGUAUUCAAUAAAGUUAAAUGGGACCCUCUUGGAUUCAUUUGCACCGACACGUGGUCUUCGGCAAGGUGACCCUCUUUCACCGUUUUUAUUUCUUCUUGUGGCGGAUGGCUUGUCAGCAAUUUUAAAAAAUAAAGUGGUCGUGGGAGAGAUCACUCCAGUGUAAGUGUGCAAGAGGGCGCCUAGAGUUUCCCAUUUGUUAUUCGCUGAUGACACACUGCUAUUUUUUGAGGCCUCUAGUGCCCAGGCAGAGAAUGUGAAAGCUGCUCUAGAUUUAUAUGGAUCUGCAACCGGUCAAAGUUUGAACUACAACAAGUGUUCAAUAUUUUUCGGUGCUGCAUGUCCGGUUACUAUACAGGAGCAAGCAAGAGAUGUAUUCGGAGUCACAAGCUUGGUGUUUGAGGAAAAAUAUUUAGUCCUACCUACACCUGAAGGACGGAUGUCUAAUGGAAGUUUCCAAAACCUUCAAACUAGUAUUACAAAACGUUUAAUCCAAUGGGGCGAUGGUCUUCUUGCUCAGCCAGGAAGGGAGGUCCUAAUUAAGUCAGUAGCUCAGGCUUUACCAACGUACAUCAUGGGGGUGUUUAAACUCCCGUAUUCGGUGUGUGAUGAUCUAACAAGGAUGGUGAGCAACUUUUACUGGGGUCCAAGCAGGGGAAGAGGAAGGUCCAUUGGCGAGGAUGGGACUACCUAAUGCAGCCGAAAGAUAAAGGAGGUGCAGGUUUCCGGGACUUUUGGUUGCUCAACCAGGCAUUGUUGGCUCGCCAAGCAUGGCGUUUGGUAACAAGACCAGAUAGUUUAUGUGCCCAACUUCUAAAAGAUCGUAUUACCCUCAUGGUAAUCUAGUUGAUACGGUGUUUUCAGGCAAUGCUUCCUCCUCUUGGCAAGUUAUAAGCCACGGUCUUGAGUUGUUAAAGAAAGGGCUGAUUUGGAGGGUUGGAAAUGGGCAGAGCAUUAGAGUGUGGAGGGACAAUUGGAUCCCAAGGCCCUACUCAUAUAAACCUGUAUCUUUACAAGGCCGCUGUCGUAUACGAUACGUUUCUGGGCUGUUAAAUGCUAAUGGGUCAUGGAAUUUGGAUUUGCUGCAACGGUACUUUAUGCAAGCUGACGUUGAUGAGAUUCUGAAAAUAAGGGCUUCGCCGAGACUUGGGGAAGACGUCAUUGCUUGGGGCCCCGGGAAACUGGGAGCUUUCACAGUGAAAUCCGCAUAUGCUUUAGCCUUCGAUGAAAUCCACAGGGGAUCUACUGUGGCGUCCAGUUCUGCGCCUGAAGGAAGUAGGAAGUGCUGGCAAUAUAUAUGGAAGUGCAAAGUACCGCCAACGGUGCAGAAUUUGGCCUGGAAACUAGCGACGGACUCACUGCUGACUUGGAGAAAUAAGUACAAAAUUGGGCUUGAAACAUCUAGUAUAUGUCCAGUUUGUGGGACAGAAGAAGAGGACAAUUUCCAUCCUUUUGUGAGAUGCCAGUUCGUGAGAGAUUUAUAUCUAGUCAUGGCCGAGGAGUGGUGUCUACCACCACUUGAAUCAGUGGUACCGACCGGCAAGGGGUGGCUGCUGCAGUUUUUGGCGCCUCUUACAGAUGUGUAGAGAAGUAUGGUGUUACUCAUAUUUUGGAGAAGCUGGUACGUCCGGAACGAGGUAACGCACUCAAAACCCGCCCCGAUCAUGGCCGUCUCAAAGAGGUUUCUACAGGAUUAUAUGUCCAGUUUGUUCUGUAUUAAAGCAAACACCCAUAUGGACCUGACAAAAGGGAAGCAGAACAUCAAUUUUGACCUAAGUUCUGAAUCACAUGUGCGUGCCCCUGCCGCUGAUGCAUCUUGGAAACCGGCACAACAUGGUUGGGUUAAGCUCAACACGGAUGGGUCCUUUUCGGCUGAUGGCGGUGCUGGAGCUGGGAUGUUAUUGCGUGAUGCUCACGGAAACAUUAUAAUCUCAGCGUGCAGAGCACCGUACUCGUGUAGAGAUGCCCUAGAAGCUGAAUUAUGUGCAUGUAUGGAAGGGAUAUCCUUUGCAGUCCAACAUUCUCAUCUUCUGAUUGAAAUUGAAAUGGACUCGAGCAUGGCGGUGGAGAUGAUUUCUAGUGGCAAAGUGAAUCGUUCCGUUUAUGCUUCUUGGAUAGAAGAAAUAAAAAAUUUGUUAAGCCUUAGGCAGUCUUGUAUUACUCUUGCUCCUCGCUGUUAGAAUAAAGCGAGUGAUAGUCUCGCUAAAUUUGCUAGAAUAGAAGGUCGCACCAUGACGUGGGUUGGUUCGGGACCUGAGGAUGUGUUGAGGAUCGCCCAUGAGGAUUGUAAGAACCUGAUCAUUGAGUAACGCAAGUUUUUUUCUCGCAAAAAAAAGAAGGGCUCACAAGGAAACAUAUUAGCACUUUCCGGUCAGGGCACAAGGAACCACCAUCUUUAUGCCUAACAAAUAACGGAUAGCAUUGAUUGUCUAAUUUGGUAUGAAAAUAGCAGAACUGACAAUUUGAACCAACCCGUUGGGCUGAUGUGGAAAAUACCAACCACAAAAAAGUUUGACAAGCUAAGGUGGCAGAGGAGAUGCAGACCCCUCCUAUGAUUGACGAAAUGAUCGUCUUCAUCCCAUCACUCUUUCUAUGGAGCAUUGCAUCGAGCAGCUUGUGGGUGGUGUCGGUGUCAAAACCGGUGGAUCUCGGGUAGGGUGUCCCGAUCUGUGCGUCUUAGGCUGAUGGUAACAGGAAGCAAGGGACACAAUGUUUACCCAGGUUCGGGCCCUCUCGAUGGAGGUAAAACCCUACUUCCUGCUUGAUUAAUAUUGAAGAUAUGAGUAGUACAAGAGUAGAUCUACCACGAGAUCGUAGGGGCUAACCCUAAGAGAUAGCCUAUGAUGGUAUGAUUGUAAUUGUGAUCGGCCUUCUAAGGACCAUCCUCUCCAGUUUAUAUAGACACCGGAGAGGGCUAGGGUUUACAUGGAGUUGGUUACAAGGAAGAAAAUAUAAUAUCCGGAUCACCAAUGUCUUCCACGCAAAGGAGAGUACCAUCCGGACACGAGCCGAAGUCUUGAGUCUUGUAUCUUCAUGCUUCAAUAGUCCGGACGAUGUAUACAGUCCGGCUGUCCAGAUACCCCCUAAUCCAGGACUCCCUUAGGUGCCCCUGAACCAGGAUUCAAUGACGAUGAGUUCGGCGCGCAGUCUUGUCUUCGGCAUCGCAAGGCGGGUUACUCCUUCUGAAUACUCAAAGGUUAUUAUAGAACACGUAGGCCGUGUCCGGGUCUGCAAAAUGAUCUUCACACACCAUUGUAGGGAACAUAGCAUAAACCCGUUCUGCUGGCGAUCUUUGUAUGUCGUGCCCUUGCAUCGUGGCCUAGUCCAACACGAACCGGCGUUUCCUGCUCCACCUCGACUCGCGUUGCGAGGCGGUUUUAUUGGCACAUCCUGCCAAAUUAGAGAUCGCGCUCCUCUUAUUACGGGAUCUUUCAUCAAUAUGGGCGUGUGUGACCCUACGGCAACCGUUGGUAUGAAUCCGUGUAUUUUAGAUAAGUCUCAAGCGGUCACGCUGAGGACUCUUGAUGUUCAUCCCUUUUAUAAAGGGGUCAAGGCCUACGCCUCUUUUCCACCUCCCAUGCUCCUUCUCGAACCUCGAGUUCUAACACCCAAGAUCCAAGCUCCAACACCCCGAAUCCUCCAACAUGUCCGGAUCCGACGCAAAAGGCCGGUGGGUGGCCCCCUCGAUUCAAGAGGAGGACAUUACGAAGCUUAGGGAGGUCGGAUACCUGACUGCUGAUAUCCAGCACAGCUUCGUGCUCCGGGGCAAGUCAUCCCCACGCCGGAGCCCAAUGAGAGCGUUGUGUUCAUUCCUCACUUCCUCCGAGGCCUGGGCCUCACCCUCGACCCCUUUGUGAGGGGGCUCAUGUUCUAGGAUUUUCAUGAUCUGGCUCCAGACUCCAUCCUCCAUAUCUCGUCGUUCAUUAUUGUGUGCGAGGCCUUUCUCCACGUCGCCCCACACUUCGGCUUAUGGCUCAAGACCUUUAAUGUGAAGCCGAAGAUGAUCGAGGGGUGACAUGCGGAGUGCGGAGGUGCCAUAAUAAGCAGGAACACUGAUGCCCCAUGGCCAGAGGGUUCUUUCAUGGAAGUAUCCGAUGUAUGGGAACGGAUGUGGUUUUAUGCUACAGCUCCCAGAGGCACAAACUGGGUAGCCGCCCCCGAGUUCCGCUCGGGCCCUCCAUCACAGUUGGCGUCUUGGACCGACGUAGGACGGAAUUAUUGGCCUACUGGCGAUGUACCAGAACUGCAGAAUCGCAUUCGGGAGCUUAUUGAGAAGGACAUAAAUCUUGUCAGCAUAAUGCAAGUGAUGCGAAUCCGACGGAUGUUGCUGUGCAAACUUCGGCCUCUCCGGAUGUGGGAAUUUAAUCCGGAGGGUCCGCGGACUAUUAAUCACUUCUUCGGCCUGAAGCUCGAAGGGAUGUGUAAAUUAUUCUUCGGACCACAAGUAAAGUGUCCAGAGACCACCGAGGAUGCGGGCCUUAGCUGCAAUCGCCUAGAUGCCCAAGUAAGUAACCUUAAAGAUGGACACUUCAUUUAUAUUUAUCAUAACUAUCAUUCUAAAAAUCCCUCCACGGCCAGGAAUGGCUCAACAAGGCGGAGAGAAUGAGCUGUCCAGCGCCACAUCCUGAAGGUUUGCCUGAUCCAACCAUUGCCAAGAUGCUUGGCCGGGUGCUUAGCAAAAUCCCCUCAAGGAAAGGCGAAGGAAAGGGCAGUGAAGCCGAACUUCACACCCUGCGCAUCCAGACCAGGUGAUACGCUACUUCUCCUAUGGAGGAUAGUCGGGAAGGGGAGGUUAAAGCCUCUUCCCCACGCAGGAGGAAGAUGGCCGCCCCCGAAGACUUGGAGGCGGAGAUGCCCAAGCAAGGGAAGAAGGUAUCACCAGGCGGCUCUGCCGCGACGGGCACCCUCACCGCGUCAUGCCCACCAACGGGCCAGCCCUCCACCGAGCCGUAAUUUAUUCAUUAAUUCGAAGGUAUAGUGUUUCUCCGAGAUCCAUAACCGGGACUUCGUCUUUUGCAGUCCGGUGAGCAACUCUUCUCAACGGAGUUCUCUUUCGGGAGAUCUUCUUUCGAAGAUGAUGGAGAGUGAGACCCCACCCACCUCUCCGCCUCAUGAAGCAGGCGACACUGAGAUGUCAUCACGGAGGAGUCCGGAUCUGUCGGAGCCGGAGGCGAACACGUCAGUCGCCCUGAGCCCGGAGCGUUUGGCUCCCACGGGGGGCGAUGAGAAGGGUCCGGCACAGUUUGAUGUCCGGCCGGACAUACUAACGGGCCUUAUGGAGCGAGCCGCGCUCUCGAAGGAGCACCGCUCUUUAAUGAGCACGGUUCUCACGAAGAUUUCAUCCGCUACAAGCGGUUUGAAUGAGGCAUUUACAAGCUUGCUCAAAGCCUUUGAGGUAUGUAGUGAAAAAUGCACAAUUUUUGGUUAUGAAGCACGCUCUAGGUGUGGUCCCUAUGGAUAGUAGCCCCUGAGACUCUGGUUGCCCGCCAUAGGCGGCAAACGGGGGAUCAUAUAGUAAUGCUUGUGCCGUACAUGUGCGCAGGUAUAUAAGGAUCCGGCAGCCAACCAGUCUGUUGAAGUUGCCGAACUGAGGAGGCAGAUCGGAUCUAUUGAUGCCAAUAUCACGCUGGUGAACAAACGGCUGGAGGAGUCACAGGGUAUGUGCUCUUCUUCCCUUAUUAUGUUGUAUAGGAAAAUGCGAGAGUGGCAUAAUGUUAAUGCCAUGUGUUUGCACUACAGAUGGUGCUACUGCCGUGGAGGCCCUGAGGGCGGAACUUGCUCAGGCCAAGGAACAAGCUCGGGCUAGCAAUGCGGCUGCCCUAAAGGAGGACGAAGAAUUGAGAGCCGAACAGGCUGCUCAUCGCCGAAGCGAGGAAAAAAUAGCCGAAAUUGCUGAGGAGUUGAAAAAUGCCGCCGACCAGUAUGUACUCCUUGAAAAGGAGAAUAAGGCUAGUUAGCCCGAGCUGGACAAGGCACUAAAUGCUGCCAAGGAGAUGCGGACCAAAGUCUGGGGUAUGCGGGAGGAGCUCCAACAGGCCGACAAAAUCGUGGCUGGGGGCUCCUACUUACUGCGGACAAGGUUUUUGGAUCCGAAGUAUGCUCCCCUAGAUGGGCGCUAGAGUCCUGCAGACGCAUAUGUGGACUUGGCGAAGAGUACAGCGGACGCUGCUAAGUUCUUCGAGGGUCAAGGUGAUAAAGAAGUGGAGAAGCUUUUCUGGUCGCAGUUCCAUGCUCCCACUCGCCCGCUGCCGCUGAAUGAGAAGAUGGCUGCUAUGGCGGAGCUCCACAGGCUGUCCGGACUUGCAAUGCAGUCUGUAAUAGACCAUCUUUGGACAAAGGGGCCUAAGACGGACAUCUACUUUGGUUUGGUGCAGCAAUUCCUCGCAUUGACGCCAUGAGGAGGUCGGCGUGCAUAGAUGGAGCGCGGAUGGCUCUUGCCCGCGUUAAAACCUAUUGCACGAAUAUGGAGGCCACCAUUAUAGCGACCCAAGAUCCGGUGGGCGGCCAAUAUUCGGCCGAGCACUACUUGGCGCGGGUCACAGAAGGUGCCCGCCUAAUAGAGGCGCAAUGCUCGAAGAAUGUCCUCUUCGAGUGAUAAGUUGAAACAUUGUAAAAAACAAUGCUUAUUUUGAUUAUAAGGCUAUAUUUAUACUUUUUGCCUGAAAAUAUGAUUGUGUCCCCUGUACGGCCGUUUUUAUAUGUAUAAGUAGUCCGAAAGAUAGCAGUCGUUGGCUUCAGCCCCCACGCAUACAAUGCGGGGGUGUUCACGAAAAAUAUGCUUAAUCACACUUGAUCCAACAUCUUGGUCCAUUAAGGAUGUGAUCGCACGUCGAACUAGGCAACCGGACUAUAUAGUUGUAACACUUUCACUUAGCCAUGUGAGUCUAAUGGUGGGGCUACUAUGUAGCCCCUGGUACAUUCACGUGCAUCCGAAUUCGGGCGCGUGUGUACAUGGCCGGGAAACGACCCUUCGUUAAUGCGGAGGAAUCCUUAGAGAUUCUGGUGAGUCUUUGAGUGGUUGAACAGUCUCUCGCUGUAUCAUGACAGUCAAUUUUCGGCUUUCUCUACUGAGACGCUCAUCCGGAAUAACCAGGGCAUAAUCGCAGUAGUUCUCCUUUGGCCUGCCUUAGCCGAUAAUAACGAAACGUAAGGCGGCAAACCCAGGAGCUGGGAAACCCAACAUUUGACCAAAGACAUGAUUCAGAGCUGAUGCAUAUACGGCCAAACUCGUGACGCCGAACACUCCCGAGGGUAUUCAGUCUUUGUAAAAGAAAAUAGGCUGACGAGAGCCUAUUAUAAGCCCUAAAUUUCCAGGUAUGAGCGUUUUAAUCUGUCGUGGCGAAAAGCCAAUAGCGGCAGUAUCCUCUGUGGGUAUGGAACCCAUGGGAUAGUUAAACAACAAGAGGCAGUAGAAAAGGUUUACACAGGGGCUUAAUCUAAAAAGAAACCUGUUGCAUUGGGCCCUGCUGCACGUCUGCGCCUUUGUCUCCGUCGUGCCGUAUCCUGGAAGGGUAUCGCGUGAACGUUGUCUAUGGAGAAAAGAAAACUCGUAGGAGAGUACAACGUAAGUAUGCGAUUAAUAAUAGAAGUGUUAGAUAUUGGCCUGCCAGUAAGGUUGAGCCAGAUGUGGGGCUGCAUUAAAUAUUUAUAGCCCCUGGUAUCCGCUAUGGGAUUAUAUGUACGGUGCCCUGGUUCAGUUGUAUCCAGGCUACCGGACUCGUCCAACCGAGUCGGUGGUCGUAAUGACCAGUCAUGUUUUUUAUAUUGGAGGCCGCUUAUAGUCCGGCCGCCAGGACCGUCGCGUGGUCCUCUACGCAUGAGGAGCGCUCUGUGAUUCCGCUAACGGUGAUGACACCACGUGGACCGGGCAUCUUUAGUGUAAGGUAGCCAUAGUGAGGCAAUGUGUUGAAGCGGGAGCAUGCCGCUCUUCCAAGCAAUGCGUGAUAGCUGCUUUGGAAGGGUGCGAUGGUGAAGAGUAGUUCUUCGCUUCUGGAGUUACCUGGGGAGCUGAAUGUUACUUCCAGCACAACAGAGCCCCUGCCGUGGGCUUCAACGCCUGGUAUCACCCCUUCAAAGGUGGUGUUGCUUUGGAUAAUCCUGGAUGGGUUUAUGCCCAUUCUGCGAACAGUGUCCUCCUAUAUUACAUUGAGACUACUGUCGCCGUCCAUGAGGACAUGAGUUCCUUCGUCGCCUGCUUCCAACUCAGGCCGGACAUAGUUUGGCCCAAAGCCUCCUGACAAAGAGAGAGACUUUAAUGAGUUCAGCAUGUCGCCAAAGGGCGAGUGCUGGAAGAUGUCCGCAGCGGUAAACUCCAUUACCGGAGCCCAACCUGGCCCGACUGUCUCGAGGGUAUGCGGAUAGGGGCCAACAACCGGAUACGAGUCCGGGGGCCCGAGGUUACAGGCCUCAACCGAGGUGAGACCUAUGUUCGGCUCCAACGCCGAUGAGUAUGCGGCCUGCAGGGCGGGUUCUACUCCUCCGUCCUUGGGCAACGCAACCUGUUCCGGAUUUAGAUCCGGGGCUAUUGCAGGGAUGAUGUUCCGAGCAUUGUCCGACAGCAGGUCUAGGUCGUGCUCGUCGCGACUGUCCGGCGCUCCUAGCACAGGGCCGAAUCCAUCGAAGAUCAAGUCUCCGUGAAUAUCCGCCGUGUAGUUCAAGUUUCCGAACCUGAUCUGGUGGCCAGGGGCGUAGCUUUCGAUCUGCUCCAGAUGACCAGGCAAAUUGGCCCGGAGUGCGGAGCCACCGAACACGAAGAUCAGUCCGGGGAGAAAAGGCUCGCCCUGGACCGUGUUGUCGGUAAUUGAAGACGACAUAAAGCCUCGAAGCGACGACACAGAGGAACUCUCAAUGAAAGCACCAAUGUCGGUGUCAAAACCGGCGGAUCUCGGGUAGGGGGUCCCGAUCUGUGCGUCUUAGGCUGAUGUUAACAGGAAGCAAGGGACACAAUGUUUACCCAGGUUCGGGUCCUCUCGAUGGAGGUAAAACCCUACUUCCUGCUUGAUUAAUAUUGAAGAUAUGAGUAGUACAAGAGUAGAUCUACCACGAGAUCGUAGGGGUUAACCCUAAGAGCUAGCCUAUGAUGGUAUGAUUGUAAUUGUGAUCGGCCUUCUAAUGACCAUCCUCUCCGGUUUAUAUAGACACCGGAGAGGGCAAGGGUUUACAUGGAGUCGGUUACAAGGAAGGAAAUAUAAUAUCCGGAUCGCCAAGCUUGUCUUCCACGCAAAGGAGAGUACCAUCCGGACACGAGCCGAAGUCUUGAGUCUUGCAUCUUCACGCUUCAAUAGUCCGGACGAUGUUUACAGUCUGACUGUCCGGAUACCCCCUAAUCCAGGACUCCCUCAGGUGGUGUCCCGGAUUGGGAGAGUACCUGCUCGACGCUAGUUAGCAUCAAAAUGAGGACCUUUUGCUUAGAGGGUGUUUGCGGGCUGGCUCCUUGGUGGCCCGCUAGCUUAGUUUCUCUCGGAGUUUUAUUCGAAUAUUGAGGUGGCUAUUUCCUGACGAUUUCGGGAAUGUGUGCGUUGUUGUUUGCUGAACCAAAACUCACCUGUUUCCUGAAUGUUUCGUGGCUUAAGUGGAGACCUUUUGAAGAGUAAAAGGAAUCAGCAACUUUUAGUACAAUAAAUUGUUCCCAAAAAUGACUGUACCUACAACUUGUUUGCUGACUGUUUCAACUUUUAGUACAAUAUAUUUUUCUGAAUUUGAACAAAAUUUGCCUAGUUCUGAAUUUGCGGCAAGAUUUUAUAUAUAUAUAUAUAUAUAUAUAUAUAUAUAUAUAUAUAUAUAUAUAUGUAUACAUAUAUAUAUAAGUUGGCCACAAGCAUGGUAGAAUCUUUUUUUGUUGAACAAUAUUCACAGACAAGAAGAAUCGGCAAAAACAUUGAUUUGCGGCAACUAUCAGCAAAAACGGAAUACGUGUUGUUAAAGAAAAAUUAGUUUCCCAAAUGGGAGGAUAUUUGUUGGCAUUGUUUGAAUUUGAAAAUGUGAUCCACUUGUAUAUCUGUUCGUCCAGCUCUCUCUGAACUUGUAACAAAUUUAUUUAUGUUUAUUACCUGUUGGAAAAAAAUAUAAUCAAGUGCAAACAAAAAAUACUAGGGGCAAAAGUAGGUUUCUUGUAAUAUCAGCGGAAGUAGAUUUAUGUACUACUACAGUAGUUGCAAUUCUGAGGAAAAUAUGUUCCUUCUUCAGAUUCAUUUGAAUAUGCGGAAUCCCUGAUGAAUAUUAACAAAAUUAGGCCCCAAAAAAUCAUAACAGACAGAAAAAAAGUAUAGCAAAACUACAAGAAGGUUAAUGGAUACAGGAUAAUAAAACUAGGGAUAAGAGGAUGGGUUGAUCACACAUGACCCAAAUAAAUAGUCUGCGAUAGGGCGUAAGCACUCAUACGUUUGGUGGAAGAAAAGCGUAUGCGAUGCCUGAAUCUAUUCCAAAUGAAACAGGUGAGUUACGUGAAUGUAAUAUACCAAAUGUUUAUAUGUUCGAUUCUGUUCACUAAUUUUGAAAAAUGUUUGUGAGUUUGGAAAUUGUGCAAAAUUUCAAAAAUAUGUUCAUCAUUGCAAAAACAAAAUCAUAAAUUCAAACAAUGUUCAUGAAUUGCGAAGGACAAUGCGAGUUUAGAAAGUAUUCUAAAAUUAGAAAAAUGGUCACAAAGUUUAACAAAUGUUCACAAUUUGCAGAAAAGUUCAUGAAUUGAAAACAAAAUUCAUGAUUUAAAAUAAUUUAUAAAACUAUAAAAUUUGUGAAUUUGAAAAGAAAAAAAGAAAACUAUAAUAAAAAAUAAAAUAGAGAAAAACAAAAAAUGACAAAAAGAAAGAAAACAGAGAAAAAAAAGAUGAACAGAACAAUGGGCCAACCAAUUCGUACGAGCAGAACAAUCAGCAAAAAUGGAAUACAUGUUGUUAAAGAAAAAUUAGUUUCACAAGUGGGAAGACAUUUGUUGGCAUUGUUUGAAUUUGAAAAUGAUCCACUUGUAUAUCUGUUCAUCAAGCUCUCUCUGAACUUGUAACAGAUUUUUUUUAUGUUUAUUACCUGUUGGAAAAAAACAUAAUCAAGUGCAAACAAAAAAUACUAGGGGCAAAAGUAGGUUUCUUAUAAUAUCAGCGGAAGUAGGUUUAUGUACUACUACAGUAGUUGCAAUUCCGAGGAAAAUAUGUUCCUUCUUCAGAUCCAUUUGAAUAUGCGGAAUCCCUGAUGAAUAUAAAAAAAUUAGGCCCCAAAAAAUCAUAACAAACAGAAAAGAAAAAGAUAUCAAAACUACAAGAAGGUUAAUGGGUACAGGAUAAUAAAACUAGGGAUAAGAGGAUUUACAUGUUGGUGGACGAAUGAUUUCAGCAGUGGUAGUUUAAUUUCGUUGUCUAUAGAAUUAACUAGUCUUAUAAGAACUUCUAUCGAAGGCUUGAACAUCAUCCUAAGGAAUGAAUGCACAAAAACAAUGUUACAUGCUUUAGGAGAAAGAAAUGAUUCCUGUGUAAUCCAAAACAGUACAAAAGUAAUACUUGGUUUUUAACAUACGGCGAACAAUUUUUGAAUACAUAUUGACCAUUUUUAUAAUAAUACGCUGAACAAUUUUCAAACACAGACUUGACAUUUUUGUGAUAGAUACUGAACAUUUUGAAGUACACACUGAAAAAAAUUCAAAUACGUCGAAAUUUUUCUUAAUAUAUUGUGAACAUUUUGUUAAAUAUAGGAAUAAAAUUUUUUUUAUACACGAUGAAAAUUUUAUAAUGCAUGGUAAACUUUUUUAUAAUAUACGGUGAAACAUUUUUUCAAUACCAUGAGAAUUUUUUUAAUACGCGAUUAACUUUUUAUAUAACACACAAAAAAAGAGAAGAAGAAGUGAAAACAUAAAAGAAAAUAAACGAAAAGGUCGAAAUCGAAAGGAGAAAGGAACAGAAAAAAGAAACUGAUGAAAACAACUGAAAACCAGACAAGACAUUAAAAAACCUAGAAGCAAUAAACCACAGAAGAAAACAAAGGGAAACACACGAAACAACUACGAAGCAGCAUCAAUGGACAGAACACAAAUCCGGUGCGUGGGUUGUCCCAACCGGAGGCUCUCCCUAGCGAAGGCACAACGUUCUGAUGAUAACAAGCGUCAAAUAGGGUAUGGCCCAAUCAGAGGCUCUCCCCGGAUUGGGGGUCACUCACCACGUCAUCUCGCAUCUAGGUGGGCCGGGCCGAGGACCCCAUGUCAAUUUACCACUGGGCCAAAUCUAGGUGGCCCAUGAUGUAUAAACGGAAGCUUCCGUAGACUUGAUAUAUACUCCAACAAAUUUAGAGGUAGUCUACAACACGUCCACCUUGUACGUUACCGACUAGGUUGGAACUCUAGACCCCCACUGUAAUGGCGGGACCCAUGAUCAGCGACCCAGAUCAGCCAGGAACCAAACUAGCCAAGAAAGGAAUGAGCCAGGAGGAGUAGCUGAGUCGUGUGGUGUAUUAAAGGGGCCAAGUGUGGCCAGUUGUAAACUAUGAUGUGAUUUAGUCAAACCAAACGGAGAGAAGCUGAUCUUCCUCCUCCUUAUCCCCAUCCUCUCCCUUCGUCUCACCUACUCCCUUCGCAUCUCCCCUCCUCAGAUCCGUAGGCUAGAUCGGUCCCCUUACAUCUGGUAUUACAGGUCCAGCCCAUCGAUCUGGAGACCGCCUACCCCAAGCCACGUUACUAGACAAAGCAGGUGCAGCAAGCAGCGGUGGUGGAGGAGAAAAUCGCGGCCCUCGCCAAGGUCGUCCACGACGGGCGGUUGGCCAACGAGGCCCGCCUCGAUGCGAUCCAGCAGUCGCUGGAACUGUGGAGGCCAUCGGUCACGCAUCUCUAACAACAAGUCGACGAGGUGCGCAAGCAAGUGGGGCACAUCGCGCUACACCCGGCCCUGGCAGCGCCUCCGGAUCCGAUCCCGGAGGGCGACGCGGUGGUGCGACCGGCUUCGGCGCCAGACACUGCCGAGCACCACAGGCCGUUAGGCCACGGUGAGAUCGACAUCACCGGGGGCUCAGUACACGGGGUGGUCACCACCUAGUUGCCACCUCUGUUAAAAGAAAAUCCUUGGCCAAUUCUCAUGCUCUGAUUGCUGCUUGCGCAUCAGAUUCGCCCAUACCGCAUCAGAUCGACCCGCCCAUGACACAUUUCCCUAAUUGGUCGUUGCCUAAGCUCGAUUUUCCGGCGUUUGAUGGGGAAAAUCCGCAAUUCUGGAGAACCAGAUGCGAGAAAUACUAUGAUGUGUAUGGAGUGCAGCCCGAUCUGUGGGUUCGCAUCGCUACCUUGCACUUCACGGGUAGUGCCGCGCGCUGGCUGCAACUGCAGGAGUCUAGGAGUGGGUCUAUGAGUUGGGAAGAACUCUGUGCAGCCUUAGGCAUGAAGUUUGGGAGGGAAGAAUAUCAAGUUCAUCUUCGGCAGUUCCGUCUGCUGAAGCAAAAUGGCACAGUGCACGAGUACAUGUUACAGUUUGAGGAAAUCAUGCAUCCCUUGCUUGCGCACAACCCUGCUUUUGAUCAUGUGUUUUUUACCAUACAAUUUCUAAAAGGGCUUAAACAAGAAAUUCGUGUGGGUGUGUUAUUACAUCAGCCAAAGGACUUGGACUCCGCCUUCUCUUUGGCUUCCUUGUAGGAGGAAGUGAUGGAAGCGAUCCCCCGUCGCGAUCACCGGCGACAAGAAGGCGGGGGGCCGCGCAUACCACGUCUUCCCAUCGGGGUCGUCGGCGCACCGCAACAACGCCAACAACCACCAUGCGUGUCAGUGGCUGCAGAAGAUCGCAAAGGCCAGGAAGCAGCACAUGCUCCAGAGCGGGCAGGCCGCGGAGACGAUCGGGUGGCAGCGCUCAGGAAUUAUCGCCGCGCCCGCGGGGUUUGCUUCAAGUGUGGCGAGCGGUGGGGGCAGGUUAACCAAUGUGCACCCACCAUCCAGCUCCACGUCGUCGAGGAGCUCUUGGAGCUACUUCAAGCCGAGAACCCAGAGCAACAGCAGCACGACGAUGAAGGCCAGGAGGAGGUGUUGAUAUCCAUUUCCAAGAUGGCCACGACAGGACAAACUACACCGUGUACAGUACGGUUGCUGGGAUGAAUUGAUGGCAUGGAUGUGCUGAUUCUGGUCGACUCUGGCAGCUCUCAUAGCUUCAUCAGCGAGCAAAGUGUUGCGGGGAUGCAAGUCACAGUGCAGUCGCUGGCUCCAGUACCUGUGGAGAGAACUGUUGGGGCACGUUAUCAUGCACAUGCAUCUUGCCGCGAUGCAAGUGGAAGGCACAAGGGCAAGUUUUUCAGUCUGAUUUGCAAGUGCUAUCUUUGGGGUGCUAUGACAUGGUCAUCAGAAUGGAUUGGUUAGAGAAAUGUGGACCUAUGUGGGUGGAUUGGGCGAACAAAACACUCGAGUUCAACCAUGAGGGCAAGGAAGUGUUAUUGACUAGGAUUCAAUCUUGACUGUAGCCGGUUCCUCAAGUGCCAGCUGUGCAGCUCAGAGCCAUGGAGGCUGAGGGUGAUAUUCUCCAUUUCAUGACCCUAUGUGUGAUAACGCACAAGUCUAGUGGAUCGCAACAGCUUUCGAGGGUAGAGUAUUCAACCCAAAUUUAUUGAUUCGACACAAGGGGAGCCAACGAAUAUUCUCAAGUAUUAGCAGUUGAGUUGUCAAUUCAAUGACACCUGGAUAACUUAGUAUCUGCAGCAAAGUAUUUAGUAGCAAAGUAGUAUGAUAGUAACGGUAGCAGUGGCAAAAGUAAAGAUAGCAGUUUUGUAGUUGUUGUAAUAGUACCAACGGAAAAGUAAAUAAACGAAGCACAAUAUGUGAAAAGCUCGUAGGCAUUGGAUCAGUGAUGGAUAAUUAUGUCGGAUGUGAUUCCUCAUGUAAUAGUUAUAACAUAGGAUGACACGGAACUAGCUCCAGUUCAUCAAUGUAAUGUAGGCAUGUAUUCCGAAUAUAGUCAUACAUGCUUAUGGAAAAGAACUUGCAUGACAUCUUUUGUCCUACCCUCCCGUGGCAGCGGGGUCCUAAUGGAAACUAAGGGAUAUUAAGGCCUCCUUUUAAUAGAGUACUGGACCAAAUCAUUAACACAUAGUGAAUACAUGCACUCCUCAAACUACGGUCAUCACCGAGAAGUAUCCCGUUUAUUGUCACUUCCAGGUUGUCGGAUCAUAACACAUAAUAGGUGACUAUAGACUUGCAAGAUAGGAUCGAGAAAUCACAUAUAUUCGUGAAAACAUAACUGGUGUAGAUCUGAAGUCAUGGCACUCGGGCCCUAGUGACAAGCAUUAAGCAUAGCAAAGUCAUAGCAACAUCAAUCUCAGAACAUAGUGGAUACUAAGGAUGAAACCCUAAAAAAACUAACUUGAUUACAUGGUAAAUCUCAUCCAACCCAUCACUGUCCAGCAAGCCCAUGAUGGAAUUACUCACGCACGGCGGUGAGCAUCAUAAAAUUGGUGAUGGAGGAUGGUUGAUGAUGACGACAGCGGCAAAUCCCCUUCUCUGGAGCCCCGAACGGACUCCAGAUCAGCCCUCCAGAGAGAGAUUAGGGCUUGGCGACGGCUCCGUAUCGUAAAACGCGAUGAAACUUUCUCUCUGGUGUUUUUCUCCAUGAAACGGAAUAUAUAGAGUUGGAGUUGAGGUCGGUGGAGCGUCACGGGGCCCACGAGACAGGGGGCGCGCCCAGGGGGACGGGGCGCGCCCCCCACCCUCGUGGACAGGGUGUGGGCCCCCUGGCCUUGAUUCUUUCGCGAGUAUUUUUUAUAUUUUGCAAAAGUUAUCCCCUUGGAUUUUCAGGUCACUCCGAGAACUUUUGUUUUCCGCACAAUAAACAACACCAUGGCAGUUCUGCUGAAAACAACGUUAGUCCGGCUUAGUUUCAAUCAAAUCAUGCAAGUUAGUGUCCAAAAAAAGGGCAAAGGUGUUUGGAGGUAGAUACGUUGGAGACGUAUCAACUCCCCCAAGCUUAAACUUUUGCUUGUCCUCAAGCAAUUCAGUUGAUAAACUGAAAGUGAUAAAGAAAAACUUUUACAAACUCUGUUUGCUCUUGUUGUUGUAAAUAUGUAAAGCCAGCAUUCAAGUUUUUAGCAAAGAUUACGAACUAACCAUAUUCACAAUAACACUUAGGUCUCAUGUUUACUCAUAUCAAUUGCAUAAUCAGCUAGCGAGCAAUAAUAAUAAAGCUCGGACGACAACACUUUCUCAAAACAAUCAUAAUAUGAUAUAACAAGAUGGUAUCUCGCUAGCCCUUUAGGUGACUGCAAAACAUAAAUGCAGAGCACCUUUAAAGAUCAAGGACUGACUAAACAUUGUAAUUCAUGGUAAAAGAGAGCCAGUCAAAUCAUACCCAAUAUAAACUAAUAGUAUGAAUGCAAAUGACAGUGUGCUCUCCAGCGGGUGCUUUUGAAUAAGAAGGUGAUGACUCAACAUAAAAGUAAAUAGAUAGGACCUUCGCAGAGGGAAGAAGAGAUUUGUAGAGAUUCUAGAGCUUGAUUUUAAAAUAGAGAUGAAUAACAUUUUGAGCGGUAUACUUUCACUGUCAAUGCAACAACUAUGACAUCUCGAUAUCUUCCAUGCUACAUACAUUAUAGGCGGUUCCCAAACAGAAUGGUAAAGUUUAUACUCCCCCACCACCAACAAGCAUCGAUCUAUGGCCUGCUCGAUACAACGAGUGACUCCAACUAGCAAUAGCCCUGGGGGAGUUUUGUUUAAUUAUUUUGGUUUGCUUUGAUCUUUUUAAUCAUGGGACUGGGCAUCCCGGUUACCUGCCAUUUUCUCGUGAAUGAGGAGAGGAGUCCACUCCCCUUGAUAAGAACCCAUCUUGCAUGGAAGAUACAGACAGCCCUAGUUGAAACAUGAGCUGCUUGAGCAUAGAAAACAUAAUUUCAUUUGAAGGUUUGGAGUUUGGCACAUACAAAUUACUUGGAACGGCAGGUAGAUACCGCAUAUAGGAAGGUAUGAUGGACUCAUAUGGAAUAACUUUGGGGUUUAUGGAAUUUGGAUGCACAAGCAGUAUUCCCUCUUAGUACAAGGGAAGGCUAGCAAAAGACUGGGAAGCGACCAAUUGACAGAGCGACAACAGUCAUGAACAUAAAUAUCAUGAAGGCUAUGUUGAUUUGUUUCAACUACAUGCGUGAACAUGUGCCAAGCCGAGUCACUCAAUUCAUUCAAAGGAGGAUACCAUCCCAUCAUACCACAUCACGAUCAUUUUAAUAGCUUGUUGGCACGCAAGGUAAACCAUUGUAAGCUCCUAGCUAAUUAAGCAUGGCAUAAGCAACUAUAAUCUCUAAAUGUCAUUGCAAAUAUGUUUACUUCAUAAUAGGCUGAAUCAGGAACGAUGAACUCAUCAUAUUUACAAAAACAAGAGAGGUCGAGUUCAUACCAGCUUCUCUCAUCUCAAUCAGUCCAUCAUAUAUCAUCAUUUUUGCCUUUCACUUGCAUGACCGAACGGUGUGUAUAAUAAUAAUGGCGCACGUGCUUUGGACUAAGCUGGAAUCUGCAAGCAUUCAAUUCAGGAGAGAAGACAAAGUAAUACGGUCUCUAGGUUAAAUCAACAAUCAUGCAUAUGAGAGCCACUAAACAUUUUCAAUAUAGUCUUCUACUCUCGACCCCCAAAGGAAAGAAGAGAAAAUAAAACUACUUACACGGGAAAGCUCCCAACAAGUAAAAAGAAGAACGAGAAAUCUUUUUGGGCUUUCAUUCAAUUACAACUACAAGCAUGGAAAUUAAACUAACUAAUUUUUUUGGUGUUUCUAAGGUUUAUCAAACAAACAAGAAGAAAACUAGAAAUAGAAAUUAAACUAGCAUGGAUAAUACAAUGAAAGAGUAUGAGCUCCGAUAACUAGAAUAGUGUCUGAACAUGAAUGUAAAGUCGGUGAGAAAUACGUACUCCCCAAGCUUAGGCUUUUGUCCUAAGUUGGUCUAUUGCUAAGGGUAGCCUAGCUGAUAUCCGAAGUUAUAAGUGGGGUCGUAGUGUGAUGCAGUAGCCAAUGCAUCCUGAGCUACGGCAUGUUGGCGAGCCGCCUCCGCUCUCCCCUCUUGUUCGGCUGCCUCCUCCCUGGUAACAACAUAUCUUUGUUUUGACUGGUAAUCAAAAACGGAAGGAGCAGGAAGAGUAACAUGGACAGCGCGAUGUCUGUCAAAGAUUAGUCGAUAUUGGAGGAAUUGCUCAUUCCUCAAAAGAAAACGAUGUCUGACCAUCGCGUCAUAAUCUAAUUAAGUAGGAAGCUACUCAAUAUCCUCCUCACGUGGAGAUAUACCAAGAUAAUUAGCACUAUGGGUCGCAUAAAUUCCUCCAAAUAAAUCUCCAGAUAUACCAUUAUUAUGCAACCUACAUGCAACUAUUGCCCCCAAGUUGUAAUCUUUAUUACCUAGCACAACACUCUUGAGGACACAAAGAUCAGGGACACACAUGUGACAUGCUUGGCAAUGGGUAGGGUAUGGGCAGGGUAGAGCAAUACCAUACCCAUACCCGUAUAGUCAGUGGGUACAAAAUUCUACCCAUACCCGUACCCAUGGGUAUGAAACUUUACCCAUACCCAUACCCGACGGGUACCCGUACCCAUUGGGUACCCAGCGGGUAGGACAAAUAGUACACAGGUUGUUCACAAAUUUAUGCUCGUUGAUAGCACAUUUGAAAAAAAUUCAAUUAUCUCAUCACAAUAAUAGGUCGAUGAGUAAUUGACCAAUAUCAAAAUUUAGAAAUCACAACAUACUCUUAAGUCAAUAGGAGUGGACGAGUCACAUGACAAAUUAAUGACUAAUUGACGACAACUUAACAUUAGUUCACAAACGUGCAGGGUAUGGGUAUACCCGUGGGUACAAGACUAUACCCGUACCCUACCCAUGACCUAAUGGGUAGGAUAUGGGUACUACUCGUGGGUAUAAAAGUGUGCCCAUACCCUGCCCAUGCGGGUACGGUACCCACGGGUACUCGUACCCAUGGGUAAAAUUGCCAUCCUUAUGCUUCAUGUUUACCGUUAAUGCAUCUACCAAGGAAGAGAGCAAAAAAAAUGUAUAGCAGGAAAAUGAAUGCUCCCUAUGGUGGCUUGUGUUAUUUCCCUAGAUUCUCACACAGUGAUACUAGCAAGGAAGUCUUUAUAUUCAGAUUUGAGUGGUUCCAUAACAUUGCCCCACUGCGGGAGUUUGCAAGCAGUAGUAAAAUCUUCUAGGUCCAUGGUAUAAGAUUCAUCAUAAAUAUCAAAUAGGACAUUCUGAGAAUUACGCGAAGAUGAAAAUUUAAACCUUCUCACGGAUGAAUCAGUCAAUUGGUAGUACUGAGGACACUUAUCUUUUAUGAUCGGCAUUGCACACAUAUGCGUCAAAUUCAUCCUUAAUGCCUGCAUUGACCAUAAAAUCCUCUGACGGCCAUUCACAAGCCCGCACUCUGCUUCCCUUGAUGGUUCAUCGUCUUGCUCGUGCAUAGCACGUCUAGAUCCUCUCUUUGUUGAGGUACCACCUUGGUACAUUCUCCUAGAUAUUUCUUUCUUCUGAAAAAUUUCAAGCAACAGUCUCCCAAAGCAGUUUUGUGAAUGGAGCUUUGAGCAAGGAGAUCGAAAAUCUCAGCAAAAUGAGCUAGAACUCGUGCUUGAGCUGGAUGGGGAUUUUUUUGGGAGGAAGAUGGAGUGUGUGUUGGGGAACGUAGCAGAAAUUCAAAAUUUUACUACGUGUCACCAAGAUCUAUCUAGGGAGAAACCAGCAACGAGGGGAAGGAGAGUGCAUCUACAUACCCGUGUAGAUUGCUAAGGGGAAGCGUUCAAGAGAACGGGGUUGAAGGAGUCGUACUCGUCGUGAUCCAAAUCACCGGAGAUCCUAGUGCCGAACUGACGGCACCUCCGCGUUCAACACACGUACAGCCCGGUGACGUCUCCCACGCCUUGAUCUAGCAAGGAGAGAGGGAGAGGUUGAGGAAGACUCCAUCCAGCAGCAGCACUACGGCGUGGUGGUGAUGGAGGAGCGUGGUAGUCCAGCAGGGCUUCGCCAAUCACUGCGGGAGAGGAGGAGUAAGAGAGGUAGGGCUGCGCCAAUAGAGGGAGAAACUCAUGUGUUGGGCAGCCCCCAAGCCUCAAGUAUUUAUAGGGGGAGGGGAGGGGGCUGCGCCCCCUCUAGGGUUCCCUCCACAAGGGUGGCGGCAGCCCCCAGAUGCCAUCUGGGUGGCGGCCAGAGGGGGAGAGAGGGGAGGCGCGCCUGGGGUGGGCCUUAGGGCCCAUCUGCCCUAGGGUUUGCCCCCUCCCACUCUCCCUUGCGCCUUGGGCCCCUUGUGGGGGGUGCACCAGCCCACAUGGGGCUGGUUACCUCCCACACUUGUCCCAUGCAGACCCCCGGGGUUGGUGGCCCCACUUGGUGGACCCCCGGAAAAACCCGAAACUUUUCCGGUGACCAAAACAGGACUUCCCAUAUAUAAAUCUUUACCUCCGGACCAUUCCGGAACUCCUCGUGACGUUGGGAAUCUCAUCUGGGACUCUGAACAACAUUCAGUAACCACAUACAAACUUCCUUUAUAACCCUAGCGUCAUCGAACCUUAAGUGUGUAGACCCUACGAGUUCGGGAACCAUGCAGACAUGACUGAGACGUUCUCCGGUCAAUAACCAACAGCGAGAUCUGGAUACCCAUGUUGGCUCCCACAUGUUCCACGAUGAUCUCAUCGGAUGAACCACGAUGUCAAGGACUCAAUCGAUCCCGUAUACAAUUCCCUUUGUCUAGCGGUAUUGUACUUGCCCGAGAUUCGAUCGUCGGUAUACCGAUACCUUGUUCAAUCUCGUUACCGGCAAGUCUCUUUACUCGUUCCAUAACACAUCAUCCCGUGAUCAACCCCUUGGUCACAUUGUGCACAUUAUGAUGAUGUCCUACCGAGUGGGCCCAGAGAUACCUCUCCGUCACACGGAGUGACAAAUCCCAGUCUCGAUUCGUGCCAACCCAACAGACACUUUCAGAGAUACCUGUAGUGCACCUUUAUAGCCACCCAGUUACGUUGUGACGUUUGGUACACCCAAAGCAUUCCUACGGUAUCCGGGAGUUGCACAAUCUCCUGGUCUAAGGAAAAGACACUUGACAUUAGAAAAGCUUUAGCAUACGAACUACGAUCUUUGUGCUAGGCUUAGGAUUGGGUCUUGUCCAUCACAUCAUUCUCCUAAUGAUGUGAUCCCGUUAUCAACGACAUCCAAUGUCCAUGGGCAGGAAACCGUGACCAUCUGUUGAUCAACGAGCUAGUCAAUUAGAGGCUUACUAGGGACAUGGUGUUGUCUAUGUAUCCACACAUGUAUCUGAGUUUCCUAUCAAUACAAUUAUAGCAUGGAUAAUAAAUGAUUAUCAUGAACAAGGAAAUAUAAUAAUAACUAAUUUAUUAUUGCCUCUAGGGCAUAUUUCCAACUGUCUCCCACUUGCACUAGAGUCAAUAAUCUAGUUCACAUCGCUAUGUGAUUAACACUGAUAGGUCACAUCGCCAUGUGACCAACAUCCAAAGAGUUUACUAGUGUCACUAAACUAGUUCGCAUCAUCAUGUGAUUAAGACUCAAUGAGUUCUGGGGUUUGAUCAUGUUUUUCUUGUGAGAGAGGUUUUAGUCAACGGAUCUGCAACAUUCAGAUCCAUAUGUACUUCGCAAAUCUCUAGGUCAUAUUGUAAAUGCUGCUUCCACGCUCCACUUGGAGCUUUUCCAAAUGGUUGCUCCACUAUACGUAUCCGGUUUGCUACUCAGAGUCAUUCGGAUAGGUGUUAAAGCUUGCAUUGUCGUAACCAUUUACGCCGAACUCUUUAUCACCUCCAUAAUCGAGAAACAAAUCCUUAUUCCUCUAAGGAUAAUUUUGACCGCUAUCUGGUGAUCCACUCCUUGAUCACCUUUUGUACCCUCUUGCCAGACAUGUGGCAAGGCACACAUUAGGUGCGGUACUCAGCAUAGCAUACUGUAGAGCCUAUGUCUAAAGCAUAGGGGACGACCUUCGUCCUUUCUCUCUUUUCUGCCGUGGUCGAGCUUUAAGUCUUAACUUCGUACCUUACAUCUCAGGAAAGAACUCCUUCUUUGACUGAUCCAUCUUGAACACCUUCAAGAUCAUGUCAAGGUAUAUGCUCAUUUGAAAGUAUCAUUAAGCGUUUUUGAUCUAUCCUCACAGAUCUUGAUGCUCAAUGUUCAAGUAGCUUAAUCGAGGUUUUCCAUUGAAAAGCACUUUUCAAAUAACCCUAUAUGCUUUCUAGAAAUUCUACAUCAUUUCUGAUCAACAAUAUGUCAACAAGAUAUACUCAUCAGAAAUUCUAUAGUGCUCCCACUCAUUUCUUUGGAAAUACAAGUUUCUCAUAAACUUUGUAUAAACCCAAAAUCUUUGAUCAUCUUAUCAAAGUGCAUAUUCCAACUCCGAGAUGAUUAGUCUAGUCCUUAGAAGGAUCGCUGGAGCCAGCAUACCUUUUAGCAUCCUUAGGAUCGACAAAACCUUUUGAUUGUAUCACAUACAACCUUUCCUUACGGUAACUGGUAAGGAAACUCGUUUUGACAUCCAUCUGCUAGAUUUCAUAAAUGCAGCUAAUGCUAACAUGAUUUCGACAGACUUGAGCAUCGCUACGGAUGAGAAAAUCUCAUCGUAGUCAACUCCUUGAACUUGUGAAAAAACUAUUCGCCACAAGUCGAGCUUCAUAGACGGUGACAUUACCAUCCACGUCCGUCUUCUUCUUAAAGAUCCAAUUAUCUCAAUGGCUUGCCGAUCAUUGGGCAAGUCCACCAAAGUCCAUGCUUUGUUCUGAUACAUGGAUCCUAUCUCGGAUUUCAUGGCUUCUAACCAUUUGUCGGACUAUGGGCCCACCAUCGCUUCUCCAUAGCUCGUAGGUUCAUUGUUGUCUAGCAACAUGACCUUCAAGAUAGGAUCACCGUACCACUCCGAAGCAGUAUGCGUCCUUGUCGUCCUACGAGGUUCGGUAGUGACUUGAUCCGAUGCUUCAUGAUCACUAUCAUAAGCUUCUACUUCAAUUGGUGUAGGUGCCACAGGAACAACUUCAUGUGCCCUGCUACACACUGGUUGAAGUGAUGGUUCAGUAACCUCGUCAAGUCUCCACCAUCCUCCCACUCAACUUCUCGAGACAAACUUUUCCUCGAGAAAGGACCCGAUUCAAGAAACAAUCCCUAUUGCUUUCGGAUCUGAAUUAGGAGGUAUACCCAACUGUUUUUGGGUGUCCUAUGAAGAUGUAUUUUAUCCUCUUUGGGUUCGAGCUUAUCAACCUGAAACUUUUCACAUAAGCGUCGCAGCCCCAAACCUUUAAGAAACGACAACUUAGGUUUCUCCAAACGGUGUCGUCUCAACGGAAUUACGUGGUACCCUAUUAAAGUGAGUGCGGUUGUCUCUAAUGCCUAACCCAUGAACGAUAGUGGUAAUUCGAUAAGAGACAUCAUGGUAUGCACCAUAUCCAAUAGGGUGCAACUAUGAUGUUCGGACACACCAUCACACUAUGGGGUUCCAGGCGGUAUAAAUUGUGAAACAAUUUCCACAAUGUCUUAAUUGCGUGCCAAAGCUCGUAACUCAGAUACUCAUCUCUAUGAUCAUAUCAUAGACAUUUUAUCCUCUUGUCACAAUGAUCUUCAACUUCACUCUGAAAUUACUUGAAUCAUUCAAUAAUUCAGACUUGUGUUUCAUCAAGUAAAUAUACUCAACAUCUACUCGAAUCAUCUGUGAAGUGAGAACAUAACGAUAUUCACUGCAUGCCUCAGCACUCAUUGGACUGCACACAUCAAAAUGUGUUACUUCCAACAAGUUGCUAUCUUGUUCCAUCUCACUGAAAACGAGGCUUUUCAGUCAUCUUGCCCAUGUGGUAUGAUUUGCAUGUCUCAAAUGAUUCAAAAUCAAGAGAGUCCAAACAAUCCAUCUGCAUGGAGUUUCUUCAUGCGUAUACACCAAUAGACAUGGUUCGCAUGUCUCAAACUUUUCAAAACCGAGUGAGUCCAAAGAUCCAUCAACAUGGAGCUUCUUCAUGCGUUUUAUACCAAUAUGACUGACAUGGCAGUGCCACAAGUAAGUGGUACUAUCAUUACUAUCUUAUAUCUUUUGGCAUGAAAAUGUGUAUCACUACGAUCGAGAUUCAAUAAACCAUUCCUUUAGGUGCAAGACCAUUGAAGGUAUUAUUCAAAUAAAUAGAGUAACCAUUAUUCUCCUUAAAUGAAUAACCGUAUUGCGAUAGACAUAAUCCAAUCAUGUCUAUGCUCAACGCAAACACCAAAUGACAAUUAUUCAGGUUUAAUACUAAUCUUGAUGGUAGAGGGACUGUGCGAUGGUUGAUCACAUCAAACAUGGAAACAGUUCCAACACAUAUCGUCAUCUCACCUUUAGCUAGUCUCCGUUUAUUCCGUAGCCUUUUAUUACUAACACUUAGCAACCGGACCGGUAUCUUAAUACCCUGGUGCCACUAGGAGUACUAUUAAAGUACACAUUAACAUAAUGUAUAUCCAGUAUACUUCUAUCGACCCUGCCAGCCUUCUCAUCUACCAAGUAUCUAGGGUAAUUCUGCUCCAGUGGCUGUUCCCCUUAUUACAGAAGCACUUAGUCUCGGUUUUGGGUUCAACCUUGGGUUUCUUCACUGGAGCAGCAACUGAUUUGCCGUUUCAUGAAGUGUCCCUUCUUGCCCUUGCCCUUCUUGAAACUAGUGGUUUCACCAACCAUCAACAAUUGAUGCUCCUUCUUGAUUUCUACUUUCGCGGUGUCAAAACAUCGUGAAUACCUCAAGGAUCAUCUAUCCCUGAUAUGUUAUAGUUCAUCACGAAGCUCUAGCAGCUUGGUGGCAAUGACUUUGGAGAAACAUCACUAUCUCAUCUGGAAGAUCAACUCCCACUCAAUUCAAGUGAUUGUUGCACUCAGACAAUCUGAGCACAAGCUCAACGAUUGAGCUUUUCUCCCUUAGUUUGCAGGCUAAGAAAAUCGUCGGAGGUCUUAUACCUCUUGAUGUGGGCACGAGCCUGAAAUCCCAAUUUCAGCCCUCGAAACAUCUCAUAUGUUCCGCGACAUUUCGAAAAACUUCUUUGGUGCCUCAACUCUAAACCGUUUAACUGAACUAUCACGUACUUAUCAAAACGUGUAUGUCCGAUGUUCGCAACAUCCACAAACAACGUUUGGGGUUCAGCACACUUAGCGGUGCAUUAAGGACAUAAGCUUUCUACUGUCCGCAUAAUCGCUACUAUCAACUUUCAACUAUGUUUUCUCUAGGAUCAUAUCUAAACAGUGGAACUAAAGCGCGAGCUUACGACAUAAUUUGCAAAGAUCUUUUGACUAUGUUCAGGAUAAUUAAGUUCAUCUUAUGAACUCCCACUCCGAUAGACAUCCCUCUAGUCAUCUAAGUGAUUACAUGAUCCGAGUCAACUAGGCCGUGUUCGAUCAUCACGUGAGACGGACUAGUCAUCAUCGGUGAACAUCUUCAUGUUGAUCGUAUCUACUAUACGACUCAUGCUCGACCUUUUGGUCUGUUGUGUUCCGAGGCCAUGUCUGUACAUGCUAGGCUCGUCAAGUCAACCUAAGUGUUUCGCGUGUGUAAAUCUGUCUUACACCCGUUGUAUAUGAACGUAAGAAUCCAUCACACCCGAUCAUCACGUGGUGCUUAGAAACGAUGAACUUUCGCAACGGUGCACAGUUAGGGGGAACACUUUCUUGAAAUUUUAAUGAGGGAUCAUCUUAUUUACUACCGUCGUUCUAAGCAAAAAAGAUGCAUAAACAUGAUAAACAUCACAUGCAAUCAAAUAGUGACAUGAUAUGGCCAAUAUCAUUUUGCUCCUUUUGAUCUCCAUCUUCGGGGCUCCAUGAUCAUCAUCGUCACCGGCAUGACACCAUGAUCUCCAUCAUCAUGAUCUCCAUCAUCGUGUCUUCAUGACGUUGUCUCGCCAACUAUUACUUCUACUACUAUGGCUACCGGUUAGCAAUAAAGUAAAGUAAUUACAUGGCGUUGUUCAAUGACACGCAGGUCAUACAAUAAAUAAAGACAACUCCUAUGGCUCCUGCCGGUUGUCAUACUCAUCGACAUGCAAGUCGUGAUUCCUAUUACAAUAACAUGAUCAAUCUCAUACAUCACAUAUAUCAUUCAUCACAUUAUUUUGGCCAUAUCACAUCACAUAGCAUACCCUGCAAAAACAAGUUAGACGUCUUCUAAUUGUUGUUUGCAUGUUUUACGUGGCUGCUAUGGGUUUCUAGCAAGAACGUUUCUUACCUACGCAAAACCACAACGUGAUAUGCCAAUUGCUAUUUACCCUUCAUAAGGACCCUUUUCAUUGAAUCCGUUCCGACUAAAGUGGGAGAGACUGGCACCCGCUAGCCACCUUAUUCACCAAGUGCAUGUCAGUCGGUGGAACCUGUCUCACGUAAGUGUACGUGUAAGGUCGGUCCGGGCCGCUUCAUCCCACAAUGCCGUCGAAACAAGAUUGGACUAGUAACGGUAAGCAUAUUGAACAAAAUCAACGCCCACAACUACUUUGUGUUCAACUCGUGCAAAGAAUCUACACAAUAGACCUAGCUCAUGAUGCCACUGUUGGGGAACGUAGCAGCAAUUCAAAAUUGUCCUACGUGUCACCAAGAUCUAUCUAGGGAGAAACCAGCAACGAGGGGAAGGAGAGUGCAUCUACAUACCAUUGUAGAUCGCUAAGAGGAAGCAUUCAAGAGAACGGAGUUGAAGGAGUCGUACUCGUUGUGAUCCAAAUCACCGGAGAUCCUAGUGCCGAACGGAUGGCACCUCCGCAUUCAACACACGUACAGCCCGGUGACGUCUCCCACGCCUUGAUCCAGCAAGGAGAGAGGGAGAGGUUGAGGAAGACUCCAUCCAGCAGCAGCACUACGGCGUGGUGGUGAUGGAGGAGCGUGGUAGUCCAGCAGGGCUUCGCCAAGCACCGCGGGAGAGGAGGAGUAAGAGAGGUAGGGCUGCGCCAAUAGAGGGAGAAACUCAUGUGUUGGGCAGCCCCCAAGCCUCAAGUAUUUAUAGGGGGAGGGGAGGGGGCUGCGCCCCCUCUAGGGUUGCCUCCCCAAUGGUGGUGGCAGCCCCCAGAUGCUAUCUGGGUGGCGGCCAGAGGGGGAGAAAGGGGAGGCGCGCCUGGGGUGGGCCUUAGGGCCCAUCUGCCCCAGGGUUUGCCCCCUCCCACUCUCCCUUGCGCCUUGGGCCCCUUGUGGGGGGCGCACCAGCCCACAUGGGGCUGUUUCCCUCCCACACUUGGCCCAUGCAGCCCUCCGGGGUUGGUGGCCCCACUUGGUGGACCCCCGGGACCCUCCCGGUGGUCCCGGUACGUUAUCGGAAAAACCUGAAACUUUUCCGGUGACCAAAACAAGACUUCCCAUAUAUAAAUCUUUACCUCCAGACCAUUCUGGAACUCCUCAUGACGUCCGGGAUCUCAUCCGGGACUCCGAAAAACAUUCGGUAACCACAUACAAACUUCCUUUAUAACCCUAGCGUCAUAGAACCUUAAGUGUGUAGACCCUACGGGUUCGGGAACCAUGCAGACAUGACCGUGACGUUCUCCGGUCAAUAACCAACAGCGGGAUCUAGAUACCCAUGUUGGCUCCCACAUGUUCCACGAUGAUCUCAUCAGAUGAACCACGAUGUCAAGGACUCAAUCGAUCCCGUAUACAAUUCCCUUUGUGUAGCGGUAUUGUACUUGCCCGAGAUUCGAUCGUCGGUAUAACGAUACCUUGUUCAAUCUCGUUACCGGCAAGUCUCUUUACUCGUUCCGUAGCACAUCAUCCCGUGAUCAACCCCUUGGUCACAUUGUGCACAUUAUGAUGAUGUCCUACCGAGUGGGCCCAGAGAUACCUCUCCGUCACACGGAGUGACAAAUCCCAGUCUCGAUUCGUGCCAACCCAAUAGACGCUUUCAGAGAUACCUGUAGUGCACCUUUAUAGCCACCCAGUUACGUUGUGACAUUUGGUACACCCAAAGCAUUCCUACGGUAUCCGGGAGUUGCACAAUCUCAUGGUCUAAGGAAAAGACACUUGACAUUAGAAAAGCUUUAGCAUACGAACUACGAUCUUUGUGCUAGGCUUAGGAUUGGGUCUUCUCCAUCACAUCAUUCUCCUAAUGAUGUGAUCCCGUUAUCAACGACAUCCAAUGUCCAUGGUCAGGAAACCGUGACCAUCUGUUGAUCAACGAGCUAGUCAAUUAGAGGCUUACUAGGGACAUGGUGUUGUCUAUGUAUCCACACAUGUAUCUGAGUUUCCUAUCAAUACAAUUAUAGCAUGGAUAAUAAACGAUUAUCAUGAACAAGGAAAUAUAAUAAUAACUAAUUUAUUAUUGCCUCUAGGGCAUAUUUCCAACAGUAUGUGGGUGCAGGAAUUAGUGGAGGACGGCCACCGUGGGCCCACGAGACAGGGGGCGCGCCCAGGGGGUGUGGGUGCGCCCUCCACCCUCGUGGCCAGGUGCUUGCCCCCCUGCAGUGUUCUUAGUGCCUAAAAUCCUUAAAUAUUCCAUAAAAAAUCAUACAAAAUUUGCAGGUAUUUGGAGCACUUUUAUUUUUGGGGUAUUUUUUAUUGCACGGAUAAUUUAGAAAACAGAGAGAUAAUACUAUUUUUGCUUUAUUUAUUCUAAAUAACAGAAAGGAAGAAGAGGGUACAUAAGGUUGUGCCUUCUAGUUUCAUCAAUCUCAUGAUCAUCAAAAUGAAUCCACUAACAAGGUUGAUCAAGUCUUGUUAACAAACUCAUUCCGAAUAACACGGAACCGGAGAAAUUUAGAAUAACACUAGGUUACCUCAACGGGGAUAUGAACAUCCCCAACAAUAAGAAUAUCAUACUUUUUCUUGACAGUAGGAAGAGGAAAUUCAAAACCUCCAAUAAUGAUAGUUGGAACUUUUCCAAUAGAAUUGAUGCUAUGAACUUGAGGUUGUUUCCUCGGAAAGUGUACCGUAUGCUCAUUACCAUUAACAUGAAAAGUGACAUUGGCUUUGUUGCAAUCAAUAACAGCCCCUGCAGUAUUCAAAAAGGGUCUACCAAGGAUAAUUGACAUACUAUCAUCCUCGGGAAUAUCAAGAACAACAAUGUCCAUUAAAAUAGUAACGUUUGCAACCACAACAGGCACAUCCUCACAAAUACCAACAGGUAUAGCAGUUGAUUUAUCAGCCAUUUGCAAUGAUAUUUCAGUAGGUGUCAACUUAUUCAAUUCAAGUCUACGAUAUAACGAGAGGGGCAUAACAGUAACACCAGCUCCAAGGUCACAUAAAGCAGUUUUAACAUAGUUUCUUUUAAUGGAGCAUGGUAUAGUUGGUACCCCUGGGUCUCCAAGUUUCUUUGGUAUUCCACCUUUAAAAGUUUAAUUAGCAAGCAUGGUGGAAAUUUCAACUUCCGGUAUCUUUCUUUUAUUUGUAAUGAUAUCCUUCAUAUAUUUAGCAUAAGGAUUUAAUUAAAGCAUAUUAGUUAAGCGCAUACGUAAGAAGAUAGUUCUAAUCAUUUCAGCAAAGCACUCAAAAUCCUCAUCAUCCUUUGUCCUGGAUGGUUUAGGAGGAAAGGGCAUGGGUUUCUGAACCCAUGGUUCUCUUUCUCUACCGUGCUUCCAAGCAACAAAAUACACUUAUCAUAACAUUGAUUCUUUAAUUGUGGGUUAUCAAGAUCAACAGCAGGUUCAGCCUCCACAUCAUUAUUUUUGCUAGGUUGAGCAUCAACAUGAACAUUAUCAUUAACAUUAUGACUAGGUUCAUGUUCAUCACCUGAUUGUGUUUCAGCAUCAGAGUUAGAAAUAUUAUUGAUAUUCUCAGGUGUGUCUAUAACAGGUUCACUAGAAGCAUGCAAAGUCCUCUCAUUUUCCUUUUUCUUCUUUUUAGAAGAACUAGGUGCCUCUAAAUUAUUUCUCUGAGAAUCCUGCUCGAUUCUCUUAGGGUGGUCUUCAGGAUACAAAGGUUCCUGAGUCAUUCUACCAGUUCUAGUAGCCACUCUAACAGCAAAGUCAUGUUUAUUAUUUAGUUCAUCAAGCAAAUCACUUUGAGAUUUAAGUACUUGCUCAGCUUGAGUGGUAACCAUAGAAGCAUAUUUGCUAAUGAGUUUAAGUUCACCUUUAACUCUAGCCAUAUAAUCACUCAAGAGUCCUAUCUCGAAAGCAUUAUUCUUUAAUUCUCUACCAACAUAAGCAUUAAAACUUUCUUCUCUAGCCAUAAAGUCAUCAAAUUCAUCUAAACAUGGGCUAUGAAAUUUAGUGGACGGGAUUUCCUUCAAUAGGGGGUAAAUUCUUAACAUCUUCAGCUUUAAUACCUUUUUCUUUCAUAGAUUUCUUUGCCUCUUGCAUAUCUUCAGGACUGAGAAAUAGAACACCCCUCUUCUUCGGAGUUGGUUUAGGAAUAGGCUUAGGAGUUGGCUCAAUUGGCUCAGGAAUUGGCUCUGGAAGAGUCCAAUUAUUUUCAUUAGUCAACAUAUUAUUCAAUAGUAAUUCAGCUUGGUCGAUUGUUCUUUCCUUGAAAACACAACCAGCACAACUAUCAAAGUGGUCCUUCAAAGUAUCGGUUAGUCCAUUAUAUAAAAGAUAUCAAGUAUUUCAUUUUUCUUAAGAGGAUGAUCAUGCAAAGCAUUAAGUAAUCGGAGAAGCCUCCCCCAAGCUUGUGGGAGACUCUCUUCUUUGAUUUGCACAAAAUUAUAUAUUUCCCGCAAGGCAGCUUGUUUCUUAUGAGAGGGGAAAUAUUUAGCAGAGAAGUAAUAAAUCAUAUCCUGGGGACUAAGCACACAACCAGGAUCGAGAGAAUUAAACCAAGUUUUAGCAUCACCCUUUAAUGAGAACGGAAAUAUCUUAAGGAUAUAAUAGUAGCGAGACUUCUCAACAAUAGUAAACAGGGUGGCUAUAUCAUUCAACUUGGUAAGAUGUGCCACAACAGUUUCAGAUUCAUAGCCAUAAAAAGGACCAGAUUCAACCAAGGUAAUUAUCUCAGGAUCAACAGAGAAUUCAUAAUCCUUAUCAGUAACACAAAUAGGUGAAGUAGCAAAAGCGGGAUCAUGUUUCAUUCUAGCAUUAAGAGAUUGCUGCUUCCAUUUAGCUAAUAACUUCUUAAGAUCAUAUCUAUCUAUGUAAGCAAAAAUAGCUCUAGCAGCUUCUUCAUCCAUAACAUAACCCUCAGGAACAACAGGCAAUUCAUAAUCAGGGGGAGAACCUUCAUCAUCACUAUCAUCAAUAAUUUCGUUCUCUCUAACCCUAGCAAGUUGUUCAUCAAGAAAUUCACCUAGUGGCACAGUAGUAUCAAGCAUAGAAGUAGUUUCAUCAUAAGUAUCAUGCAUAGCAGAAGUGGCAUCAUCAAUAACAUGUGACAUAUCAGAAUUCAUAGCAGUAGCAGGUUUAGGUGUCGCAAGCUUACUCAAAACAGAAGGAGAAUCUAGUGCAGAGCUAGAUGGCAGUUCCUUACCUUCCCUCGUAGUUGAGGGAAUAAUCUUAGUUCUUGCGUCUUUCAAGUUCUUCAUAGUGAUUAUCAUAUAUAAAUCCAAAGUGACUCAAAGAAUAGAGCUAUGCUCCCCGGAAACGGCGCCAGAAAUUAGUCUUGAUAACCCACAAGUGUAGGGGGUUGCAACAGCUUUCGAGGGUAGAGUAUUCAACCCGAAUUUAUUGAUUCGACACAAGGGGAGCCAAAGAAUAUUCUCAAGUAUUAGCAGUUGAGUUGUCAAUUCAACCACGCCUGGAUAACUUAGUAUGUGUAGCAAAGUAUUUAGUAGCAAAGUAGUAUGAUAGUAAUGAUAACAGUGGCAAAAGUAAAGAUAGCAGUUUUGUAGUAGCUGUAACAGUACCAACGGAAAAGUAAAUAAACGAAGCACUAUAUGUGAAAAGCUCAUAGGCAUUGGAUAAUUAUGUCGGAUGUGAUCCCUCAUGUAAUAGUUAUAACAUAGGGUGACACAGAACUAGCUCCAGUUCAUCAAUGUAAUAUAGGCAUGUAUUCUGAAUAUAGUCAUGCGUGCUUAUGGAAAAGAACUUGCAUGACAUCUUUUGUCCUACCCUCCCGUGGCAGCGAGGUCCUAAUGGAAACUAAGGGAUAUUAAGGCCUCCUUUUAAUAGAGUACCGGACCAAAGCAUUAACACAUAGUGAAUACAUGAACUCCUCAAACUACGGUCAUCACCGAGAAGUAUCCCGAUUAUUGUCACUUCUGGGUUGUCGGAUCAUAACACAUAAUAGGUGACUAUAGACUUGCAAGAUAGGAUCAAGAAGUCACAUAUAUUCAUGAAAACAUUAUAGGUUCAGAUCUGAAAUCAUGGCACUCGGGCCCUAGUGACAAGCAUUAAGCAUAGCAAAGUCAUAGCAACAUCAAUCUCAGAACGUAGUGGAUACUAGGGAUCAAACCCUAACAAAACUAACAUAAUUACAUGGUAAAUCUCAUCCAACCCAUCACCGUCCAGCAAGCCUAAGAUGGAAUUACUCACGCACGGCGGUGAGCAUCAUGAAAUUGGUGAUGGAGGAUGGUUGAUGAUGACGGCGACGAAUCCCCCUCUCUGGAGCCCCUAACGGACUCCAGAUCAGCCCUCCCGAGAGAGAUUAGGGCUUGGCGGCGGCUCCGUAUCGUAAAACGUGAUGAAACUUUCUCUCUAUUUUUUUCUCCACAAAACAGAAUAUAUAGAGUUGGAGUUGAGGUCAGUGGAGCGUCAGGGGGCCCACGAGACAGGGGGCGCGCCCAGGGGAGGGGCGCCCUCCCCCACCCUCGUGGACAGGGUGUGGGCCCCCUGGCCUUGAUUCUUUCGCCAGUGUUUUUUAUAUUUUCCAAAAGUUAUCUCCGUGGAUUUUCAGGUCAUUCCGAGAACUUUUGUUUUCUGCACAAUAAACAACACCAUGGCAGUUCUACUGAAAACAGCGUCAGUCCGGGUUAGUUUCAUUCAAAUCAUGCAAGUUAGAGUCCAAAACAAGGGCAAAAGUGUUUGGAAAAGUAGAUACGUUGGAGACGUAUCAGUGUGCUAUGGCGCCAGAGGAGACCGACAAAGGAAAACUUCCAGCAGAAGUGCAGGCAGUGCUGGAUGAAUUCCAAGUGGUCUUUACAGAACCAACAGGACUCCCUCAGCAUAGAGAUUCGGAUAACUCCAUCACACUGUUGCCAGGGGCCAAACCAGUGAACAUCCGGCAGUACUAUUACACCCCUGAGCAGAAGACAGAGAUCGAGAACCAAGUCAAAGAAAUGCUGAAAGAAGGACUAAUCACUCCAAGCAUUAGCCCGUUCUCAUCACUGGUGCUGUUAGUCAAGAAGAAAGAUCUUACCUGGAGAUUCUGCGUGGAUUUUCAACAUCUGAACACCAUCACCGUCAAGAACACAUACCCCUUGCCGAUCAUCGAUGAAUUGCUCGACAAACUAGCAGGAUCCAAAUGGUUCUCGAAGCUCGACCUGCAAGCAGGAUACCACCAGAUCAGGCUGCGACCGAAGGAUGAGGAGAAGACAGCGUUUAAAAUGCAUCAGGGGCACUUCCAAUUUCGAGUGCUUUCAUAUGGAGUGACAAGUGGACCAGCCACGUUUCAAGGAGGCAUGAACACAAUGUUUGGACCACUACUGUGCAAAGGAGUUUUAGUUUUCAUGGCUGAUAUCCUGAUGCACUCAUCCACCUUCUCCGGCCAUCUUAUUCUUCUACACCAAGUUCUUACAAUACUGAAGGCAGACAACCUGCAAGCAAAACCCUCCAAAUGCACAUUUGCGCAUAACAACAUCUCGUACUUGGGGCACCAGAUCAGUGAUGCAGGAGUCUCAACAGUGCCCGAAAAAAAUCAGGCAGUGACAACUUGGCCGCAGCCAGCAUUAGUGAAAGAGCUGUGUGGGUUUCUGUGGUUAGCUGGGUACUAUCGCAAAUUUGUGUGCAACUUUGGCAUCAUCAGCCGGCCCCUCAUAGACCUUCCCCGCAAGAACUCACCGUUCAUAUGGACGAACAUCGCCGAAGAGGCAUUCCAAGAACUUAAAAGAGCUCUAGUCCAGGCCCCGGUGUUGGCAUUACCGGACUUUGCAAAGCAGUUCAUGGUGGAGACUGACGCAAGUGCUACCAGAGUAGGGGCAGUCUUAAUGCAAGAGGCGCAUCGCGUGGCUUAUUUGAGCAAGGCCCUUUGUCCGCGGAGCCUGGGCCUCUCAGCAUAUGAGAGAGAGAGUUUGGCACUGUUGUUGGCAAUCGAUCACUGGCGGCCAUACCUCCAACACACAGAGUUCCUAUUCCGCACCGAUCAAAAAAGCUUGCUUAACCUCACCGAUCAGUGCUUGAAUACCCCAAUUCAACAGCGCGUGUUUACCAAAUUGGUGGGGAUGCAAUUUCGCAUCCAGUACAAAGCAGGGACAUUGAAUCGAGCCGCAGAUGCACUGUCGAGACUCACCGUUCAAAUUGGUGUCCCAAAAAUUGGUUCAAAUGGCUCUUUCUGGCUGAAUAUUGGUAUAACACUUGUUUUCACUCUGCCCUGGGGCGUACGCCGUCCGAAGUGAUCUACGGGCAUGUGCCUCGAGAAUUUGGUAUGAUCCAAGUGGAAGAGUGCACGGUGCCGGACUUGGCAGCAUGGCUGAAGGAGAGGGAUGUUAUGCACGAGCUACUACAGCAACAUCUCAAACAGGCUCAAGACAGGAUGAAGAAGCAGGCCGAUAAGCACAGGACAAACAAGCAGUUUGCUGUGGGAGAGUCGUUAUACUUACGCCUGCAACCUUGCAUCCAAACAUCACUUGCGCAACGACCGUACCAGAAACUGGCCUUCCGAUACUAUGGACCAUACAAGAUCAUAGGGCACGUGGGAGCAGUGGCCUACAAGUUGCAACUUCCGGAGGGGAGCAAGAUACACAAUGUGUUGCACAUAUCUCAACUCAAGCAAGCAGUCGGUGUGGACGUGCCAAUCGCAGGUUCGCUUCCUCCUGAUAACGCCACUCUUCGGGCCUUACAUGUUCCUUGCAGCAUCCUCGACGACCAGCACGGUGGCACAUCCGAUACCAGCACGCGUGUGCGGGUGCUCUAGGACAACCUGCUGGUAUCCAUGGCAACUUGGGAAGACCUGGACGAACUCCGUCGCCGUUUUCCAGCAGCACCAUCUUGGGGGCAAGCCGGCUCACAAGGAGGGGAGAAUGUAACGGUGUGACCCAUGGUCAGCGACCCAGAUCAGCCAGGAACCGAGCCAGACAAGAAAGGACCGAGCCAGGAGGAGUAUUUGAGUCGUGUGGUGUAUUAAAGGGGCCAUGUGUGGCCAGUUUUAAACUAUGACGUGAUUUAAUCGAACCAAACGGAGAGAAGCUAAUCUUCCUCCUCCUUAUCCCCUUCGUCUCCCUUCGUCCCACCUACUCCCUCCGCAUAUCCCCUCCUCAGAUCUGUAGGCUAGAUCAGUCCCGUUACACCUAGCCCUGGGCACCUAUAUAAAUUGAGGGGUGGCGCACGUACAAGACAAACAACGAUCUCAUGGGUACCUAUAUAAUUUGUACUAAAUCCCAAAUCAAUAUAACACAAGCAUGAUGUAAGAUUUUAUCUCAAACGAGAGCCCGACCAAAGGUAAAAACCCGUGUCUCUAUUAUCAUCGCCUCAAGGCUACUAGCUCGGGACCCCUACCCAACAUCCACCAAAUUCAACCCUAACAUUGGUGGCCCAUACAGAACCCAGGACAUAGUCGUAGUGAGUCGAUGGCACUGGAGCAGCAACGUCCUAUGCAAACGGGUUUUACCCCCUUUCUGUGAAUAGCUUUAAACCUUCGCCUUGCUAACAUGGGCGAUAGGGUGGGUCGAUCACACAUGACCCAAAUAAAUAGUCUGCGAUAGGGCGUAAGCACUCAUACGUUUGGUGGAAGAAAAGCGUAUGCGAUGCCUGAAACUAUUCCAAAUGAAACAGGUGAGUUACGUGAUUGUAAUAUACCAAAUUUUUAUAUGUUCGAUUUUGUUCUCUAAUUUCAGAAAAUGUUUGUGAGUUUGGAAAUUGUUCAAAAAUUCAAAACAUGUUCAUCAUUGCAAAAACAAAAUCAUAAAUCCAAACAAUGUUCAUGAAUUGCAAAGGAAAAUGCGAGUUUAAAAAGUAUUCUAAAAUUAGAAGAAUGGUCACAAAGUUUAACAAAUGUUCACAAUUUGCAGAAAAGUUCAUGAAUUGAAAACAAGAUUCAUGAUUUAAAAUAGUUUCUGAAAUUAUAAAAUUUGUGAAUUUGAAAACAAAAAAGAAAACUAAAAUAAAAAAUAAAAUAGAGAAGAAACAAAAAAUGAAAAAAAGAAAGAAAACAGAGAGAGAAAAAAGCAUAACAGAACAAUGGGCCAACCAAUUCGUACGAGCAGGGGUGCGCGUGUGGUCGGUAAGCCCCGACCCACACGGAGAACAGGAAUCGCUUUUAGCUCCCAGAAAACAGGAGAGGUUGGAAAAACAUCAGACAUUUAGUUGUGAUCUUUUAUCAUGUCUAGAAACUACAAUCUAUUAUCUUUUAUUAUUCCCAACAAAUCAUAUCAAAAUUAUAUGUAUAGUUGUUUUGUCGAAUAAAUUCUAUGUAGCAUUAGAGAAAUAGCAAAUUCGGCAAUGUGUAUCAUGAGCAUUAGUUAUCUAAGGUAGUUUGACUCUGUGAGAUAACAAUGAAUUGUACAAAUACAAAUACACACACUAACAAACACACACCCAUGAACUUAAGUCAAGUUCUUAUGAGUACAAAAGUCUUCUUCCUCUAACAUCCACCAUAGUGCGCCAUGAGCGAAGCUCGUUACCGCCUUUGGGCUUUCGUGUCGCGGAAGAAAACUUGUUGAAAUCUAGGAGCUUAUAGAAGUAGCGGCCUGGAAGUUUUCAAUGUAGAUCAGAAGACACCAGCAACCAUGAACGAGUUAGCAAAUCGUCGGCCUAAGAAGAAAACGCCCGAGGGAGCCUGUAGAAUGUACCAUGUUCGAACAGAGUUGGGGAAGGCAAAUCUCACAUGUUCCACAAUGAAGCCGAGGCUGGCCAACCUUUGUCGAUCGGACAUGGAGCGGAUAACAAAAAACACACAACGACAUGGUCCACCCCGCAGGACAAUGCCACCUGGACACAUCUACAAAAGAAAAAACUAUAAUGGGAGGACCAGAUCUGUGGACACAUCAUCCUCCACAUGCCUCCUGGCGGUACGAAGAAGCACCACUUAAACAAGAGUGAGUUGGGGAGACGAUAUUCCACAUCGAGGGAUGCCAUCGUGUCGCCAGCGUAGAUCGGAGACAUAACCUUUUUUUCGUAAACCUACCACCACCGAAGCAAAGUCCUAGGGUCCCAGGCCCCUCUGCACCAGAGGGAUAGACCGAGAAAGAGGGUGCCUUGUCUCGCCAGGGAGUCUUGGAAUAUUGGUCGUUGGAUCCUAGAUCAUGGGAUCCAUGGGAAGGCGAUGGCCCCUCUUUACAACUCAAAAGGUACACCAAGCACCAGCCGAGGAUAAUUGAGCAUACAUAUCAAUGUGCAGUUAGGAUAUGGUGCAUGGUCGAGAUAUGCCAGGAGGAGAUUCCUCGCAUAUAGGUAUAUGAUUAUGCAUACAUGAGGUCAUCACACUGGGGCUACAAGUGGGAGACGUCCCUAUCGAGAGUCUCAUCUUGCAACAUAACCUAUAUGUUCUCCACUGAGGCUGCAUUUUUGGAUUUUGCAGCAGCCGCGUAUGUGCCCUAUAUUUGCGGCAAAGGAGGCAUUUAUUAGGGCUCCCUAAAACUUGGACCACAAAAAUACAGAGAUAUGGCAGCCGUUGGAGCACAGUUUUUUGUCCAAAUGCCCUAAAAACCCAUUUUUUUAUGAAGUUGUCCUAUUUUAUAUCACCUGUUGGAGAUGCUCUUACAAGGUGGCAAGAAGGAGAUUUGCUAUGUUUACACGACACAAGUGCAUCGUAUUUAAGAUUUAUUUUCUUUUAGGUACGCAUGACUUCUGACUUUGGCAACGCGCAACGCGCAACCCUAGCAUAGUUAUGUUGUGUCUCUUUUUUGUUAAUGACCCAUUAACCUUAUCCAUUUGUGUGUAUCUCAUACAGUAACUUAGGGUAAUUAAGCAUUCACUUCAACAUGCAGUUAGGAGGUGGUGCGUGCUGGAGAUAUGUUAGGAGGAGGUUCCACGGAUAUAGGCAUAUCACACUGCAUAUGUGGGGGUUACCGAGGAUAUAAGACAGAGACGACCCUAUCUAAGGAGUCUCAUCUCGCAACACAACCCAUCGUUACCUCUACACUCGCCUCUGCCGACCCUUCCCCCGUCAGUCAGCAGGGCGAAGAAAGCAAUUGUCUCCGGACAUUCCCUGGUGAUUAGUAACCUGCACAUGUAAAAGGGCGAUGACGUUUCUAAGUGGUUCUUGUCAUGACUACGUCCACCAAUUGCUCCUUCAAAUCUCCAUCGACUACUAGAUUAUCUUCAUCUUCAUCACCAAUCGCACGGUAAGAAACUUUUCAUUGCGAUUGAUUACUUCUUAUGUGAUAUUACUACCAUUUAGUUUCUAAGGAACUGUGUUUUAUCUCAUUCGUAGAUGGCGUGCUAGUUACAUAUGCUAUAUUAAUUAUGGUUGACUUAGCAUUGUCAUCCAUAUUGUCGUACAUUCGGGAUUUUAUUAAUGCAAUCUUUUGUUUUUCGAUGAAAAAGAAAAUAGCGUUGCUAUUUAAUUCAAGGUUGACUUCCAGGUCGAGUUGCCUGAACGGGUUUGAAUGUGAUGGUGAACACGGUGACAGGUGACCCCUGAAGCUUUUUUCCACUUAGCACUGAUUCAUAUUGUUGGUUCAUUUUCACAACUUCUUUUCUUACACAUGCUUUUAGUUUGUCGGAUUGGUUUGAUCUUUUCUCUCUACUCAAAUGGUGCAAAUUAAAUUGAGCAUAAAUAUACUCUAAUAUAUAAACUUUGCGCACCGUGUAUUACAGAGGGUUGGAGGGAUGUUAUUUAUGGCGAAAUAAACCCUUGAAUACAUACAUGCUGCAAAUCUGUUUAUAAUGCAAAAUAUAGAUAUGUUGCUAAAAAUAGAAAUAACGAAAAUCUGUACAUGAGGGAAGAACAUUUAUAGAAAAAUGUUUGGAAACAAAUCAAUGACAAUAAUCCAAAUCCAGGAGCACCCAAACACAUUAAACGAGAUAUGUUUUAGAUACACCAAUAAGACACAAUCCAUUAGAGGGCCUAUAUCCAAAUAUAUACGUAUUUAAUGCAUAUCAUAUACUCUAAUAUAUAAUAUAUUUGGAGUGCCAUUACUUGCUAUUACUGCGAGAUAAAUGACACGGUCCAAGAUUCUAUAAGUGUAUGGUCUCUCCCGAACUUAUCAACAGCACCAUCACUUGCUAUUUUUUUCCUAACCAGAUUGCUUAUGAAAGUAUCCUGUUGGCCUCUGGUUGACGAAUCCAUGGCCUCGUCCACAUACACUCCAUCUGUAUGAGAAGCAAUAAUAGCGGCGCCAUACGUAGUGGAUAUUGCAAUACACCAGAUGGCGCCCGUGCGAUCCAGAACGAGGUCACCAUGGUAAUAUAUCUACUAUCCCUUUUGGAAGAAUAAUUUUACGUUUUUUGUAUAUUGGAUUCAGAAUCUGUUUCCACAACGUUAGCCACAGAUUAUGUGUAACCGGGCCAUGUCAGCUUUCAGGUACGUUAAUUCUAGGAGAAACUAUAUUCACUCGUCCGAUCUUAAAGGGAGGGCAAUGUGCAAACGAUUCAGAUUUCGAUCGUGAGACUCUCGGCAGUCCGCGGCUCUUAACAAGCGAUCUCUACGAAAAAGGCAAUCUCCACGGUACUAGGUACCCUGCAGAUCAAAUUGUUAAUAAAAAGGUAGCGUGCAGAUCAGAUUCAAAAGAAUACUACACAGUCUUGGCGAGUUGGGGCGAUGUUGAUGAGCGUGCCUUUGUCCGAUGAGNNNNNNNNNNNNNNNNNNNNNNNNNNNNNNNNNNNNNNNNNNNNNNNNNNNNNNNNNNNNNNNNNNNNNNNNNNNNNNNNNNNNNNNNNNNNNNNNNNNNNNNNNNNNNNNNNNNNNNNNNNNNNNNNNNNNNNNNNNNNNNNNNNNNNNNNNNNNNNNNNNNNNNNNNNNNNNNNNNNNNNNNNNNNNNNNNNNNNNNNNNNNNNNNNNNNNNNNNNNNNNNNNNNNNNNNNNNNNNNNNNNNNNNNNNNNNNNNNNNNNNNNNNNNNNNNNNNNNNNNNNNNNNNNNNNNNNNNNNNNNNNNNNNNNNNNNNNNNNNNNNNNNNNNNNNNNNNNNNNCGCUUUGGCAGCUACAUUCUGUACCUGAUCUAGAUGAGGCAAAGGUAAUUGUUUCCGCGAGGUUUGAUCUAUAUGUCAUACUACAUGCUAAAUAGUUCGGAACGUAAGAUUAUGACUUUGUGUGUGCUUUAGAUCUAGAUAUUGCAAAUUCCCUGCUACAGUAACUUUACUGCUUUUUGCAUGAAGCACACAUAUGGCUGAUGAUGAUGAAUCUAUAUUUCGUGGAUGCAUAUGAUUGACUGUAGGCAUGGGAUUUGCUUAUAAUUUGAAGCAAGGUGUGAUAACUACACAAAUGUCUCAACUUUAGGCAUAACUAGGAGGAAAAAAACUAAAAAUCAUUAUAUGCUUAAAUUCCCAUUCUAAUAUACUACUACAAGGUGAAUCAUCCACGAGAAAGAUCGCAUGCGCACACACAAUUAUCUAUCAUAUACUGAUGCAUAAGCUAUAAUCCCCACUUUCCCUCAAGUUUUUUUUUCUGAUUUAAUCAUUGAUAAGGAAAAAUAAUAUCCAUGUCAUCUAUCUAAUGAAUUUUAGUGGAGAAAAGUAAGAGAAAAGAACAACACACUUUUGAGGUAGUUUAGAGAAAACAUUUUUGCAUGAAUGCGUAAAUAUUAGCAUGAUAAAUGAUAGAGAUUUUAAAAUUCUAUUUACACAAAAUUGAAGCAUCUAGACUUAACAUGUGCAAAUAUAACUACAAGGCUAUUCAUCAUCUAUAUUAGAUAACAUACGGUACAAAUAGGAAAAGUGGUGGUGAAAGUUGUAUGUUUCAAAUCUUAUAUUAUUGUUAAAAUCAGAAGGUGGUUGAGCUUUGCAGUAUCAAGAUAGCAUGGAUUAUUACUUGAUGUCUUGCAAUUUCUUUUAUUUUAGUCCAUCUCAAAUAUAACCAUUUUAUAUUCCGCUCAAGAUUAUCAACAAUACAAACUCUAAGACUUCCAAGCCUGUGACUAAAGGUUGACAUGAGAAAUGCAAGUCGGCAAAUGGGAAAGAAACAUACCAUUAAAAACUAAAUUCUAUUUUCAUUAGAUUACUCAAUAAAGUAUAACGAUCUCUGUAUAACUACAGGUAUAUCUCUAUAUAUGUUAAAUGAGUGUACAAACAUAUACAUGCCUUACUAUGAGUUUAUUCAGUAUACUCUUACUGUUUAUUUUGGAUAAUCUUAGUAUUAACAUCUAAUUAUAAUUUUUCAUAGGAACUCUUGUUUAAUUAUCCUAUCCUCACUUUUCUUUGAUUUCACUCUAAUAACAUCCUGGAAUUUACUUACACAAUCUCCUGCUCACACAUGGAUUUAUGUCUGCGAUAGUACUAACUCGCAGUAAAUCAUAAUGUCCUUCAUAUGUUAUAAUGUCUAUUUGAAUGAAAGAAUAGUUAUGCAUACUCUCUUCAACAAAGUUGGCAUUUGUUUAGCUCUUUAGCUAUUAUACACGAUGAAGCAUGAGUAAUUAACAGCACAUGUGGGAAUGCACUAGUUGACGGCUAGUUAUUCAUAAUUCUGCUCAUUAGGGAAACUAAUACUUCAAAUAAUGUAUUAUGUUAGUUCAGUAAUAGAGUUAUGAUGGGAUUAUGAUGUUCCGACACAAUUUACAUAUUUCUCUUAAUUGUUCAAAGUGGACCUUUAAUUUAGUUUCAGAUUUUUUCCAAAAGGGGAAAACCCAGGCCUCUGCGUCAUACGACACAUACAGCCCAUAAUUUAGUUUCAGAAUAGAUUUGUUAGUUGAUUAGUGAAGAUUGAUACUUCUGCAUCACACUGUUAUAUUUGUUCAUGAUACAUCUGCUAACGCCCGCCUUGUUUGUGUUUGCAGGGCGCCUCUCACGGAACCCAAUGAUGAUGAUCUGCUCGCUUCGUCGUGCACUCUAGAUCACUUGCAGCCGCAGGUCAUUGGUAUCUCUCAUGAUGCUCUGUUGCCCCCACCAGCUCCACUGGAGGAAGUCACUCAGCCUACUGCUUCUACUCAUAUGGCACCACCUGCUAUUCCUGUGGUGGGGGAGUUGCCCAACAACGUGGUGGUGGCCGCGCCUGCGCAUGGGCCUCUGCGUCGCAGCUCCCGCAACGAGCAGCUGUACCAUGGGGCUCGGGUAGGCGCGGUGGAGCGUGCUUCCAAGCGCAAGGCUACUAUUAUGGACCUCCCUCUCAAGACCACCCCUAAGCCAAUGAAGAAGGGCAAGCUACUGCCUGAGUCUUCCAAGCUCGACAAGGAUGCCAUUAUCUCUGAGACUGAAGGAGCUGGAUCCACUUUGGCCUCGCGUAAGCACAUCCUGUCUGGCCCUUGUUGGUGCCGACUGCCAACCGUCUAGUCUGUUUCAUCUCGGAGCUUAGUUGUACCUGUCUGCAUGUUGUUAUCUUCUUUACGUGUCUUGGUUACCAAACAUUAUUGUACUUGUCUCGUUUUAGUUUCUCUCUGCAUUCGUUGUUAUGAUCAGUCACGUCAUCACUAUAUGAUGGUGUUGCAUGUAUUACUGUAUGAUGUUCUAGCCAUAAGCUCCAGCUUGCAUUAAUAUACACAUGUGCCUCUUUCUCGAUUUGCCUUUUGAUGUUUCUUCCUUGCUGCUUCCCUGGAGAUAUCUUUUUUGGUGCAUAUGAGAAUCCUUAACUAAAAAUUACGCGACUUGGACAAUGCUGGCAAAUGCAUGCUUGUCCGUGUUACGUUCAAGGCAUGCAAACACGGAAGUGUUUAUUUGUUCACCCCAAACUAAACUGAAAAAUGUCACUGUAUCCAAAGCGUCACGAUUGCUCUCGCCUAAUAUGUGAUCUUACAUGGCUAUGCCAGUGGAUGGCAAUCAUGGCAUCUGAGGUUUUAUAACUAUCGCAUGGGAUCAGACGCUCGUGCACUGCUCUCCUAAUGACAAACAUUGCUAUCAUGUUUCAGUUGUGCCGAACCUCUGUGUGCCGCACAAGUUGUUCGAGACAGUCACGACUUGAGCUCCCCAUCCCUGCCCGUCUGCUGUUACUUCCUCGCCGCUCGCCACCUGAGAUAGCAAGUUUUCUCAGCCGAAGCUCACCUGCAUCUGUCUCAGCUGAUGGCAGUAGUAGUUGUUUGUGGACUGACAAUGAAUCAUAUAUGCCUCGCUGAUUCCGCACAGAGAGAGGCCUCUGCAAUAUUCGGUGGACAAAAUGUAUUUCUAAUUUUCUAUAAAGGGAGGAGCUAUUUCAACUGGAUAAGAGGUUGACUGUGUUAUUCCUUUACUUAAAACAAAAUUCGUUGCAUUGUGUAGGGAGUCCGGUCUCGAUAUUUUUUCUUUUUUCAUAGGUUAGGGGUUGCAAAAUUCGUUGAAUGUUUGGCCCAGUAAUCAUUUAUUUUUGGAAGCAACGUUUGUUGAUUUGUGUGAUGCGUGCUUCAGCUCAAGAGGGAAGAACUUGCACCUGUUGGUUCGAUAUGAGCAAAGGAGUUGGUAUGGAAUGUUAAACAGAAUGCGUGCACUCAGGGACGUCUACGCCACCCACAAGUAUGGAAUGUUAAACAGAAUGCGUGCACUCAGGUUCGAUAUGAGCAAAGGAUUUGGUAUGGAAUGUUAAACAGAAUGCGAGAAGAAAUUCCCCUCCCCCGCAAGUAAAAACGGUGAACAUGAUCUAUGCCACCCACAUCCCCAAACGGGAGCGAAAGCGUGCACUCAGGGACGUCUAUGCGAUGGAGCCUGUCGCCCCGAAAUUCAACCCAUGGUCAUCCUGCCCGAUCACCUUUGAUAGUAGGGACCAUCCCACCAGCAUCCGCCAUGCCGGCUCAGCCGCAUUGGUCCUUGACCCAAUCAUAGAAGGAUUCCACCUCACACGAGUCCUCAUGGACGGUGGCAGCAGCCUGAACCUGCUUUAUCAGGAUACAGUGCGCAAGAUGGGCAUCGAUCCGUCACGGAUCAAACCCACCAAAACCACAUUUAAAGGUGUAAUUCCAGGGGUAGAGGCCCGCUGCACGGGCUCAAUAACACUGGAAGUGGUCUUCGGAUCUCCGGAUAACAUCCGAAGCGAGGAGUUAAUCUUCGAUAUCGUCCCUUUCCGUAGUGGCUACCAUGCACUACUUGGACGAACCGUGUUCGCUCGGUUCAACACGGUACAUCACUAUGCAUACCUCAAGCUCAAGAUUUCAGGACCUCGCGGGGUCAUAACGGUUAAUGGAAAUACAGACCGCUCCCUCCGUACGGAAGAACAUACUGCGUCCCUCGCGGCAGAAGUACAAAGCAGCCUCCUCCGACAAACAGCCAAUCCGGCAAUGACAUCUCCGAACACCGUCAAGCGAGUUCGGAGUACCCCGCAAUAUGACAGCCAGGCACGCCUGGAGCUCGAUUAGCAAUUCGGCCUCCACCCCAGCUCUAGUCAAGCGGCGUCUGUACCAUGCAUGCACAAUUACGCGCUCAAAAUACCAUGGGCAUAGGUGGAGGUGAAAUGACAACGCGGCCGGAGUGCGGUUCGGCCGCCAGGAGGCCCGCAUACCUUUUUCUUUUUUUUUCAGGACCCUACUUUCGGGCAGCUCCGCCAGAAGAGAUCGGAUGACCGGACUCAUCAUGGAGGAGGCACCAAGGAGGCAAGAGGCUGUUUGCAUGCAAGGGAAUACCAAGGUGGUCUUCUUCAAUGAUCGUUAUACCUGUUCUUGCAUACCCGCAUGUAGCCUACCCUUGGAUAGGACACAUCAAACAGUCCUAUUUAUUUCUGCUUAAUGCAUCAAUUGUACACUUACGUCUUGCCGUAUUGUCCAAAUAAAUGGGAAGUAAUACGGAGCGUCAGCUUCUUAUCACUACCUCAUAUUUUCUGUUGAAUAUUUAUUCAAUACUGCAUCCGUAUGUUUUGGUACGGUCAUUUUUGCCAGGGGCUUCUUAUCGAGCCCCAUACUAUGGCAAGGAAAGUCCGAAUACUUUCAACAGUGCGGCACCCCGAACUUAUAGCAUUAUAUCCAUCAGCUCCGAAUCAUGUCUUGGGUCAAUAGUUGGGUUAGCCCGGCUCCCUUGUCUUCGUACCUUACGUUCCGUUAUAUCGGCUAAGGUAGCGCAUGGAGAACUACUGCGAUUGUGUCCCGGUUCUUCCGGACGAGCACCUCAGUAGAGAAAGCCGAAAAUUGACCGUCAUGAUGUGGCGAGAGCUGGUCGCUGUUCGCGAGGUAUCAAAAUCCCUAAAGAUUUUUUCCGCUUAUGGCGAGGAAUCGGCUUGGUCCGAUUUAGGCGUGCAUAGCGCCCCAGUUCGGCCUUCCGAAUACUUGGGGCUUUGCCGAAAUUUAAAAUUGUAGACUUCUAUGGUCAAGUGAGAGUUAUAAAGCCGAGUAAUCCGAUUGCCUGGUUCAUUGCGCCAAAUACCUCCUUAAAGGACCAAAACUUUGGAUAAAGAGUGUUUGGGUUUCCACGAACACCCCAGUACUAGUUACAAGGGGGCGGAAGCCGACGACUGGCCUACUUUCAAGAUUUUGAUAAACGACCUUAGAGCAGGUAAGAUUUUAAAUCCAACAAAGUGUUGCAUAGCACAAAUAAACCCGUUCUCAUAUUACACGGACGACAUGAGUACAUUCACUCAAAAAUUAUGUUGUUAGGACAUUCAUUCGCCACAAGACGAGCGCCUUUCAUAACGCCAUCAUAAUAUUUCUCGGGGCAGCGAUGCUCCUUGCCCUCUGGGGGUCCAUCCUUCACGAGCUUUUCAGCGUCAGCUUGCCCCAAUGCACCUUCGCGCGGACAAAGGCCCGUCGGGCACCCUCAAUACAUGCGGACUGCUUGAUAACUUCUAGCCGUGGGCAGGCAUGCACCAUCCGCUUCACCAGGCCAAAGUAGCUGUCGGGCAGGGGCUCCCCAGGCCACAUCCGGACUAUGAGGCCCUCCAUGGCCUGUUCGGCCGCAUUGUGGAGUUCGACCAACUGCUUUAGUUGGUCACUCAAAGGCAUCGGGUGUUCGGUCCCAGCAUAUUGGGACCAGAACAGCUUCUCCGUAGAGCUCCCCUCUUCAGCGCGAUAGAACUCCGUAGCAUCCGAAACGCUGCGUGGUAGAUCUGCGAAUGCCCCUGGAGAACUCCGGAUUCGUGUAAGUAAAAGAAAUGAUUCCUCCACAUGCUUGCUUUGCAUAAAGAAUGCCUUACCCCCCCCCAUUAACUUUUUGGCCGCCUGGAUUUCCUGGAGGGCCUUUUGGGCUUCGGCCUUAGCGUCGGCCACGCUCUGGAGGGCCUUUUCAAGCUCAGACGCUUGCGUCUUGUAGUCAUGCUCCAGGGAGCCUAACUUCUGACCGAGCUCCUGUACCGAAGACAAAACCUUCUAGUAGCAUCUGGUGUUCGGCCGGGUUGAACUCCCACAUAUCAAACGCUCGUCUUUGACACGGGAGAAUCCGGUGUAUGAGCAUGACCUGGACCAUGUUGACAAGCUUGAUCUUCUUUUCCCUCAUAUUUCUGAGGCACGUCUCGAGUCCGGUCAGCUCCGUGGGCUCGCCCCAGGCCAGGCCCUUCUUCUCCCAGGAGGUGAGCCACGUGGGGAUUCCGGAUCUGAACUUGGGGGCCGCCACCCAGUUGGCAUUGCGCGGCUCGGUGAUGUAGAACCACCCUGAUUUCCACCCCUUUAUGGACUCCGCGAAGGAGCCCUCGAGCCAUUUAACAUCAGGCAUUUUGCCCACCAUGGCGCCUCCGCACUCCGCCUGUUGGCCGCUCACGAUCUUCGGCUUCACGCAGAAGAUUUUCAGCCACAGGCCGAAGUGAGGUUUGAUGCGGAGGAAGGCCUCGCACACGACGAUGAACGCCGAGAUGUUGAGGACGAAAUUAGGGGCCAGAUCGUGAAAAUCUAGCCCGUAGUAGUACAUGAGCCCGCAGACGAAAGGGUGGAGUGGAAACCCUAGUCCAUGGACGAAAUGAAGGAGAAAUACCACUCUCUCCUGAGACUUCGGCAUGGGGGUAAUCUGUCCCACCGGUUGAAGCCUGUGCGUGAUAUUAGCGGCCAGGUAUCUGGCUUCCCGAAGCUUGCUUAUGUUCUCCUCUGUGACAGAGGAGGCCAUCCACUUGCCUCCCGCUCUGGACAUGAUGCGGUCCUAAGGAGAAGGUAAGAACUUGAGCGCUGGAGCUCGAGGGUGCGAGAACGGAUGAGCGAAGGAAGAAGAAGGCGUGGGUGAAGAUGGGAGAUUUCUGCCCCCUUUAUAAAGGCGAUGCGAAUUUGCACCUCCCCACUUGCCUCUCGAAAUAUCUUAUUUUUCCAGGCGCCUCACUUACUGGCGCUGGUUGGGUUACCCAUACCCGCAUUGAUGGAGAUCCUGCGAUAAGGGGACACGAUCUUUGCUUUGACAAGACCUGCCAAAGAAACCGCCUCGCGAUGUGUGCAGAAGCAGAUUGUAGAAAACGGUUCGAAUAAAAACCUAACCGUGGCGUGAUGUCACUUUUCUAAGAAUUGUCAGCGGAUUAGACUCGUGGAUUAUUAUUAUUCUCUCUAUGGUGGUAUAUAGAAUGUUAUCUUGAAGAGCCGGACACGGUCCUUGUGUUUGGAAGUUAUCUUGGAGUACUUGGAGAUGGAACCCGCCUCGCAAUGCCGAAGACAAUCUACGCGCCGGGCUCAUCGUCAUUGAAGCCUGGUUCAGGGGCUACUGAGGGAGUCCUGGAUAAGGGGGUAUCCAGACUGCCGGACUAUAUACUUUGGCCGGACUGUUGGACUAUGAAGAUACAAGAUGGAAGACUUCGUCCCAUGUCAGGAUGGGACUCUCCUUGGCGUGGAAGGCAAGCUUGGCGAUUCGGAUGUAGAUCACCUUCUCUGUAAACCGACUUUGUGUAACCCUAUCCCCCUCCGGUGUCUAUAUAAACCAGAGGGUUUAGUUCGUAGGACUGAUCACGAUCAUCAUCAACAAUCAUACCAUAGGCUAGCUUCUAGGGUUUAGCCUCUUUGAUCUCGUGGUAGAUCAACUCUUGUAAUACUCAUAUCAUCAAGAUCAAUCAAGCAGGAAGUAGGGUAUUACCUCCAUCGAGAGGGCCCGAACCUGGGUAAACAUCGUGUCCCCAGUCUCCUGUUACCAUUAGCCUUAGACGCACAGUUCAGGACCCCCUACCCGAGAUCCGCCGGUUUUGACACCGACAGCGAGCUCAGGUUCUUCCUCCUCUACGCAUUGCCGGAGCUACGGGCUACGUCGACGGCACCCUCCCAGCCCCUGCCAAGCUCCUGGAACCCAAUGACAAGGGUGAGCGCGCUCCAAACCCUGCGUAUGCCAACUGGUACCGUCAGGACUAGAUUGUUCUCAACUAUCUCCUCGCCUCUCUCUCAGAUGAAGUGCUGCAGCAGGUGCAUCGGUUUGAAACUUCUUGCGCCAUCUAGGCGCAUGUCGAGGAGAUGUAGAACAUCCACUGCCGUGCCAACAUCAUCUAGAUCAAGCUGGACAUGGCGGUCUUCCGGAAGGGCAACCUCUCCAUGGCGGACUAAUUCGCCAAGACCCGCGCCAACGCCGACCAGCUUGCUGCCGUCGGCCGCACCAUGCGUGAUGAGGACAUCAUCGCCGCCGUCAUCACCGGUCUCGACACCGACUACGAGCCACUCAUCACUACUGCCAUGACUUGCCUUGAUGGCAUGUCCCUUGGGGAGUUUUACUCCCACGCCAUCGCCUUCGAACGCCGUCGUGAGUACAACGCCACUCGUCUUCAUCCCAACGGCUCCUCCGUCCACUUCGCCGCUCAGGACUCCAAUGGAAACACCAACAACAACCCUCCCAACCGGGGCAAGGGCAACUACCGCAACAAGUGUCGCGGCAACGGCGGUGACCGCGGUGGCUACAACAACUCUCGUGGAGGUGAUCGCGGGAACCGUGGCGGUGGUGGUGCACGCCAGCAAGGCGACUUCGCCGGCAACUGAGGCGGUGACCGCGGCGACUACGACGAUUGCGGUGACAGCCGCGUCCAGUGCCACCUCUAUCGCUAUCCUGGGCACUAUGCCUGGGAGUGCGGCCAGCGCUACAACCACGCCUUCCAACCCCAACAAUCCAAGAUGGCUGGUCUCACUGCCGCAUCUCCUCCUUCCAUCUUAGGAGAUCCCGCCUAGUUCACUGACACCGGCGCCACCAACCACAUCACAGGCGACCUCGAUCGCCUCACGAUCCGGGAUAAGUAUCCAGGGAGGGAUCACAUCCACACAGCUGACGGUUCAGGUUUGCACAUAGCUCAUCGUGGUCAUGCAAUUCUUCCUACUCGCUCUGCAAAUCUGAAACUUCACAAUAUCUUGCAUGUCCCUAAUGCUGACAAAAAUCUUCUUUCCGUUAAUCAUCUUUCCGUUGAUAAUCAUGCUUAUCUAAAGUAUUACCCUACUCAUUUUCUUAUGAAGGAUUUGAUCACCAAGAGGGUUCUACUUAAACGCAGAUGUGAGAAUGGGCUCUAUCCCAUUAGGCCAUCACCUCCUCGUGCUUUGUCUUCGGUUAGUUUAUCUGCUGAAGAUUGGCAUGCAAGACUUGGCCAUCCCUCCACGCAAGUUGUUCAGCACGUUUUAUCUUCAAAUAAGCUAGCUUCAUCUAGUCGGUCUUUGACCCAUGUUCAACUGUUCUUUGUGAUUCGGUACCGCUUGAACUAAUUGGUCCAAUUCUUGGUAGGUACUUAUUAGGGGGAGGGCCAACCACCAAAUGAACAACGAUCUCCCGGUCCCACUUGAUUCCUGGGGAAUUUAGGAACCCUGCGGACUUGACUCUUUUAAGAGUGUAAUGCUUGUCAGCAAGGAAAAACACACCAACUACCUUUCCCUAGAUCAUCAAGUGUUUCUUCUUUUCCCUUAGAAAUUAUUUUUUCGGAUGUGUGGGGACCUGCCAAAACCUCUUCUGGUGGGUUCCAGUACUAUGUCUCAUUCGUUGAUGAUUAUAGUAAGUUUGUUUGGAUUUAUCUUCUCAAACGGAAAUGUGAUGUGUUUGAUGUCUUUCGUGACUUUCUUGCUCACGUUGAACGCCUCUUGUCUCGUAAAAUUGUAUGUGUUCAGUCUGACUGGGGUGGUGAGUACGAAAAACUCAACAACACAUUUUUUUCGUCAACUUGGUAUUAUGCAUCACGUUUCCUGUUCACACACACAUCAACAGAACGGUUCUGCCGAAAGGAAACACCGUCACAUUGUUGACACGGGGUUAUCUCUGUUAUCACAUGCGUCUAUGCCCCAUCAUUUUUGGGAUGAGGCAUAUCUUUCAGCUUGCUACCUCAUAAAUCGACUUCCUAGUCGUGUCAUUGGCAACACAAGUCCUAUGCAAAAAUUGUUUAACACCAAACCCGACUAAACAUCUCUUCGAAUGUUUGGUUGUGCUUGUUGGCCCAACUUGCGCCCCUACAACACACACAAACUUGCUUUUCAAUCUCAACAAUGUGUCUUUGUCGGGUACAGCAUUCGUCACAAGGGCUACAAGUGCUUAUACUUGCCCACUGCCCGAGUGUACAUCUCUCGCGAUGCCACGUUUGACGAAAUGGUUUUUCCAUUCGCUAGUCCUCUUCCCUCCCCCAUACAACCCAGGGUAGUUGAACAUGCCAUAUUGUUAUUUCCGCAUGACCACAUGAACUAUUGUACAACUCGUUUGCGUGCUGACUUGGAUGCAGGAUCUUCCAUGGCGCAGAAAAUCCCAGGCAAAACCACCACGGGAUCCCAGGAGGAUCCUGGUGACCGGUUCGAGGCUGAUCCGGUCUUGGAUCCCGCGCUGUCGGCGGACAGCGGCGCGUAGUCCCCAGUGUCAGGCAGCGGCAGUGAAGGGCCUCCACAGUGGGCCGCGUGGCGGCCACUGUCGGGCCGACCUCCCCUCCACCCGCGCCAGGGGCGGGGUCCACACCUGGGCCGGCUUUCCCCCAGCCUGACAUGCCUCGAGCCGAGCCACACGUGGAUUCAGGGUGGGCCGCUGCUGCAGUUCCUGCCACCCCGCCAGCUACCGACUCGGGAUCCCAUGCGGAUCUCGGUCCCGUUCGCCCUGCCACUGGUACGGGAUCCCAGGAGGAUCUCUCGCCUGGAUCUUCUGCUUCGCGCGGAUCCGAUGCUCCACCCGGCCACACCAUGGUGACUCGCCUACGUGACAACACACGCAAGGCCAUGCAACACACUAAUGGCACGGUCACGUAUGACCCGUCUCGACGUGCGUUUCUCGCGUCGCAAGAACCUACUGAUCAUCGUGAAGCUCUACAUUCUCUCGCGUGGCGUGCGGCCAUGCAACUCGAGCUUGCGGCCCUUCAUCACAAUGGCACCUGGUCUUUGGUUCCACCACCAUCUAAUGUCAACGUGAUCGACUGCAAAUGGGUUUUCACAUUCAAGCACAAGGAGGAUGGAACAGUUGAUCCUCAUAAGGCACGACUCGUUGCCAAGGGGUUCAAACAAUGAUAUGUCUUGGACUAUGAUGAUACGUUCAGUCCCGUCGUCAAACUGGUCACUGUUCGCUUGGUUCUCUCCAUUGCAGCCUCUCGUGGGUGGUGCUUGCGUCAGCUGGAUGUCCAAAACGCCUUUCUUCAUGGCGUUCUUCAAGAAGAGGUGUACAUGCGACAGCCCCCUAGUUUUGUGGAUCCCAGGGCUCCACGACAUCUUUCCAAGCUCAGGAAAGCAAUCUAUGGUCUUAAACAAGCUCCUCGAGCGUGGUAUUCCAGGCUCAGUUCUCGGCUUCUUCAACUUGGUUUUGUGGCAUCUAAGGCUGACACCUCCUUGUUUGUCUUUCAUCAUGCUCGCGUCACCAUGUUUAUGCUUGUGUAUGUGGAUGAUAUCAUUGUGGCCAGCUCGUUUCCUACUGCUACCACCAAGUUGCUGGAUGAUCUUCAAGCCUCUUUUGCCAUCAAAGAUCUCGGUCCUUUGCAUUAUUUCCUUGGAUUUGAGGUGAGAUCGUCGCCAGGGGGAUUGUACUUUCUGAACAGAAGUAUAUUGGUGACAUUCUUCAUCGAGCAAAUAUGGAGAAUUGCAAUAUCUCCACCACACCCAUGUCUUCGGCCGAGAAGCUCACCAAGGAAAGUGGGUCGCCAUUGUCUCAAGAUGAUAGCACCAAGUAUUGUAGUCUGGUUGGUGCUCUUCAAUAUCUAACACUUACCAGGCCAGAUAUAUCCUUUGCAGUAAACCGUGUUUGCCAGUUUCUUCAUGCACCUACAAUUACACAUCUCUCUGCAGCUAAACGGAUUUUGAGAUACAUAAAGUAUACUCGGAGCAUGGGCCUCUCUAUAAGGAAAUCCCCUUCAAUGCUGUUAAGCUGUUUUUCUGAUGCAGAUUGGGAAGGGUGCAGUGAUGAUCGGAGGUCUACUGGUGGUUUUGCUGUAUUUCCUGGUCCUAAUCUUGUGUCCUGCAGUUCGAGGAAACAAGCCAUGGUUUCUCGCUCAAGCACAGAGUCUGAGUAUAAAGCACUUGCAAAAGCUUACAUAAUCUGGAUCCAGUCAAUCCUUGGUGAACUUGGUGUUUUCAUGGCAAGACCACCUGUGUUGUGCUGUGAUAACUUGGGAGCUACUUAUCUAUCUGCUAAUCCAGUAUUUCAUGCCAGGACUAAGCACAUAGAAGUAGACUUUCACUUUGUUUGAGAGAGAGAGUUGCAGCCAAGGCAUUGGAUGUUCGGUUCAUCUCUUCUAAAGAGCAAGUUGCUGAUAUAUUCACAAAGCCAUUGGCUGAGACGAUGUUUGUCUCAAAUAGAUACAAUAUGAACCUUCUUGAGGGAAGUUUAGAUUGAGGGGGGAUGUUAAACAUAAUGUUGUUAUAGAUUAGGAGGCUGUUAAUAUAUGUAGUUAUCUCCUUAUCUCUUGUAACAACCUAUGUAAUCUCGGCCGUGCCAUGCCCUAGAGGCUGCAUAUAUAAAUACUCCCCCGGCCGCCCUAUGGGUUGUGUUGAAUCCCAAUCUCCUUCUUCUGUCUCACAACGAAGAGUUCUUGGACAAGAAUUCUAGUAAUGAAGAAUUGGCUAAGGAAAGAGGACAUGCAAAUUGAGAUGAUGUUAUUAGUGAAGGAUGCUGGAAACUGUAUUACUCCAUCAACUGAUGUUAUUUUCAUUGGUAUUGCUUGAAGUUUCUCCGAUAUUCACAUUCUUAGGAGUUGGACCUACUUCUUGUGCUGCGCUUUCUCUUACCCACGGAGCUUUCUGUGAAGGUUAAGUUGUGCACAAAUGCUAAUAAGUUAUAUUAAAAAAACAAGACAGGAAUAACAUGCUGACAAGGAAAAUGUUUCAAAAUAAUUUGGGCUGAAGAAGGUGCUCUUGUUGGGGUAGAACUAGGUUCUCUCACAGAGGCUGAACUAGGUACUCUUAUUGGUGGUUGAGACAACUGACAUGAUGCUACAUUGGUACAAUUGUGCCAGAAGGAUUUCCUUUUAGACAAGAUGUCCCAGCUUAUUUGCAUAUUCCAAGUCUUAUGACAGUCCCAUGCUUACUGACCCUAGUGUUUUUUGAUUUCUCCUCAGGUUCUCCUGUCCUAAUUGUCUUUGUUCUAUCUAACAGAUGUGGAGGUUCUGGCUUUGGUUUGUCUGAUACGCACCAUGAGGACAUGCCCUCCAUAUGCUGAAGGAGCCCCGUUUGAGUAAGCAUUAUAGACAUUUAGCAAAUCGUUGACACUUUCUUAUGUAUACUAGAUGAAUUCCCCGUGCAGCGGAAAUUUGUAGUACUCAACCUAGCUAGCAUCUUUAUGGUUUCUCCUUUAGCAAAAUAAUUUGUUUACCAAUAUUUUUAAAAAUAAAUAAAUGUAUGUCUUUGCGUAAGUCCGAAAUGGAGCAAAAUGAAACAAAAUGUACAUGCAUCAAUUUUCUUUCAUGAACCACCGUAGUGUGAGCUACAUGCAUGUGUCAAGAGACUUUUCAGUAAUUUAAGAGCAACUCUAGCAGACCCCGCAAAAGGCCUCGACCCGCAAAAUAGCCGCCAAAAUGCGGGCCGGCGGUGAAAAUCCCGCCCGAACAUAUCGUGCAAAUGCGGCCGGCCCGCAAAAAUUUUUGAGAGGCGCUGCUAAAACUCGACCCUAACCCGCGUAUGCGCCCCCCCCCCUCCCUCCUGCCCGUCGGUGCCCUGCAUAUAGCUCGUAGGGGGGACAUUUCAGCCCGCGCUUUUCCCCACCAACCACCUCCCCUCUCCCCCUCGCCCCGCCGCCGCCCAUAUUCCGCUGGAAGUUGCCGGCGGUAGCAUGCCGAAAAGCCUCCACACGCACGAGGUUGCCCUCCGCCCCCCUCCCCCUCCUCCUAUGUGGGCGGGCCGCGACCUUGUGGAUCUGCGGCGCUUCAUCGCGGGCGGCCGGAUUUGGCCUUUCCGGGCCUCCGCCGGCUGCGCCAAGCUAUGGAAUGGUCGGGGAGCACCUCGCACGGCCCCGACAAAGGUGCAUCUCCGCUCGCCGCCGCCGACGGUUUGCCGGGAUGGAUUCUGCCGUCCGUCCGUCGGGCUCAGCCCUCGCGCAAAUGCUUUGUGGCUCGCCAAUGCCGCUCAUACAGUGUGAUUACUGCCCGCGGACAGUGCUACGGCUGACUUCGGGCACGCCGAAACACCCCGGAUGGGUGUUCUUCAAAUGCGAAAACGACGGGGUUCGUAUUGUUUUUGAUUUGGCUCAUUUCAAUAGCUCAUUAUGUUUGCUCAUUUCGAACAUCAUCAUGCAUGUAGGAAGAUGGAUGCUCAUUUUGGUUUUGGGAAGGCGAAUACAUUGAUUUAGUGAUAGAAAGAAAACUGAUAGACGUUCAUGCACUCCUUAGUGCAAUCGAAGGCAAUGAAACGCAUGCAUGUGCAACUAGAGGGGAAGCAACGUCUACUUCUUUCUUAGAACCAAAGAUGAAGAAUGAAGAAUGCAAGAUCAAGAAUCUGCAAAUCAACAAUGAGUGCAUGGAGAAGAUAUUGCUUCAACUAGUGGGAGCUGUUAUGGAAGUUGGAAAUGUUCUAAAAUGCAUACUUGUGGUUCUUGUUUUUUUUGGUCUUGCUUUUCUAGCAAAGAUUUGGUGAUGUCUUAUGUAUUCAGUGUGGUUGAAAAUGCAAAGAAAUGCAAAUUGAGAUGCAAAUUUACAUUUUGGGGGCCGGGGGGAGGAUGGUGGCAGAAGCAGACUCCGCAAAGCCGAUCAGUAAAACAUGAUGCGGGUCAGCUUUGCGGGGUCUGCCUCUUCCGCUUUGCGUUGCGCACUACAAAACAGUUUUUCCGCAAACUGCAAGCGUGAAAUGCGGGUCAGCGAGAUGCAGGGUCUACUAGAGAUGCUGUAAGCAUCAGUUUUCUGCAUGCAUGUGUCAGCUACCACAUCGCUUGGUGCAUCUUCUCUCAACGUGUAGAUUGGAUGGCUAUUAUAGACUAAUCUAGUAUAUCCAACGGCUAAAUUAAUUUGGGUGACCGUGAGGCACUCACUCUUGAUUAUCCUUGAUCAAUAAACCAUGACAUUCCCUAAAAAAGUCUAUCCUGAUCAGGCACUGCGAUGGAUUAUUGCAGCAUCAGGCAAGUAAUAGCUUCUAGAAAUAAUUAUAACACUAAAAUUGCACCAAUAUAUACAGCAGGCAAACAUCCAUAUAUUCAGCUGCGCUAAUAAGUGGAACACCUGCUGCGGGCCUCCCCGCUCCUCCCCCUCGCCUCCCCGCCCCUAACCCUAACCGCGCCGCCAGCCGCCCCUCCCCGCUCCUCCCCCGCUUCACAACCGCUGGAGGGGACACCGGUGAAGCCCACGUGGUCCCCAGGGAAGGUGGCGGCGGGGGCUGGCGCCUGCUGCCCGUGAGGCGGCGUCCCUCACAGUGGCGGGGCUGCCCCUGAACGACGCUUGGUGGUGGCCACAUGGCGGCGCGCGGGUGGGUCGGAUCUGGGCUUCCAGUCUGCGUCCUCGUCGUGGCAGCGCUUGCUGGUGCUCUCAGCCAUGAGGCGUGGUCUGGGACGGGCCUAGCGUCGGUGGUGCUGGCCAGGUCGCACGCUGGCAGCGCCCUACUUCAUCUCGCGUCAUCUCAUUGGCCCAUGGUGGUGGUCAUCUUCGUCGUCAAAGAUGGCCGGGCAGAGGCUUGGUGAUCGGAUCUUGAGAUCCAUCAUCUAGUCCUGGCCGCGAGUUGGGGAGACAUGGUUACCGGUGAAAACCGAGUCGUUGGUAGGCGAUGGCGGCGUUCUACGCCGUUACCUUGAUGGAGGCAUUGUCGUGUAACUACUGUCGACCCACUCGUGCUGCUCUUGGGGAAAUCCUAGGAUCUGGUGUUCCAGAUCGGAUGAUGGCGGGACUGCGGUGUCCUUUCUCUCUUGGGAGUAUCGUUUGUGGAGCAGCGCUGGAAGUUGGAGGCAGGAGGUGGAGCGGCUUCGUCUUGCACGGUGCUUCGGUGGAAAUGUCAAGUCAUGCCUGACCGACAGGUGCUACGCUUUGUCAUGCCUGGUCGGCAGGUGCUACGCACGACUGAUCUUCCAAAGAUUUCAAGCUGUGUCGGCUGGUGGUACUUGGCAGCAUGGUGUUGAGGUGUAUCAGUGGCGACCGUGAUGUGCACAGCUGUUUGCGCGCAGGGAGGAGGUGCCGUUGGGCGCCGUGGUGGCGUCGACGAUAUCUAGACCGACCAAGGUUGAUGCAUCGGUACAGUUCUAAAGAUGGAGCGGUGGCAGUUGGUGGCGGCGGCCUCUGAGAGCACGCCGGACCGGCGAGAUCCAUGCCCGGCAGGCGUCCUAGAUGGGUCCUCAGGUCUUCGAUGUUAGGUUUGGCUGUGAUGUCUAUUUGGUAUUAGGCCCAGGCUAUCUGCGCCCCUUCAUCAACUGGAUAGGUGUAGCGACAGUUUGUUGCUUAGACGGCGGCUUUAGUCUUACUGUGGUAUUACUUUCUAAGGUCUUGUGAGAAUAAUUAAUAAAGUGGCCAUAUGCAUCGUCCAGAUGCAGAGGCCGGGGGUCAUCCUUUUAAAAAAUAAUAAUAAGUGGAACACAUUUGCUAAAUAAAUAUAGUGGACAAAUCACCUGUAGUGGGCAAGGAACACGUCCAAAAUAAAUGUAGCAAAAAACACAAUACAUCUAGUCACUUUGUCCAUUAGAAUAUUGUGCCAACUGCACUGGAAUUUGUACCUUUGGUAAGCUUGACGCAAAUGAUUGAUUGGCAGCAUCAAUACUCUGGAUACCUACGCACGGAGAAAGAAAAUAUUUUAAUCACUCGUACAGAAUCAUGAACAUAGGCAAACACAUUUGAUGCCACACAGAACAUAGGACAAUUAGAGGAUGGAAUGACAUAAAAUACUCCCUCCGUUUCCUAAAUAUAAGUAUUUUUAGAGAUUUCACUAUGAACUACAUACGGAGUAAAAUGAGUGAGUGUACACUCUAAAAUAUAUACUCCCUCCGUCCGGAAAUACUUGUCAUCAAAAUGAAUAAAAAGGGAUGUAUCUAGACGUAUAUUAGUUCUAGAUACAUCUCUUUUUAUUCAUUUUGAUGACAAGUAUUUGCGGACGGAGGGAGUACUUUACAGUGGAAUAUCUAAAAAGACUUAUAUUUAGGAACGGAGGGAGUAUUUAACAGGAGAGGAGAUUCAGAACAUAACGACGAAAGUUAAACAGUAGAAGGAUUACACAACUAACAUUAUUGUGUGAGCACAUGAUGGUGGCAACCAUCACUUCCAUGUUUUAUAGCGUGAAUAUGUAGGUCGUGCAAAAAUAUCCGGUCAUCUUUGACCACAAGAGAAAAGUAAAUUCAAAUGGAAACAAAAGGAUGAUAAGCCUUCUCUAAUAAAAUUCUAUAUUAUAAAACACAACACAAUAAAAUACUACUCCCUCUGUAAACUAAUAUAAGAGCAUUUAGAUCACUAAAGUAGUAAUCUAAAUGCUCUUAUAUUAGUUUACGGAGUACUUAUAAACAGGAGUGGCUGUGAAAUGAACCCCUAAUUAGUGCCUACUUCGAAGUCCCAUGCUUAUAUUUAAAAGCAUUGUUGGAUGAAGCAUUAAUGAAGUUGAAACGAUACUGCACAUUGCUCAAAUGUUACUGUGUACAUGGAUUACCACAAGUAAUCAACAUAUGCUUCAGGUAUUGAACAACUAAAAUGAAUUAGCAAGGGAUGGCAUAGAUAUGGUGUGCUGCCUUAAUGACAGAGUCAAGUAUUUGUUUAUUUCACACAAUGCGACGUAAACCUGAGAUGAUCUUCAAGGUCUAGUAGCUACCAAGGCUAUGUAUUAUCUCUCAGCCUUAAUCAAGCUAGCUGCAAACCUAUAGCCAAGCAGUAAGCAUGUCUCGACAAUUAUAUGUCUUCAAAAGAUACGGUAGACGGAAAAGUAUAUACCAGGCCAUAAUCACUAGCAAGUGGAUUUACUUCAUGUUUUUUACAACGAAGACGCCCAAGGUAUCCGGCUUUAAAUUAAUAAAGCCCACGAACAGGCAGAAUCCAACAAAGUUCAACACAGAACAACAACCAAAAAAGUGGCCGCAGCCAAGGUACUAAACAUGCCACCGGCCGAAGCCUGCACAAUAAGGAAAAUAAGCAGCAGCAGCUCGCAUACGGCCAAUCCAAAAGACAGCAUCCUGCCGACAGCUAGUGGCGGGCGCCCAUCUGGAUCAAAUGAAUCUGCUCCAUAGCCUCCGUGAUCCGGUCUGCAUCAUGCCGUUUCCCCAACAGUGUCCAUGUCUGGAGGAAAAACGAACAAGUGGCAUUUGAAAAUAAUGUCAGCAGGAUGAGAAGGAAAUUUGUGCUCAAUAGUCAUCUUGCUGCGUGUAGUCCAGAUGGCCCACAGCAAAGCACCCACGCAUCUCCAGAGCACACGCCCGAAACUACCCCUAUGAGCGACCAGAAUUCCACGAAGAUCCAAAGAUGAAAGCGGGUUCCAAUUAUGAUCAAACGCCUCCCUAACCGCACUCCAAGAAAAGUGGGCAAGGUGGCAUUUGAAAAAGAUGUGGUUGGCAUCUUCGUGCUGACCGCAGAGCGCGCAAGAGCCAUCGGAAGGUCCGUUCCUAAUAGUGAUGUUGUUAGAGGAGGGAAAGCGGUCGCGAAACAUUUUCCAUAGGAAAAUAUUGAUUUUCAGGGGAAUAGACUCUUUCCAUAGCCCCCUAGCUAUGUCCAGGGUCGGUCCCUCGGUCAGCUUGUUGUAAAGGGAUUGGACAGGAAACUUCGCGCAGCGCGAGAAGGAACAAGAGACUGUGUCGGCCUCAGGGCGAAGAACCACUCCAUUCAAAGCAGCAACAAGCCCGUCCCAACGGGCUCGUUUGCUAGCGAGGAGGGAUCUUUUGAAGGAGAUGGCGGGCGGGUUGGAGCUAAGCGCGUCGGCCACAAGAAUAUCUACGUUAGUGGCUAACUGAUAGGCAGCGAAAUGGCUCCUCCACAAGGGUUCCGAUCCAAACCAAUGAUCUAGCCAAAAGCGCAUAGAGGAACCGUUAUUGACGCAGAACUUGGCGCCUAACGUGAAGGCUGGCAUAACUUUCUGGAUCCCAUUCCAGAAAGGAGAUCCCUUAGCUUUGGAGGUGAGAAAAUUCCCAUCAGGGAAAUAUUUGGCGCGGAGGAUGUCCGCCCAAAGCCCCUGCUCGUUUUGGGAAAGUUUCCAAAUCCACUUGGUGAGGAGCGCGACAUUCAUGAGUUUGGAGUUAAGGAUCCCAAGGCCCGCAUACUUCUUUGGGCGGCAUAGCGCGGCCCAUUUGAUCAAGUGGUACUUCUUUUUCACAACAGUUCCUUCCCAAAAGAACUUGGACCGGGGAGUGUCAAGCUUGGCAUGAACCCCAUCAGCCAGCAAGAACAUGCCCAUUGUGAACAGAGGAAGGGAAGAGAGGCUGGAGUUAGUCAGGAUCAGCCUGGCCGCCGAGGAGAGGAACCGGCCGCGCCAAGGGCUAACCCGGUUCGCCACCUUGUUGUACAAGGGUUCCCAUUAUUCAAGGAUAGAAAUGUGUUUAUCCGAGAUAGGGAGGCCCAAGUACUUAAUUUGAAAGCUCCGUAGCUUGCAAUUAAGCAGGUUGGCGAUACGGGCAGCGAGGAGAUGGUCCAUCCCAAUGGCAAUCACCUCGCUCUUAAGGAAAUUGAUCUUAAGGCCUGAGAUGAUCUCAAACGCAAGGAGAAUGAGCUUGAUCAAAGCUACACUAUGAUCGUCGGGCUCAAAGAACAACAAAGUGUCGUCCGCAUAUUGAAGGUGAGUAAGACCACCCGGGAUAAGGUGAGUAACAACACCGCGGAUGUGGCCGGCGUCCUUAGCCUUGUGUACCAUGGAUGAAAGGGCCUCCGCAACAAAGUUAGAGAUCAAAGAAGAAGAGGGAUCUCCCUUCCUGAGGCCUCAUUUGUUGUGGAAGAAGUUCCCAACCUCUCUAUUAAUAGACACAGUAGUCUGGCCUCCCAAGAGCAAGUGCAUAAUACGGUGAACAAAGCCUGGUUCGAAACCCUUCCGAAUCAGGACCUUGCGAAUGAACUCCCAGUUCACGCGGUCGUAGGCUUUCUCAAAGUCUAGCUUAAGGAGCACGGCCGGCUGCCGUGUGCGUUUAAGCUCGUGAAUAAUCUCCUGCAACACUACCGGCCCUUUAAGAAUGUUGCGACCUUUGAGGAAACCGGACUGACUACAGUCGAUAACGCGCUGAGUAACCGGGGCAAGUCUGGUCGCAUAAGCCUUAGAGCAGAUCUUGAAUGGAUCGUUAAUUAGGGUGAUCGGACGGUACUGCUUGAUAGUGUCGGCCCCUUUAACUUUGGGGAUGAGGCUGAAGACAGGGAAGUUGAGGCGCGAAACGUCUACCAUACCUAACGUGAAAACCAUUAAUAAUCUUGUAAAAAGGCUCUUUAAGCGCGGGCCAGAAGCGGCGAAAGAAAGCGACCGGCCAGCCAUCCGGGCCAGGCGCAGUGUCUAUCUUCAUGGCUCCCACCGCUUCAUCAAUCUCCUCCAUGGAGAAGGACAGGGCCAAGGAAUCAUUCUCGGCUUGCGACACUUGGGCAUUUUCUCCCCAAAAGUCAGCACGAAGUUGCAAGGGCUUCUCCUCUGCUAUUCCCAGCAGGUUGAGGAAGAAACAAUAAAUGUGUGCAGAGAUCUCAGUCUGACUAACCAACACCCUUGAUCGGAUUGCAAUCUCAGAAUCAUGCAUUUCCGUUUACGGCCGUUGGCAAAGGCGUGGAAAUAUCCCGUAUUCGCGUCACCCUUGGUAAUCCACUUCACACCGCCCCUACGGCGCCAGUAUUCCUCCUCCUCCCUUAGGAGAGCAAGCACGUGGUUUUCUAGAUCAUAUCGAUUGGCCCAUUCAGCUUCCAAAAAGGGUCUUGAGUCAGCUUGAACGUCUAGGGUUUUUAUUUCAGCAAUAAUAGCUUCCCUAGCACGUUUCACAUUGCUCCCAUGGUUUGCACCCCACCCACAGAGGAAACAACAAAGGGCACUAGCCGCCGAAAUCCAAGUGUCAAGGGGACCACUGGAGUGGCCGACCGCAGCCCUUGCGCGGUCCCAGCACGCAAUGAGCAUGGGGUCGAAGCCAUCUACCUCAAACCACCCUGUUUCAAAGUAGAAACGAGGGCUACGCUUAAUCUGGUCCUCCCCAGAGGCCAAGAUCAGCGGCACGUGAUCCGACCCAAUGCACGUUUCCGCCACCAACGUACGCAUGGUAAAGAGCACUUCCCAAUCGAAGGUCACAAACACACGAUCGAGUACACUACGCACCGGGGAGAGUUCACUAGUAGAAAAAGGGUCAAACGUGAAGCACAUUAGUGCCGAUUUGUAUUAGAGCCGGCACAAAUGUAUACAUUAGUGCCGGUUCCAACGGCUAGCCGGGCCGCUCUCGUUAGUACCGUUUCGUGGCUAACCUUUAGCACCGGUUCGUGCCACGAACCGGUACUAAUGAGGGUGGUGGCAGGAUGUUGUCAGUCUGGGCCCCCUCCAGCACCUUUAGUACCGGUUCGUGCCACGAACCGGUACUAUAGGUCCUCUUGCAUAUGAACCCUUCGUCCAGCUCGGUCUGUUCUUCCCCCUUUCCCCUCUCCUAUCUCCUCUCUAUUCUUCCUCUUCCCCUCGAGCUCAUCACACAUUUUGCCCAAAAUUUGUCAAGAUUUGAAGGCCCCCAUCCAUUCAAGUGAUCACAAAGGUUAGCAACUUUGUCCUUUCAUCUCUUAUUGCUCGAUUAGCUCUUGCAAUGCUUUAUAUAGUUAUUAAUUUGUGAGUUUAGUAAUUUGGGAGGAAAUAUAUAUAUGUGCUAGUAUUUGAUUUAUAUGCAAUUUGAGGUAAAAAAUAACACUUAGUUUGCAUAUGUAGGUGUGGUUUACUUAGUGCCUUCUAAAUCUCCGUCGUAACCACCGUCGAUCGCCCGCACCGUCCCGUCGCCGGCACCACCUUGUGGUGAGCCUCUUGUUCAUGAAAUUUUAUAUAAAAAAUUGAUGUUUGUGUGAUUUGGAUAUAUAGUUAAUCAUGUAAUAAUUAUCUUACCCGUACGUUGUUUGUUAUACAUAGUGCCAUGGUUUUGAUAUCCGUCCCCGUCGGCCCUCGUCCUUGUUAUGAUUCGGAUGUGGUAUAUUCUCUUUUAAAACUAUUUGUUGCAUUUUGUGUUUAUGACAAAUUAUGCCCAUCAAGUUGACAUAGAUAUUUUUAUCUAGGAGGUAUGUGAACCGGAAAUUCCAACCGACCCUAUUGUCGAGAGGAUAAAUUUAGUUGAAAGAGAAAACGAGUACUUGAAAGAAAAAUUGAAAAGAAUUGAGGGGGAGAAGAUGGAAUUGGAGUUGCAUGUUGCCGAUGUCGUCGAUGAUCACAAGAUCAAGAUGGAGAAAAUGCGCUUGAAGAUUAGAAAGAUUAGAAAAUAUGCCAUCGAUAGUGAGGCUUGGUAUCAUUAUGUUGUUGGAACAAUUGUUACCUUAGUUGCGAUCUUGAUCUCAUUUGUUGUUGCAUUUAAAUGCUUUAGCUAGAGAGUUAUUUGUUUGUUGCAUUUAAGUGUUGUAUGAACUUUAUGUAUGAACUUGUAUUAAUUUGGUCUAUUCGGUGUUGUGUAAUGAAGAUGAGCCGGCAAUGGAUGUAUGAUGACCGAUGCUCUCCCCAGUUCGUUGAGGGCGUGCAUACUUUUCUGCUUGCGGCUGAGGCAAACAAGCAGGCGGAUGGUUUUAUGCCUUGUCCAUGUGCUAGUUGUAAGAAUGGUCACAAUUACUCUACGUCAAGAACCAUUCACGUCCACCUGUUUGAGUCCGGUUUCAUGCCCCACUAUAAUGUUUGGACCAAGCACGGAGAAAGAGGGGUUAUGAUGGAAGACAAUGAAGAAGAAGAGGACAACGACAGCUAUCCUGGCCAUGGGUUCCCUGAAUACGAUGAUACAACAAUGGGGGAAGAAGCUGAGCCGGUAAUGCGGGAAGAAGCUGAGCCGGAAAUACGGGAAGAAGCUGAAGAAGAGGCAUCAGAUGAGCUCGUUGAUGAUCUAGGUCGGGCCAUUGCUGAUGCAAAAAGAAACUGCGCAAGUGAUUUGGAGAAGAAGAAGUUGCAGCGCAUGUUAGAGGAUCACAAAAAAUUGUUGUACCUGAAUUGCGUAGGUGACAAGAAAAAGCUGGGCACCACACUGGAAUUGCUGCAAUGGAAGGCAGAGAAUGGUGUAUCUGACAAGGGAUUUGGAAAGUUGCUGGUAAUGAUAAAGGAUAUGCUUCCAAAGGACAACGAAUUGCCCGAGAGUACGUACGAAGCAAAGAAGGUUGUCUGCCCUCUAGGGUUAGAGGUGGAGAAGAUACAUGCAUGCCCUAAUGAUUGCAUCCUCUACCGCGGUGAGUACGAGGAUUUGAACGCUUGCCCGGUAUGCGGUGCAUUGCACUAUAAGAUCAGCCGUGAUGAGCCUGGUGAUGUCGAGGGCGAGCGCCCCAGGAAGAAGAUUCCUGCCAAGGUGAUGUGGUAUUCUCCUAUAAUACCACGGUUGAAACGUUUGUUCCAAAACAAAGAGCAUGCCAAGGCGAUGCGAUGGCACAGAGAAGACCGUAAGAAAGACGGAAAGUUGAGAGUACCCGCUGACGAUUCGCAGUGGAGAAAAAUCGAAAGAAAGUACGGGAAGGAAUUUGCAGAUGACGCAAGGAGCGUAUGGUUUGGUCUAAGCACAGAUGGCAUUAAUCCUUUUGGGGAGCAGUGCAGCAACCAUAGCACCUGGCCUGUGACUCUAUGUUUGUAUAACCUUCCUCCUUGGUUGUGCAUGAAGCGGAAGUUCAUUAUGAUGCCAGUGCUCAUCUAAGGCCCUAAGCAACCCGGCAACGACAUUGAUGUGUACCUAAGGCCAUUAGUUGAAGAACUCUUACAACUGUGGAAUGGAACAGGUGUACAUGCGUGGGAUGAGCACAUGGGGGAAGAAUUUGACCUAAAGGCGUUGCUGUUCGUGACCAUCAAUGAUUGGCCUGCUCUCAGUAACCUUUCAGGACAGACAAACAAGGGAUACCGUGGAUGCACGCACUAUUUGGAUGAUACCGACAGUAUAUAUUUGAAGAGUUGUAAGAAGAAUGUGUACCUGGGACAUCGUCGAUUUCUUCCGAGCAGGCAUCCCGUAAGAAAGAAAGGCAAGCAUUUCAAAGGUGAGGCGAAUCACCGGACGAAGCCUCGCCACCGUACUGGUGCUGAUGUACAUGAUAUGGUCAAGGAUUUGAAGGUGAUAUUUGGAAAGGGUCCUGGCGGACAACCUGUUCCGAAGGACGCGGACGGACGCGCACCCAUGUGGAAGAAGAAAUCUAUAUUCUGGGACCUGCCAUAUUGGAAAGACCUAGAGGUCCGCUCCGCAAUCGACGUGAUGCACGUGACGAAGAAUCUUUGCGUGACCCUGCUUGGCUUCUUGGGCGUGUAUGGGAAGACAAAAGAUACACCUGAAGCACGGGAGGACCAGCAACGUAUGCACGGAGAAGACGUCAUACAUCAGGGUCAUGCAAGCUACGCUCUUACCAAAGAAGAGAAGGAAAUCUUUUUUGAAUGCCUGCUCAGUAUUAAGGUACCGUCUGGGUUCUCGUCGAAUAUAAAGGGAAUAAUAAACAUGGCAGAGAAAAAGUUCCAGAACCUAAAGUCUCAUGACUGCCACGUGAUUAUGACGCAACUGCUUCCGGUUGCAUUGAGGGGGCUUCUACCGGAAAACGUUCGAUUAGCCAUUGUGAAGCUAUGUGCAUUUCUCAAUGCAAUCUCUCAGAAGGUAAUCAAUCCAGAAAUCAUACCAAGGUUACAGAAUGAUUUGGUGCAAUGUCUUGUCAGUUUCGAGUUGGUGUUCCCACCAUCCUUCUUCAACAUCAUGACGCAUGUCCUAGUUCACCUAUGCGAAGAGAUUAACGUUUUGGGUCAUGUAUUUCUACACAAUAUAUUCCCCUUUGAGAGGUUCAUGGGAGUCUUAAAGAAAUAUGUUCAUAACCGUGCUAGGCCAGAAGGAAGCAUCUCCAAGGGCCAUCAAAAUGAGGAGGUCAUUGAGUUUUGUAUUGACUUUAUUCCUGACCUUAAGCCGAUUGGUGUUCCUGAAUCGCGGCAUAAGGGUAGACUGGAUGGAAAAGGCACGCUAGGAGGGGAACAAAUAAUAUGUAUGGACGGACAUUCUCUCACUGAAGCACACUACACAGUUCUACAGAAUUCCACCUUGGUGGCUCCGUAUAUGGAUGAACACAAGAAUUUGCUACGCUCCAAACACCCGGAGCGGUCUGAUGACUGGAUUACACGUGAACAAACCAGGAGUUUCGCCAACUGGUUGCAGACAUGUACCAUGCAUGACACCUCUAUUGAAGAUGACCUGUACUUGUUGUCCCAGUUACCAUCUUCGAAUAUAAUGACUUUCAAAGGGUACGAGAUAAAUGGUAAUACAUUUUACACGAUCGCCCAAGAUAAGAAGAGCACCAACCAAAACAGUGGUGUCCGCUUUGAUGCAGAAACCAAGACGGGAAAGGAAACAUAUUAUGGUUAUAUACAGGACAUAUGGGAACUUGACUAUCAACGUGGUUUAAAGGUCCCUUUGUUUCGGUGCAAAUGGGUCAAUAUGACACGAGGCGGGGUAACGGAAGACCCGCAGUACGGAAUGACAACAGUGGAUCUCAACAAUCUUGCGUAUGCAGACGAACCAUUCGUCCUAGCCAAUGAUGUGGCACAGGUUUUCUAUGUGAAGGACAUGUCUACCAAGCCAAGAAAAAGAAAAGAUAAGGAAGCGAAUGCAUCGUACGAUGAGCCAAAGCGGCACAUAGUUCUUUCUGGGAGGAGAAACAUCGUGGGAGUGGAUGACAAGACAGAGAAGUCAGAAGAUUAUGAAAAGUUUGAUGAAAUUCCUCCAUUCACAGUGAAUAUUGACCCGAGCAUCCCGUUAAAUGAUGAGGAUUUUCCAUGGUUACGGCGCAAAGGGACACACGCGAAGAAAAAGUUUCACACCCAAAGAUCUGGGAUGUGAUCGGCUUUACUAUCAUCACUUUCUUCUGUGUUUCACACCCAGGAGGGAAUGUCUGUAAUAGUUAGGGUAGUUAUGUGUUUUGGCAUUUGAAACGCGAAGAAAUUUUAUGUGCAAACAAAUUCUUUUCAUGCAUUUACUGAUUUUUUUCCAGCUAAAUGACCCUGAAAUUGAAAAGCAAUUCAAAUGAACUCAGAAAAGGUUGAAAGUUGGCAUGGUAUUAUAAUUUCAUACAAAUAGCAUGUGCAAGAAAGUAGAGAGGGUUACGGCAAAAACUGGAUGCACUUCGUGUACAAAAUGGACAAUCUCUUUCGAAGUAUCAGGGUUUUCGACGAAAACUGAACUCUUACAAAGGCAUUUCAUUUUUUAAAUAACCUAAGCAUUACUAAAUUGAAUAUAAUGAUAAAACACACUAAUAUUAAACAUAAGAAAAAAGAAUCACUGAAAAAACUUUUUUCAAAGUUAAGUUAUUCACAAACUAGUGAUUCACACAAAUUUCAAAUAAUUCAAAAUUUAAACUAUUCAAAUUUGAAAUCUACCGGCACUAACAGAAAGUUUGUAAUUUUUUGUACCUAAAGCAAAAAUAUUCACAAAGAAACUCUAAAUACAGCAAAAAACAACUCAAAAAUAAAUAAAACAAAAAAAUAAAGCAAAAAAAUAAAGCAAAAAAAAUUAAGAAAAAAAAGCCCGCCUACUGGGCCAAAGCGGCCUGCAUACGACUAGCGACACAACCUUUCGUUGGGCCAGGAUGCAGGCCCGCGAAGGCCCAGUAGGCCCACUAGGCGAAGAGGACAGGUAGGCCCAGUAGGCCUGGUUAGGAGAGGAACUCGAGAGAGCUACCGCACUGGGGCUUAUAAACCAGUGCGGUAGCCCCUCGACUAGCGAGGUGGGACUAAACUUGCCGCACCGCACCUGCGCCAGCGCACCCCCUUUAGUACCGGGUCGUGGCACAAACCGGUACUAAAGGGCGGCCUUUAGUACCGGUUUGUGCCACCACCCGGUACUAAAGGGGGUAGCUUCCCGCCGCUUGGCCUGGCCAAAACAGGCCUUUAGUACCGUUUGGUGGCUCCAACCGGUACUAAAGGUGCCUUUUAUAUAUACAACGGCUACGAAAAUUUCAGUUUCCCUCUCUGUUCGUUUCUCUGUUUCCGGCUCCGUCGCCGUCGCCGCCGCCCUCGAUCGUCUCCGUCGCCGCUCGUCUUUGUCGCCGCCCCCGUCCCUGUCGCCGUCCUCGUCUCCGUCGCCGCCCCGGGCCCAUCCCCGUCGCGCCGUCCCCGUCCCCGUCGCGCCGUCCCCGCCGUCGCCGCCCCGGCCGUCACCUCGCCGUCGCCUCGCCGUCGCCUCGCCUCGCCGUCGCCCUCGCCCGCUGUGAGCCCUCCCCGAGCCCGUACACACACACAAGCAUGUUUAAUUAGUUUAGGUAAUUAAUCUUUAAUUAGUUUAGAUUAUUUAGAUUAUUAUUUUGUAUGUUUAAUUAGUUUAAAUAAUUAGUGUUUAAUUAGUACACACACACGUAUUUUGUAUGUUUAAUUAGUUUAGAUUAUUUAGAUUAUUAUUUUUUCACUAUUAUAUAUGUAUGAAUGCAUGUUAGAUGGAUAUAAUUAGUGUUUAAUCAGUUAGAAAUUAGUGUUAUAUAGAAAUGAUAGAAAUUAGUGUUAUAUAGAAAUGUUAGAAAUGUUAGAAAUUUUAGUGUUAUUUAGAUUAUUUAGAUUAGCAUAAUUAGUGUUAUAUAGAAAUGUUAGAAAUUUUAGUUAUCAAAAUCCAAUCAUUAAAAAAAUGUUACUUUUUGCGGGCAUAUAGCUAGUAUUUGUUCUCGACGAUGCCCGGCCCGCAUCCUCGUCGUCGACCCGUCCGCGACGACGUCCAGCCGACCCAUGUCUGGGACUGGGCUCCGCUGGGCUGGCACUAGGAGGUGCUGCCUGGAGGGGCGCGCCGCUUGAUGAGGAACCCGGCCCCGGGUCCCGUCGUCGACCCUGAUCUCGUUUGGUGGCGUUCGCGUGGGCCAGUUUUGGUGCGGAGGGACCCGGCCCCGCCGGAGGUGGUACGUCGCCGUGUCAGGGAGGAAGACGAGCACGUCCAUCGCUACAUGGUUGCGUUAGAGGGCGGCAGGUUCUCCAAUACAUGGCAGUUUCUUCGGGGAUCUCACUUCAGCUAUGAUCCUGUGAGGGUUCCUUCUCUUUGGGUGUCCAGCGCCCGCGCCGGAGGAACCGCGAGUGUCCUAGAUUCUUCUGUAGUAUUCGAUCUUUAUUAGCUAAUAGCCAGUGAUGUACUAUUCAAUAUUAUAUGAAAUUCGAGACGAUGUAUUCGAGAUUAUAUCUAUUAUUCUAGACGAUGUAUUCGAGAUUAUAUCUAUUAUUUGAGACGAUGUAAUUUGAAUACUAAAUUGUUUUAUAUUUUUUUUGGAUUAGUUAAACAAAAGCUAUGGCAGACAAUACCGACAGAGAGGGAGAACAGACCAUGUUCGAUAUGAUACGCGGGCCAGAUGAUAAUCAGAAUGAAGAAGAUUAUGACGGCUCCGAAUUUCUAAACAACACCGGAGAGGGUGAUAUGAUAUUCGAUCGCGACGACCAAAUUGAUGAAGUCAUGAACUAUGAUUAUGACGAUGACGAAGAACAUGUUGAUCCUGAAACAACAAAGACCGGCGAGGUAUAUAUAUUUAUAUAAGCAGGCAUCUGGUGAUCAUCACAUGUCUUAAAUGACUUGAAGAUAUAUUAACGAAUCAAUCUUUGUUCUUUCAGCCAUCCGGAUCGAGCAAAUCUUCAGGCAAAAUGACGAAAUGAGGCCCGAACAAAAAGUUGAAGGCGGGCAUAAAGUACAAUAUCGAGGCAUGCAGCCCUACUGGCAAACCGUUAGCGCCUAAGAAGAUUGCGGACAAGUUCGUUCGUCAGUGCGGAGUUCUUGUGAAGGACCAACUCCCGAUCUCCCUUCAAGAAUGGAGAGAGCCAGCAAAAGACAAAAGAAAAAAAGGCAAAGAGGACGCUGCUCCACGUCCAGAUGUUACUUUUGUCGACAAGAAUCAAAAAGAUCUGCUUUGGGAUACUCUCAUGGAACAUUUCACCCUACCAGAUCAUUUCACAGAAGCAGAUGUGCAGAAGUCAAGGAGGCUGCUCUUAGGAUGAUGGCGAUUGCAUUCAAGAACCACAAGAAUCGUGAAUGGAAGAAGUACGUCAAGGGAGAAAGGAAGACUCCAGUAUUCAAGGGAACACUAGAGAACCAACGUGAUCAUUGGGACGAUUUCGUGAAAUUCAAGGAUUCGGAAUGGUCGAGAAUAAACAAGAAGAAUGCCGAAAAAAGGAUAUGUUCCAUAAGCUGGGGCCAGGUGGCUAUGCGGUGGCAAUGCCUAAGUGGGAUAAGUCUGAGAAAGAGAUGGAGGAUGCAGGUGUCACUCUGGCUACUAAGAGCUGGCCCCCCAGGGUCAGGACUUGGUUCUAUGCGCAUGGGGGGGAGUUGGACCUGGAGACAGGCAAUGUUUCGACGAGGGCAAGUCUGAAGGGAGCCGACGAUGCGAUACUUGUUGCAAUAGAAGAGGCACGAUCGGGGGUGUUCCAUCCCAACAGAGAGAACGACGAGCUUACGCGUGCCCUGGGAAAUCCUGAACACCCGGGAAGAACACGAGGCAAGGGCGCUAUUCCGUGGUAUGAGGGGUUUCCAGAAUGGAACACCGACUACAGAACCCAUGCGAGAAAGAAGAUUGCGGAGGAGAAGAAGAGGAAGAUGGAGGAGGAGCAGAGGAAGCGGGACUAUGAACGCCUUCAAGGCCUAGAAGCAAGUCAAGCGAAAUUGGCAGUCAAAUUCCAGCGGCAGCAGGAGCAGAUCGACUCACUUACCCAUCAAAGGGGGUCUCAGCAGUUGCAGCAGCUAGCGGAUGAUCCAGCAUUGGAUAGCACCGGCCCAUCCAUGCCGAGAAGCAGCGUGGGUUCCGUCCCGGACGACGCAAUGCUGGGUAGAUACCACGUGGAUGACAUCACAGAGAACACUAACUGCAAGCUACACGUCAAAAUGAAGAACAUAUCUAUGAAGGUGGCGGACGGCUUUGCUUUUACAAAUCCCCCCGAGGCAACCUUCCAUUGCAACCCGAUUCCAGCGGGCUAUGCUCAUGUCUUUGUUGAUGAGGUGGUGGACCCACCAUAUUCGGAGCUACAGCUUGACAUUGCUGGAGGUUACGGCGAGCGCUUUCUCAGAGAGGCCAAACAUCGUAUCCUCCUAUGGAAAAAGGAUUGCAUCAUCUUUCGAAGGCCACCGACACCGCGUAAGCCGAGUCCUCGUCGAAGUCCGCCACCGAGUCAGCAGACUCCCGCUCCUGCAAGUUCGGCAAAGUGUCAGGCCACUCCUCCUCCUCCAAGUCUGGCAAAGUGUCAGGACAAUCCUCCUCCUCCAAGUCCGCCACAGUGUCAGACAUCCACUCCUCCUCCAAGUCCGGCACAACCUCAGGCCACUCCUCCUCGUCCAACUCAGCCCCGUCAGCCGUCUCCGCCGCCUCAGCAAUCGCAGAAGAGACACCCCGCAUCUAUGGUGCGUAGCGGUACGAGUCGAGGUAGUACAGGAAGUACAGGCGGAGGCAAGCGAUAUAAAUAUGGUCCAAGCCUCAAGCCUCUUCCGCAGAGGUCUUAUGACAGGUCCGAGGAGGAAAUCACAGCCAUAUCGAAGGCCGAGGUGGAAGCCCAUUUUGCACCGAAACCGCCAUCGUCGCCAAGGGAGAAAGUGCCUGAGGAAACGAUUGACCACUUCAUUCGUAUGGCUCAACCACCAGCUCCCAAGCCUGUUGACACAGACUAUGAGCGCCACAUUAGGAAGUUAAAUCAAGCACGUCUACAAAGGGAGGCGAGCACGUCUACAUCGGGAUCAAGCAAACAAGAAGCAGCUGCGAAAAAAUGCGGGAAAACCAUUCCCCAGCUGGGAGAACAGGCGGCGCAAUCGAUCCCCUUGCUUGUUGUGCCAACAACAGGUGACAGUACGCGUGCCCAAUAUUAUUGUGGGCAAACAGUGCAUGUUCCCGAGGUGGGCAAUGUGGUAAUAACGGAGGAGCAUAUAAUGCAGGCUGAAGUUCUCAACAUCACUGUUGGACAACUCCUCGAGAUCGAGCCCAUGCCUUUGCUUAGAGAGGAUGAAAUAAAACGGAAAUAUGUCUGGGGCCAACCUUUGGUCGCGCCAGACAAGGUCAAGAACCUACCAACGAGAAUGUAUGAAUUGCAUCAAUGGUACAUGAACAUUAUCAAGAUUUCCGAUGGAGUGUCCCUCAUGGUGAAUGUCAAGGAGGGGCAUUACUACCAUGAGAAAGCUCUGUCCGUUGAGUAUUCUGAACUGUUUCAGUUAUACAAUCAAGACGCACUCGACAAAUCUAUCGUCAGUUGCUAUUGUCUGUAAGUGAUUUCUUUCUGUAAUUUAAGUCUCAAGCUAGCUGUAGUGAUCCUUUUGAUCAAUCAUUACCUGUAAUUAUCCUCACUAUAUUCUUUUCUGUGGUAUUAUAUGCAGGAUGAAGAUGUAUGAAAUGAGAAAAGGUGGACGCUAUGGCAUUGGGUUCAUUGACCCAAACACCAUUAAUGAAUACACAUGGAAAAUAGAUGCACGUCAUCAAAAGGCCGUAGAGGACAGCAUGCUAGAGUUCUUGAAGCGCCUCAAAUACAAUGAAGAUAUACUACUUCCUUACAACUUCCAGUGAGUCACACUGUCUUGUACUACAAAUUCUCUGUUUUUGCCUACUAGCUAGCUACAUGUUUUUGAAUACAUAUGCCGCUUAAUUAAGACAUGCAAACGUGUGUGCAUGCAGAUUUCACUGGGUCUUGUGUAUCAUUAAAGUUGACGCCGGAACAGUUGAAGUACUGGACUUACUAAUCUCAGAAAAAACUGACUAAUCUCAGAAAAUCUUGUAUGGGAUAGUCAACAGGUAAUUUCAAUCAUUAUUAACUAUAUAUCUCGUCUAUUUAGUUCGUCAUUUCAUGAUAUGAACUAUUUAAUAACCCCUUUAUUCAUUUUCUUUGUCGGCGGGCAGGGCUUGGGCAAGGUUCAUCACCGUCACGGAAGGCGAAUGGAAACAAAAACUUCAAUGGUUUCGACCCUAGGUAAGUAGUACUAGCUAGCUAGCUAGCUGCCAUCUCUUUAAUUAUCAUGCUUGAUUAAUUAUUAUCUGAUCAAAUUCCAUUCUCGUCAAGGCCCUGAAGCAGGCGCAGGGGACUGAUCUGUGUGCAUUCUGCGUUUGCGAGAAUAUUCGCAUGAUGGCGUCCGAAAGGAGCAGAUCUCAAAGACAGGAAUGGGUACGCUUGUCAAAACACUAUUCACAAUUUUUACACCAUUAUCGAUAUUUAGUCACACAACUAACAUAUUGAUCUCCUUCUUAACAGUUCAGAAAGGUGCGCGGGAAGCUCCUAGAAACGGAGCGCAUAGAAGCACUUCAAGAGGAAAUAGCGGGAUUUUUGCUCGACCAGGUCAUAAAUCCGAAGGUAGAAUACUAUUACCCGCUACCGCCCCCAUGAAAACCACUUCCAAUUGUCAUCGUGUUCCGAAGGCACCAAUAUAGGCUAAUGCCACUGGCUCCGAAGGCAACAUGCAUAUGUAGGAGAAAUUGUAUAUAGCUAUACAUGUGUGUAUGUGUGAAUUAAUUAAUAUGAUGGUUUGUGAGACAUUGAUGAUAUAUAUAUGCAUNNNNNNNNNNNNNNNNNNNNNNNNNNNNNNNNNNNNNNNNNNNNNNNNNNNNNNNNNNNNNNNNNNNNNNNNNNNNNNNNNNNNNNNNNNNNNNNNNNNNNNNNNNNNNNNNNNNNNNNNNNNNNNNNNNNNNNNNNNNNNNNNNNNNNNNNNNNNNNNNNNNNNNNNNNNNNNNNNNNNNNNNNNNNNNNNNNNNNNNNNNNNNNNNNNNNNNNNNNNNNNNNNNNNNNNNNNNNNNNNNNNNNNNNNNNNNNNNNNNNNNNNNNNNNNNNNNNNNNNNNNNNNNNNNNNNNNNNNNNNNNNNNNNNNNNNNNNNNNNNNNNNNNNNNNNNNNNNNNNNNNNNNNAUAUUCAUAACGUGUACAAUGUGUAGUAUCAUAAAAUACCAGCAAACGAAAAAGAAUUAAAAUGGAAACACAAAAUUAAAUGAAAAAGAAAUCAUAAAACUAAAAACCCCCCAAACAUUAUAGUACCGGUUGGUCUUACCAACCGGUACUAAAGGGCUCCAGGCCCCCGGAGCUGGCUCGUGCCACGUGGUUGCCCUUUAGCACUGGUUCGUGCUGAACCGGUACUAAAGGGGGGGGGCCUUUAGUGACCACAAUUUAGUGCCGGUUAUGUAACCGGCACUACAGGGCCUUACGAACCAGUGCUAUUGCCCGGUUCUGCACUAGUGGUUGUUUGUUGGUCCACGUAAAUCUAGCACCUGUCCUAGCAAUUUCUCGCAAGGCACAGGCCGCAAUAGGAUUAUUGAACAAGGUCAUUCUAUGCCAGUAUAUGUUGCGGUUGUUCUUAUCCGCUCCCGAGCGGAUAAGGUUAAAAUCGCCCCAAGGAAAAUGGGAAUAUUGGCAGCUUGUUUGGCCCCAAGCAAGCUUUGGAUUUCACCCAAGAAAUUAGCCGCACGAGAGUGAUAAGCCGGUCUGUACACGCAUACAAUCGCCCAAGAAGCAAAGGAAAUCCUGUGUUUGAUCAUGAACAAAAUGAAAAAGACACCUGCAUCCCAACUUACAACAUCACAUACAUCACUAUUACAUCCCAGAAGAAGACCACCCGAAUGACCACAGGAGGGAACCCAGCCCCACACAAAAUCAUUUCCUGAAGCGCGAUGAUGUCAAUACGCUCACGGGCAAUGUACUCUUUGAGUUGGGUGCGACGACCAGAAUGUUCGCAACCCCGAAUGUUCCAGAAAAGAUAACGCAUCAGAUAAUUCAAUUGCGAAGGCGCACCCCUCUGGAGGUCACCGGUUUUGCUACACGUUUUAUAGCCGGGGCACACCUCGUCGCUGGAGUUGCCUUCACCUCCCUGGUUUCAGCAUACCCACCCGACACUACAACAGUCCCGACAGGGACGGGCACAGCCAGGGCCGUGGCGGAGGCUUCCCUGGCCUUUGCCAACGCGGCUGCCUCAGCCAAAGCCGCUCGGGCUUCCUCGCGAGAACGAAUCAUUGAAACUAACUCAGCGCUCUCCGCACCUACUUUAAAACAGCUAUCGUCUAGGAUCAAGACAAGUUCAGGAUCUGAACAUGCAUUCAGAAUCUUAAAGGAGGGGGGGCUUACCUGAAGUUUCGAGGUUCUUCUCCGCCAGACGCAGCUGCGCGCUCUCCAUGGAAAGCAGCUCACCCAGUUGGGCCUUGGCCCGGGCACUCGGAGCGCGUUGAGACAUCGGGGAUGCCCGAGAGCGCCGAGCCUUGGCCGACGUGCGGGCAGAGCCCAAUGCGGCCUGUAGGUCCACGCACACCGGCGCAUUAGGCGAAGGGAGGGAAAGCUCGGCGAGGUUGGACGAAGGUUUCCGCCUAGCCAUCUUCUUGGAAGCACGCCCAGAGCCCCCCGAGCUGCGGCGACUAGACAACGAGGUGUGCAUGAGUGGUUUGUUGAGCACCAUACCCGUGUCGGAGCCAAGCAUGCUGGGCGAGGCCGGAGCGACCAAAAGCAUAGAGCCAACAUCAGCCAACGCCUUAGGACCCACCUGGAUACUUGCCCCCAUCAGCGCACACGACGGGGACAGACAGCUCCCAGUCGUGUCUGCAACCGCAAGCACCCUAGGCUCCACGGCGUCUUUGUCCUCGUCAAGAGCGAGAUAUUUGACUCCCAACUGAUACCAUGUCUCCUUAUCAAUCAAUGUAUCCGGCAUGCUAUCCUCAUGCUCCUCCUUGCGGCAGGCCAUCUCCACAUCCUUCUGUUGGCUGCCAAUGGUGAUGCCCGACCCUCCCUGAGCCCCGGCAUCAGCCAGCAGCUGGCCUGCCACACCCCCAGUCCCCGAACUAGGCUGGUCCCCGUGAUUGCCGCAAGGGCGGGGAGGACCCUUGUCAGACCCUGGCACAGCAGGCCCCUCACCAGUGCGCUUCGGGAGACGCUCCACUUCCACUUUGAUGUCAUAACCCUCAUGAUUGAACAAAACUUGCACGAAUCCGUUCAGCUUGUCCGGGGCUUUGCAGCCAAACUGCAUCCUCACCUGUCCCAUACGGAUGAGAGAGAGCUCGUCCACCACGAUAGGCCUGCCCAACAUCUUGAGUCCUGCCAUCAGAUGAUCGACAUGGCGGUGCUUCUUGGGGAUGCCAUGGAGGCGAAGCCACACCUCCGGCAUGGAGAGAGGCAAAAUGGGUUCCUGGAUAGCGUCACACACCCGCACCGUAAUGUCAUUGAUGGACAGGAACAGUUACCACUCAAUUUGGCCAUGUGCAGCAGAUCCGCACAAGGGAAGAUAACCGCAAAAUCAUCACCACCCACUUGAGUAAUCUUCCAAUCCCAAUCCCCAGCCACCAUGUGCUUCAGCUCCUGCUUGAGCACGUGCAGCGAGAGCCUCCCUGGCUCCGUCGACAAGAUAGCACCAUUAGCAGCCACCGGGUCCGAGCCCUCCACCUCCUCUUCUUCCUCGAACUCCAAGCAGGAAAAGCCUUCGCCCGGAAUAGCACUGCCCAUGAUCUGGAGGUGCAGAUGCUUGCCCCACGACGGGCAAAAGGCCGAGGCACAACCUUCCUACUUACAGAUCACGCAGAGGGGGGGGGGGAGGUGCACUUGGCCUGGAAAUGCCCUGUUCGGCCGCACUUGAAACAUUCGCCCCCCUCUUCUUAGACCCAGAUGGGCGCGGCCCCCGACCCUCGCAGCGCGUCCGGCAGCACCAUCGCCAGCGGGACGGCCGACGACCGCGGCUUCUUGGCCAGUGGAUCCCCGUGGCCCCCACCACAGAGGGGGUGCUCCCGAGGCUUGCGCUCCAGCUCGCGCCGCCUCGCCCCAUGCUUGCGCUUCUCCUUUCGCUCCUGCUGGCCUCACCAAGGGGGAGGAGGACCCCAAUCCCCCUUGCGCCCGCGAGAUCCAGAGCCAAAACUUUUACCAUGGCCACCCCCAUAAUCCUGGCCGAAGCCGCAACCUGGACCUUGCUCAAAACCACCUCCACCAUCUUCACGCCCCGACGACCUGGCCCGCUGGCCGCGCUUCGCCUGCUCCCGUAGCACCUUCUCACGCCACCGCUCCUCGUCAGGGAUCGGAGAAUCCAUCAGCCUCUUCUUUGCACGCCGAUCUGCCAUGGCUGCCACCGCAGUGAAGGAGCGGGUGAGGGGGGAGGAGGGUGAAGUGGAGAGAGAGAUCUGGCAAAACGCCUGAAACGCUGCACCUCACUGGGACGAGCCUGAAACACUAGGGAGGGGUCGCGCACGCCCCUGCGCAGCCAUAUAUAGCGCCACGACCCGGGCUCACGGGCUCCAUCCUCGGCAGGCCGAGAGGUACUGGGCACAACUGGGCCAGGCCCAGCAGCAGCGGUCACUUGUCCCUCCGCUGCCCCGCAGGAUGCCGCCCUAGAGAGCGGUUGGGCCCCAAGACAGCCUGAGGCCGGCCCAGGCCCAACAGGCGGAAACAGGCCCAGGGUAGGUGCCACGCACGUCAGCGGCAACCCUAGCGUGACGGCCGUCUCCGCCACCCGCGCCGCCACCGCCGACAGCAUCGCUGGAGCGGGCACGAGAGGGAGCACCGGCCUCUCCUCAGCCGACAUUGGGGCCGCCACAGGGCCAGGGGGCGGCGAGGCAGCGGGGGGCACCCGCAGGCACGUCACCGAGGGCACCGGCGGCCACCAGCACCGCACCACCGUCGCACGAGAUCCACUGCCACCCGGAGCGAACCGACAGCGACGGUCUCCCCGAGUGGCGCCGGCCGCCACCGCCACCUGCAAGAACUCGCCAAGGGUCACACCCGCCGGCGGAGGAGCCAAACGCGGCGAAGAGAACCCGUCCUCCUCGUGGGACUCGUCCUCCGCCAGAGCCCAGAAACGGCCACCGCACGCCCCCCGCCCCACCUCCGAGGAGCCCACCUGAGCAGGGCACGCCGGGGUGCCGCUGGGCCCCGCCACACCUGCUCCCACGCAUCGGCCGCGACGAGAUCGCCGGAGGGGACGGAGGCGCCGCACGCGACGCCCAGGGCCACCCCUAACGGCUCGCAUGAUUCGAAACUCAUCCUCCUCUCCCGAUCCACCGUUGUUAAACUGUAACUCAGCCCCUCCAGCAGUCCCAUUUCAACACAUGACGGGAACUCGAUCAGCUGAGCAGUUCACGACGGAACUUCCAAAAGGAUAGUUUGUUACCUGUUAUCACCAUGUCAAAAGAAAAAAGUUACAAGUUAACACGUACAGGUGUGUUAGUAGUCUAGUAAGCUGACACGAUCUUCAAGAUCGAACUUUGACCACCAAUUGUAUUGAAUGAAUUAAAAAAGGAAUAACAGUUCUGGUUGUCAGAGGAUCCUAGGAAGAAAAAAGAGGAAAAACAAACAUAGUGCUAGUACCAAUAAAAAUAAGUCCUUACAAAAAAAAACUUCCUGCUAGAAAUCAAUCUGAAUUUGUUAUGAUCAACGUACAUCUGUCAUGCUAGCUUAGCCCGCGCGGCGGCACGCCGCGCCUGUCGAUCAGUCGCGACUAUGUAGACUAUGGUCGAAGCAAUAGAGUAAUAAAUAGUUAUUCCCUAUUAAUUAAAGAGAUGUACAAUACGUUAUGAUGAAAUUUGUUGUAUAACUUGAGGCUUUUAAGCAAAUUGUUUUGUUCACGACAAUUUAUAGACACGCGUAUCUAUUUUUAUGUAAACUUUUAGCUUUCCGUCCACCAAGUUGAAACAAAUACACAACAUGGCCAAAAGUAAGGAACUUCAGAACAAUGCUUUCGGUAGCUAAACUUUAACAAACUUACACAUUUCAUAACAAAAAAAAACUAAAACGUACAUCUGAUCCAAAGUACAACCAUUGAAACAGUAAAAAUAUCAACUAUUUUGAUCAUCACAAAAGAAUUAAUGUGCAUUUCUUGGACAAAAAUUAGAGAUAAAAUAAUUUAGCAAGAAAAAACUAUUUCAGAUCACAAAAGUUGCUCCAAAGAGUAAUUGUGUAUCUCUAUUACCUAAAAGAAACGGAGUGUUCCCUCUCUCGUCUUACAUGAAUUGUCUCGUCGACACCCCCAACCUCAGACUUUCCCUUCGUGCAACAUAUCGUCCCUCCCGAUUCGCUUAUUUAUUCGCUCGCGAAAUUCCAGCUCAGUUUCGUGUUUUUAGUCCUCCCAAACCCGUAUCCCGGUCCCCUUAUUUAAUUGCUCCCGUAAUUCUCGUUUUGUUUCCUGUUUUUUCGUGCUCUUAAAGCCGCCCAGCCCGAUCUUCCGCCCCCGCAUCCCGUCCUUUCUCUUGCUCCGCCCAUGGAAGAUGCUAAGCAGGAGAAUGAGCAACAACAGCGAGCAGAUCAGCCGCGGUGCUUGCUGGUAGAGGCGCGGUCGAUCGGUGUGCAAGGCGAGCGCCUGUACACCCUGCAGCUGUGGAGAACUGGAGAUAUGUAGAAUCGGUGAAAUCCCAUGCACGCACCCCCACACACGAUCUCAUCCAAUCCCACCAACGAUCCGCUUCUCCCGGCUGCCGUUACGCGGCCUUUCCCAUCCUCACAUUCACCCGCUGGUGAUGCCGCGACCGGUGUGGCGAUAUGCCUUCGCUCGCUCUAGGUUUUUUUUUAUCGAGGAAGUCAUAUCCUGAGGCCGGGAAGAUCUCAUCCUUCCAUGCUUCUUCCCUACGCGGCAUCCUGCUGCAUGCCAGUUGUGUGCAGGUACAAUUCUUCAGCAUGCAACCUGUUCAAUAGAAUGUUUACCAUGCCUUUGGUAGAAGAUAGACUGUAGUAUAGUCUUUAUUUUGUCCCUCCCUUGGUUAGUCUUUCGAUCUACUGGUCUUUUAUGAGGCUUGGCUUUUUGAUAUAGAAAAUUUGGCAUAUAUUUUGACUGUUGUUGUAUGUCUUACGACAGACAGAAGCUAACUUUUGUUUUUCCAGCUCGUGCACUGAGAAAGGCUUUUGAUGUAGCAAUUGUAACAUAUCGAAUAUAAUUAAUUUCUUUUUAACUAUUUUUGUGCCGUUUCACCUCUUACAUGCUCUGUUAUUGGCAACACAAGUCCUAUGCAAAAAUUGUUUAACACAUGCGUCUAUGUCCCAUCGUUUUUGGGAUGAGGCAUAUCUUUCAGCUUGCUACCUCAUAAAUCGACUUCCUAGUCGUGUCAUUGGCAACACAAGCCCUAUGCAAAAAUUGUUUAACACCAAACCCGACUAAACAUCUCUUCGAAUGUUUGGUUGUGCUUGUUGGCCCAACUUGCGCCCCUACAACACACACAAACUUGAUUUUCGAUCUCAACAAUGUAUCUUUGUCGGGUACAUCAUUCGUCACAAGGGCUACAAGUGCUUACACUUGCCCACUGCCCGCGUGUACAUCUCUCGCGAUGUCACGUUUGACGAAAAGGUUUUUCCAUUCGCUAGUCCUCUUCCCUCCCCCAUACAACCCAGGGUAGUUGAACAUGCCAUAUUGUUAUUUCCGCAUGACCACAUGAACUAUUGUACACCUGGUUUGCAUGCUGACUUGGAUGCAGGAUCUUCCAUGGCGCAGAAAAUCCCAGGCAAAACCACCACGGGAGCCCAGGAGGAUCCUGGUGACCGAUCCGAGGCUGAUCCGGUCUCGGAUCCCGCGUUAUUGGCGGACAGCAGCGCGUAUUCCCCAGUGUCAGGCAGCGGUGGUGCAGCGGCCUCCACAGUGGGCCGCGUGGCGCCCGCUGACGGGCCGACCUCCCCUCCACCCGCGCCAGUGGCGGGGUCCACACCUGGGCCGGCUUUCCCCCAGCCCGACAUGCCUCGAGCCGAGCCACACGUGGAUUCAGGGUGGGCCGCUGCUGCAGUUCCUGCCACCCCGCCAGCUACCGACUCGGGAUCCCAUGCGGAUCUCGGUCCCGCUCGCCCCGCCGCUGGUACGGGAUCCUAGGAGGAUCUCUCGCCUGGAUCCGAUGCUCCACCCGGCCACACCAUGGUGACUCGCCUACGUGAAAACACACGCAAGGCCAUGCAACACACCGAUGGCACGAUCACGUAUGACCCGUCUCGACGUGCGUUUCUCGCGUCGCAAGAACUUACUGAUCAUCGUGAAGCUCUCCAUUCUCUCGCGUGGCGUGCGGCCCUUCAUCACAAUGGCACCUAGUCUUUGGUUCCACCACCAUCUAAUGUCAACGUGAUCGACUGCAAAUGGGUUUUCACAUUCAAGCACAAGGAGGAUGGAACAGUUGAUCGUCAUAAGGCACGACUCGUUGCCAAGGGGUUCAAACAAUGAUAUGUCUUGGACUAUGAUGAUACAUUCAGUCCCGUCGUCAAACCGAUCACUGUUCGCUUGGUUCUCUCCAUUGCAGUCUCUCGUGGGUGGUGCUUGCGUCAACUAGAUGUCCAAAAUGCCUUUCUUCAUGGCGUUCUUCAAGAAGAGGUGUACAUGCGACAACCCCCUGGUUUUGUGGAUCCCAGGGCUCCACGACAUCUUUGCAAGCUCAGGAAAGCAAUCUAUGGUCUUAAACAAGCUCCUCGAGCGUGGUAUUCCAGGCUCAGUUCUCGGCUUCUUCAACUUGGUUUUGUGGCAUCUAAGGCUGACACCUCCUUGUUUGUCUUUCAUCAUGCUCGUGUCACCAUGUUUAUGCUUGUGUAUGUGGAUGAUAUCAUUGUGGCCAGCUCGUUUCCUACUGCUACCACCAAGUUGCUGGAUGAUCUUCAGGCCUCUUUUGCCAUCAAAGAUCUCGGUCCUUUGCAUUAUUUCCUUGGAUUUGAGGUGAGAUCGUCGCCAGGGGGGAUUGUACUUUCUGAACAGAAGUAUAUUGGUGACAUUCUUCAUCGAGCAAAUAUGGAGAAUUGCAAUAUCUCCACCACACCCAUGUCUUCGGCCGAGAAGCUCACCAAGGAAAGUGGGUCGCCAUUGUCUCAAGAUGAUAGCACCAAGUAUUGUAGUCUGGUUGGUGCUCUUCAAUAUCUAACACUUACCAGGCCAGAUAUAUCCUUUGCAGUAAACCGUAUUUGCCAGUUUCUUCAUGCACCUACAAUUACACAUCUCUCUGUAGCUAAACGGAUUUUGAGAUACAUAAAGUAUACUCGGAGCAUGGGCCUCUCUAUAAGAAAAUCCCCUUUAAUGUUGUUAAGCUGUUUUUCUGAUGCAGAUUGGGCAGGGUGCAGUGAUGAUCGGAGGUCUACUGGUGGUUUUGCUGUAUUUCCUGGUCCUAAUCUUGUGUCCUGCAGUUCGAGGAAACAAGCCAUGGUUUCUCGCUCAAGCACAGAGUCUGAGUAUAAAGCACUUGCAAAAGCUGAGAUAAUCUGGAUCCAGUCAAUCCUUGGUGAACUUGGUGUUUUCAUGGCAAGACCACCUGUGUUGUGCUGUGAUAACUUGGGAGCUACUUAUCUAUCUGCUAAUCCAGUAUUUCAUGCCAGGACUAAGCACAUAGAAGUAGACUUUCACUUUGUUUGAGAGAGAGAGUUGCAGCCAAGGCAUUGGAUGUUCGGUUCAUCUCUUCUAAAGAGCAGGUUGCUGAUAUAUUCACAAAGCCAUUGGCUGAGACGAUGUUUGUCUCAAAUAGAUACAAUAUGAACCUUCUUGAGGGAAGUUUAGAUUGAGGGGGGAUGUGAAACAUAAUGUUGUUAUAGAUUAGGAGGCUGUUAAUAUCUGUAGUUAUUACCUUAUCUCUUGUAACAACCUAUGUAAUCUCGGCUCUGCCAUGCCCUAGAGGCUGCAUAUAUAAAUACUCCCCCGGCCGCCCUAUGGGUUGUGUUGAAUCCCAAUCUCCUUCUUCUGUCUCACAACGAAGAGUUCUUGGACAAGAAUUCUAGUAAUGAAGAAUUGGCUAAGGAAAGAGGACAUGCAAAUUGAGAUGAUGUUAUUAGUGAAGGAUGCUGGAAACUGUAUUACUCCAUCAACUGAUGUUAUUUUCAUUGGUAUUGCUUGAAGUUUCACCGAUAUUCACAUUCUUAGGAGUUGGACCUACUUCUUGUGCUGUGCUUUCUCUUACCCACGGAGCUUUCUGUGAAGGAUAAGUUGUGCACAAAUGCUAAUAAGUUAUAUUAAAAAAACAAGACAGGAAUAACAUGCUGACAAGGAAAAUGUUUUAAAAUAAUUUGGGCUGAAGAAGGUGCUCUUGUUGGGGUAGAACUAGGUUCUCUCACAGAGGCUGAACUAGGUACUCUUAUUGGUGGUUGAGACAACUGACAUGAUGCUACAUUGGUACAAUUGUGCCAGAAGGAUUUCCUUUUAGACAAGAUGUCCCAGCUUAUUUGCAUAGUCCAAGUCUUAUGACAGUCCCAUGCUUACUGACCCUAGUGUUUUUUGAUUUCUCCUCAGGUUCUCCUGCCCUAAUUGUCUUUGUUCUAUCUAACAGAUGUGGAGGUUCUGGCUUUGGUUUGUCUGACACGCACCAUGAGGACAUGCCCUCCAUAUGCUGAAGGAGCCCCGUUUGAGUAAGCAUUAUAGACAUUUGGCAAAUCGUAGACACUUUCUUAUGUAUACUAGAUGAAUUCCCCGUGCAGCGGAAAUUUGUAGUACUCAACCUAGCUAGUAUCUUUAUGGUUUCUCCUUUAGCAAAAUAAUUUGUUUACCAAUAUUUUUAAAAAUAAAUAAAUGUAUGUCUUUGUGUAAGUCGGAAAUGGAGCAAAAUGAAACAAAAUGUACAUGCAUCAAUUUUCUUUCAUGAACCACCAUAGUGUUAGCUACAUGCAUGUGUCAAGAGACUUUUCAGUAAUUUAAGAGCAACUCUAGCAGAACCCGCAAAAGGCCUCGACCCGCAAAAUAACCGUCAAAAUGCGGGCCGGCGGUGAAAAUCCUGCCCGAACAGAUCGUGCAAACGCGGCCGGCCCGCAANNNNNNNNNNNNNNNNNNNNNNNNNNNNNNNNNNNNNNNNNNNNNNNNNNNNNNNNNNNNNNNNNNNNNNNNNNNNNNNNNNNNNNNNNNNNNNNNNNNNNNNNNNNNNNNNNNNNNNNNNNNNNNNNNNNNNNNNNNNNNNNNNNNNNNNNNNNNNNNNNNNNNNNNNNNNNNNNNNNNNNNNNNNNNNNNNNNNNNNNNNNNNNNNNNNNNNNNNNNNNNNNNNNNNNNNNNNNNNNNNNNNNNNNNNNNNNNNNNNNNNNNNNNNNNNNNNNNNNNNNNNNNNNNNNNNNNNNNNNNNNNNNNNNNNNNNNNNNNNNNNNNNNNNNNNNNNNNNNNNNNNNNNNNNNNNNNNNNNNNNNNNNNNNNNNNNNNNNNNNNNNNNNNNNNNNNNNNNNNNNNNNNNNNNNNNNNNNNNNNNNNGCUUCAUCGCGGGCGGCCGGAUUUGGCCUUUCUGGGCCUCCGCCGGCUGCACCAAGCUAUGGAAUGGUCGGGGAGCACCUCGCACGGCCCCGACAAAGGUGCAUCUCCGCUCACCGCCGCCGACGGUUUGCCGGGAUGGAUUCUGCCGUACGUCCGUCGGGCUCAGCCCUCGCGCAAAUGCUCUGUGGCUCGCCAAUGCCGCUCAUACAGUGUGAUUAUUGCCCGCGGACAGUGCUACGGCUGACUUCGGGCACGCCGAAGCACCCCGGAUGGGUGUUCUUCAAAUGCGAAAACGACGGGGUACGUGUUGUUUUUCAUUCGGCUCAUUUCAAUAGCUCAUUAUGUUUGCUCAUUUCGAACAUCAUCAUGCAUGUAGGAAGAUGGAUGCUGAUUUUGGUUUUGGGAAGGCGAAUACAUUGAUUUAGUGAUAGAAAGAAAACUGAUAGACGUUCAUGCACUCCUUAGUGCAAUCGAAGGCAAUGAAACGCAUGCAUGUGCAACUAGAGGGGAAGCAACAUCUACUUCUUUCUUAGAACCAAAGAUGAAGAAUGAAGAAUGCAAGAUCAAGAAUCUGCAAAUCAACAGUGAGUGCAUGGAGAAGAUAUUGCUUCAACUAGUGGGAGCUGUUAUGGAAGUUGGAAAUGUUCUAAAAUGCAUACUUGUGGUUCUUGUUUUCUUUGGUCUUACUUUUCUAGCAAAGAUUUGGUGAUGUCUUAUGUAUUCAGUGUGGUUGAAAAUGCAGAGAAAUGCAAAUUGAGGUGCAAAUUUACAUUUUGGGGGCGGGGAGAGGAUGGCGGUAGAAGCAGACUCCGCAAAGCCGAUCAGUAAAACAUGAUGCGAGUCAGCUUUGCGGGGUCUGCCUCUUCCGCUUUGCGUUGCGCACUACAAAACAGUUUUUCCGCAAACUGCAAGCGUGAAAUGCGGGUCACCGAGAUGCAGGGUCUACUAGAGAUGCUGUAAGCAUCAGUUUCUGCAUGCAUGCGUCAGCUACCACAUCGCUUGGUGCAUCUGCUCUCAACUUGUAGAUUGGAUGGCUAUUAUAGACUAAUCUAGUAUAUCCAACGGCUAAAUUAAUUUGGGUGACCGUGAGGCACUCACUCUUGAUUAUCCUUGAUCAAUAAACCAUGACAUUCCCUAAAAAAGGCUAUCCUGAUCAGGCACUGCGAUGGAUUAUUUCAGCAUCAGGCAAGUAAUAGCUUCUAGAAAUAAUUAUAACACUAAAAUUGCACCAAUAUAUACAGCAGGCAAACAUCCAUAUAUUCAGCUGCGCUAAUAAGUGGAACACCUGCUGCGGGCCUCCCCGCUCCUCCCCCUCGCCUCCCCGCCCCUAACCCUAACCGCGCCGCCAGCCGCCCCUCCCCGCUCCUCCCCCGCUUCGCAACCGCUGGAGGGGACACCGGUGAAGCCCACGUGGUCCCCAGGGAAGGUGGCGGCGGGGUCUGGCGCCUGCUGCCCAUGAGGCGGCGUCCCUCACGGCGGCGGGGCUGCCCCUGAACAACGCUUGGUGGUGGCCACAUGGCGGCGCGCGGGUGGGUCGGAUCUGGGCUUCCAGUCUACGUGCUCGUAGUGGCAGCGCUUGCUGUUGCUCUCAGCCAUGAGGCGUGGUCUGGGAUGGGCCUAGCGUCGGUGGUGCUGGCCAGGACGCACGCUGGCAGCGCCCUACUUCAUCUCGCGUCGUCUCAUUGGCCCAUGGUGGUGGUCAUCUUCGUCGUCAAAGAUGGCCGGACAGAGGCUUGGUGAUGGGAUAUUGAGAUCCAUCAUCUAGUCCCGGCUGCGAGUUGGGGAGACAUGGUUACCGGUGAAAACCGAGUCGUUGGUAGGCGAUGGCGGCGUUCUACGCUGUUACCUUGAUGGAGGCAUUGUCGUGUAACUACUGUCGACCCACUCGUGCUGCUCUCGGGGAAAUCCUAGGAUCUGGUGUUCCAGAUCGGAUGAUGGCGGGACUGCGGUGUCCUUUCUCUCUUGGGAGUAUCGUUUGUGGAGCAGCGCUGGAAGUCGGAGGCAGGAGGUGGAGCGGCUUCGUCUUGCACGGUGCUUGGGUGGAAAUGUCAAGUCAUGCCUGACCGACAGGUGCUACGCUUUGUCAUGCCUGGUCGGCAGGUGCUACGCACGACAGAUCUUCCAAAGAUUUCAAGCUGUGUCGGCUGGUGGUACUUGGCAGCAUGGUGUUGAGGUGUAUCAUUGGCGACUGUGAUGUGCACAGCUGUUUGCCCGCAGGGAGGAGGUGCCGUUGGGCGCCGUGGUGGCGUCGACGAUAUUUAGACCGACCAAGGUUGAUGCAUCGGUACAGUUCUGAAGAUGGAGCGGUGGCAGUUUGUGGCGGCGGCCUCUGAGAGCACGCCGGACCGGCGAGAUCCAUGCCCGGCAGGCGUCCUAGAUGGGUCCUCAGGUCUUCGAUGUUAGGUUUGGCUGUGAUGUCUGUUUGGUAUUAGGCCCAGGCUAUCUGCGCCCCUUCAUCAACUGGACAGGUGUAGCGACAGUUUGUUACUUAGACGGCGGCUUUAGUUUACUGUGGUAUUACUUUGUAAGGUCUUGUGAGAAUAAUUAAUAAAGUGGCCGUAUGCAUCGCCCAGAUGCAGAGGCCAGGGGUCAUCCUCUUUUUAAAAAAAAAAUAAUAAGUGGAACACAUUUGCUAAAUAAAUAUAGUGGACAAAUCACCGGUAGUGGGCAAGGAACACGUCCAAAAUAAAUGUAGCAAAAAACACAAUACAUCUAGUCACUUUGUCCAUUAGAAUAUUGUGCCAACUGGACUGGAAUUUGUACCUUUGGUAAGCUUGACGCAAAUGAUUGAUUGGCAGCAUCAAUACUCUGGAUACCUACGCACGGAGAAAGAAAAUAUUUUAAUCACUCGUACAGAAUCAUGAAUAUAGGCAAACACAUUUGAUGCCACACAGAACAUAGGACAAUUAGAGGAAGGAAUUACAUAAAAUACUCCCUCCGUUUCCUAAAUAUAAGUAUUUUUCGAGAUUCCACUAUAGACUACAUACGGAGUAAAAUAAGUGAGUGUACACUCUAAAAUAUAUACUCCCUCCGUCCGGAAAUACUUGUCAUCAAAAUGAAUAAAAGGGGAUGUAUCUAGACGUAUAUUAGUUCUAGAUACAUCUCUUUUUAUUCAUUUUUAUGACAAGUAUUUGGGGACGGAGGGAGUAGUUUACAGUGGAAUAUCUAAAAAGACUUAUAUUUAGGAACGGAGGGGGUAUUUAACAGGAGAGGAGAUUCAGAACAUAACGACAAAAGUUAAACAGUAGAAGGAUUACACAACUAACAUUAUUGUGUGAGCACAUGAUGGUGGCAACCAUCAGUCCAUCACAUCCAUGUUUUAUAGCGUGAAUGUGUAGGUCGUGCAAAAAUAUCCGGUCAUCUUUGACCACAAGAGAAAAGUAAAUUCAAAUGGAAACAAAAGGAUGAUAAGCCUUCUCUAAUAAAAUUCUAUAUUAUAAAACACAACACAAUAAAAUACUACUCCCUCUGUAAACUAAUAUAAGAGCAUUUAGAUCACUAAAGUAGUAAUCUAAAUGCUCUUAUAUUAGUUUACGGACUACUUAUAAACAGUAGUGGCUGUGAAAUGAACCCCUAAUUAGUGCCUACUUCGAUGUCCCAUGCUUAUAUUUAAAAGCAUUGUUGGAUGAAGCAUUAAUGAAGUUGAAACGAUACUGCACAUUGCUCAAAUGUUACUGUGUACAUGGAUUACCACAAGUAAUCAACAUAUGCUUCAGGUAUUGAACAACUAAAAUGAAUUAGCAAGGGAUGGCAUAGAUAUGGUGUGCUGCCUGAAUGACAGAGUCAAGUAUUUGUUUAUUUCACACAAUGCGACGUAAACCUGAGAUGAUCUUCAAGGUCUAGUAGCUACCAAGGCUAUGUAUUGUCUCUCAGCCUUAAUCAUGCUAGCUGCAAACCUAUACCCAAGCAGUAAGCAUGUCUCGACAAUUAUAUGUCUUCAAAAGAUACGGUAGACGGAAAAGUAUAUACCAGGCCAUAAUCAAUAGCAAAUGGGUUUACUUCAUGUUUUUUACAACGAAGACGCCGAAGGCAUCCGGCUUUAAAUUAAUAAAGCCCACGAACAGGCAGAAUCCAACAAAGUUCAACACAGAACAACAACCAAAAAAGUGGCCGCAGCCAAGGUACUAAACAUGCCACCGGCCGAAGCCUGCACAAUAAGGAAAAUAAGCAGCAGCAGCUCGCAUACGGCCAAUCCAAAAGACAGCAUCCUGCGGACAGCUAGUGGCGGGCGCCAAUCUGGAUCAAAUGAAUCUGCUCCAUAGCCUCGGUGAUCUGGUCUGCAUCAUGCCGUUUCCCCAACAGUGUCCAUGUCUGGAGGAACAAGUGGCAUUUGAAAAUAAUGUCAGCAGGAUGAGAAGGAAAUUUGUGCUCAAUAGUCAUCUUGCUGCAUGUAGUCCAGAUGGCCCACAGCAAAGCACCCACGCAUCUCCAGAGCACAUGCCCGAAACUACCCCUAUGAGCGACAAGAAUUCCACGAAGAUCCGAAGAUGAAAGCGGGUUCCAAUUAUGAUCAAACGCCUCCCUAACCGCACUCCAAGCAAAGUGGGCAAGGUGACAUUUGAAAAAGAUGUGGUUGGCAUCUUCGUGCUGACCGCAGAGCACGCAAGAGCCAUCGGAAGGCCCGUUCCUAAUAGUGAUGUUGUUAGAGGAGGGAAAGCGGCCGCGAAACAUUUGCCAUAGGAAAAUAUUGAUCUUCAGGGGAAUAGACUCUUUCCAUAGCCCCCUAGCUAUGUCCAGGGUAGGUCCCUCGGUCAGCUUGUUGUAAAGGGAUUGGACAGAAAACUUCGCGCAGCGCGAGAAGGACAAAGAGACUGUGUCGGCCUCAGGGCGAAGAACCACUCCAUUCAAAGCAGCAACAAGCCCGUCGCAAUAGGCUCGUUUGCUAGCGAGGAGGGAUCUUUUGAAGGAGAUGGCGGGCGGGUUGGAGCUAAGCGCGUCGGCCACAAGAAUAUCUACGUUAGUGGCUAACUGAUAGGCAGCGAAAUGGCUCCUCCACAAGGGUUCCGAUCCAAACCAAUGAUCUAGCCAAAAGCGCAUAGAGGAACCGUUAUUGACGGAGAACUUGGCGCCUAACGUGAAGGCUAGCAUAACUUUCUGGAUCCCUUCCAGAAAGGAGAUCCCUUAGCUUUGGAGGUGAGAAAAUUCCCAUCAGGGAAAUAUUUGGCGCGGAGGAUGUCCGCCCAAAGCCCCUGCUCGUUUUGGGAAAGUUUCCAAAUCCACUUUGUGAGGAGCGCGACAUUAAUGAGUUUGGAGUUAAGGAUCCCAAGGCCCCCAUACUUCUUUGGGCGGCAUAGCGCGGCCCAUUUCAUCAAGUGGUACUUCUUUUUCACAACAGUACCUUCCCAAAAGAACUUGGACCGGGGAGUGUCAAGCUUGGCAUGAACCCCAUCAGCCAGCAAGAACAUGCCCCUUGUGAACAGAGGAAGGGAAGAGAGGCUGGAGUUAGUCAGGAUCAGCCUGGCCGCCGAGGAGAGGAACCGGCCGCUCCAAGGGCUAACCCGGUUCGCCACCUUGUUGUACAAGGGUUCCCAUUAUUCAAGGAUAGAAAUGUGUUUAUCCGAGAUAGGGAGGCCCAAGUACUUAAUUUGAAAGCUCCUUAGCUUGCAAUUAAGCAGGUUGGCGAUACGGGCAGCGAGGAGAUGGUCCAUCCCAAUGGCAAUCACCUCGCUCUUAAGGAAAUUGAUCUUAAGGCCUGAGAUGAUCUCAAACGCAAGGAGAAUGAGCUUGAUCGAAGCUACACUAUGAUCAUCGGGCUCAAAGAGCAACAAAGUGUCGUCCGCAUAUUGAAGGUGAGUAAGACCACCCGGGAUAAGGUGAGUAACAACACCGCGGAUGUGGCCGGCGUCCUUAGCCUUGUGUACCAUGGACGAAAGUGCCUCCGCAACAAAGUUAGAGAUCAAAGACGAAGAGGGAUCUCCCUGCCUGAGGCCUCAUUUGUUGCGGAAGAAGUUCCCAACCUCUCUAUUGAUAGACACAGUAGUCUGGCCUCCCAAGAGCAAGUGCAUAAUACGGUGAACAAAGCCUGGUUCGAAACCCUUCCGAAUCAGGACCUUGCGAAUGAACUCCGAGUUCACGCGGUCGUAGGCUUUCUCAAAGUCUAGCUUAAGGAGCACGGCCGGCUGCCGUGUGCGUUUAAGCUCAUGAAUAAUCUCCUGCAACACUACCGGCCCUUCAAGAAUGUUGCGACCUUUGAGGAAACCGGACUGACUACGGUCGAUAACGCGCUGAGUAACCGGGGCAAGUCUGGUCGCAUAAGCCUUAGAGCAGAUCUUGAAUGGCUCGUUAAUUAGGGUGAUCGGACAGUACUGCUUGAUAGUGUCGGCCGCUUUAACUUUGGGGGUGAGGCUGAAGACAGGGAAGUUGAGGCGCGAAACGUCUACCAUACCUAACGCGAAACCAUUAAUAAUCUUGUAAAAAGGCUCUUUAAGCGCGGGCCAGAAGCGGCGAAAGAAAGCGACCGGCCAGCCAUCCGGGCAAGGCGCAGUGUCUAUCUUCAUGGCUCCCACCGCUUCAUCAAUCUCCUCCAUGGAGAAGGACAGGGCCAAGGAAUCAUUCUCGGCUUGCGACACUUGGGCAUUUUCUCCCCAAAAGUCAGCACGAAGUUGCAAGGGCUUCUCCUCUGCUAUUCCCAGCAGGUUGAGGAAGAAACCAUAAAUGUGUGCAGAGAUCUCAGUCUGACUAACCAACACCCUUGAUCGGAUUGCAGUCUCAGAAUCAUGCAUUUCCGUUUACAGCCGUUGAGAAAGGCGUGGAAAUAUCCCGUAUUCGCGUCGCCCUUGGUAAUCCACUUGACACCGCCCCUACGGCACUAGUAUUCCUCCUCCUCCCUUAGGAGAGCAAGCACGUGGUUUUCUAGGGCAUAUCGAUUGGCCCAUUCAGCUUCCAAAAAGGGUCUUGAGUCAGCUUGAACGUCUAGGGUUUUUAUUUCAGCAAUAAUAGCUUCCCUAGCACGUUUCACAUUGCUCCCAUGGUUUGCACCCCACCCACGGAGGAAACAACGGAGGGCACCAGCCGCCGAAAUCCAAGUGUCAAGGGGACCACUGGAGCGGCCGACCGCAGCCCUUGCGCGCUCUCAGCACGCAAUGAGCAUGGGGUCGAAGCCAUCUACCUCAAACCACCCUAUUUCGAAGUAGAAACGAGGGCUACGCUUAAUCUGGUCCUCCCCAGAGGAUAAGAUCAGCGGCACGUGAUCCGACCCAAUGCACGUUUCCGCCACCAAUGUACACAUGGUAAAGAGCACUUCCCAAUCGAAGGUCACAAAGACACGAUCGAGUACACUACGUACCGGGGAGAGUUGUUUGUUUGUCCACGUAAAUCUAGCACCAGUCCUAGCAAUUUCCCGCAAGGCACAGGCCGUGAUAGGAUUAUUGAACAAGGUCACUCUAUGCCAGUCUAUGUUGCGGUUGUUCUUAUCCGCUCCCGAGGGGAUAAGGUUAAAAUCGCCCCAAGGACAAUGGGAAUAUUGGCAGCUUGUUUGGCCCCAACCAGGCUUUGGAUUUCACCCAAGAAAUUAGCCGCACGAGAGUGAUAAGCCGGUCCGUACACGCAUACAAUCGCCCAAGAAGCAAAGGAAAUCCUGUGUUUGAUCGUGAACAAAAUGAAAAAGACACCUGCAUCCCAACUUACAACAUCACAUACAUCACUAUUACAUCCCAGAAGAAGACCACCCGAAUGACCACAGGAGGGAACCCAGCCCCACACAAAAUCAUUUCCUGAAGCGCGAUGAUGUCAAUACGCUCACGGGCAAUGUACUCUUUGAGUUGGGUGCGACGACCAGAAUGUCGGCAACCCCGAAUGUUCCAGAAAAGAUAACGCAUCAGAUAAUUCAAUUGCGAAGGAGCACCCCUCUGGAGGUCACCGGUUUUGUUACACGUUUUAUAGCCGGGGCACGCCUCGUCACUGGAGUUGCCAUCACCUCCCUAGUUUCAGCAUCCCCACCCGACACUACAACAGUCCCGACAGGGACGGGCACAACCAGGGCCGUGGCGGAGGCUUCCCUGGCCUUUGCCAACGCGGCUGCCUCAGCCAAAGCAGCUCGGGCUUCCUCGCGAGAACGAAUCAUUGAAACUAACUCCGCGCUCUCCGCACCUACUUUAAAACAGCUGUCGUCUAGGAUCAAGACAAGUUCAGGAUCUGACCAUGCAUUCAGAAUCUUAAAGGAGGGGGGGCUUACCUGAAGUUUUGAGGUUCUUCUCCGCCAGACGCAGCUGCGCGCUCUCCAUGGAAAACAGCUCACCCAGUUGGGCCUUGGCCCGGGCACUAGGAGCGCGUUGAGACAUCGGGGAUGCCCGAGAGCGCCGAGCCUUGGCCGACGUGCCCGCAGAGCCCAAAGCGGCCUGUAGGUCCACGCACACCGGCGCAUUAGGCGAAGGUUGGGAAAGCUCGGCAAGGUUGGCCGAAGGUUUCUGCCUAGCCAUCUUCUUGGAAGCACGCCCAGAGCCCCCCGAGCUGCGGCGACUAGAAAACGAGGUGUGCAUGAGUGGUUUGUUGAGCACCAUACCCGUGUCAGAGCCAAGCAUGCUGGGCGAGGCCGGAGCGACCAAAAGCAUAGAGCCAACAUCAGCCAACGCCUUAGGACCCACCUGGAUACUUGCCCCCAUCAGCGCGCACGACGGGGACAGACAGCUCCUAGUCGUGUCUGCAACCGCAAGCACCCCAGGCUCCACGACGUCUUUGUCCUCUUCAAGAGCGAGAUCUUUGACUCCCAACUGAUACCAUGUCUCCUUAUCAAUCAACGUAUCCGGCAUGCUAUCCUCAUGCUCCUCCUCGCGGCAGGCCAUCUGCACAUCCUUCUGUUGGCUGCCAAUGGCGAUGCUCGACCCUCCCUGAGCCCCGGCAUCAGCUAGCAGCUGGCCUGCCACACCCCCAGUCCCCGAACCAGGCUGGUCCCCGUGAUUGCCGCAAGGGCGGGGAGGACCCUUGUCAGACCCUGGCGCAGCAGGCCCCUCACCAGUGAGCUUCGGGAGACGCUCCACUUCCACUUUGAUGUCAUAACCCUCAUGAUUGAACCAAACUUGCACGUAUCCAUUCAGCUUGUCCGGGGCUUUGCAGCCAAACUUCAUCCUCACCGGUCCCAUACGAAUGAGAGAGAGCUCGUUCACCACGAUAGGCCUGCCCAACAUCUCGAGUCCUGCUAUCAGAUGAUCGACAUGGCGGUGCUUCUUGGGGAUGCCAUGGAGGCGAAGCCACACCUCCGGCAUGGAGAGAGGCACAAUGGGUUCCUGUAUAGCAUCACACACCCGCACCGUAAUGUCAUUGAUGGACAGGAACAGUUACCACUCAAUUUGGCCAUGUGCAGCAGAUCCGCACAAGGGAAGAUAACCGCAAAAUCAUCACCACCCACUUGAGUAAUCUUCCAAUCCCAAUCCCCAGCCACCAUGUGCUUCAGCUCCUGCUUGAGCACGCGUAGCGAGAGCCUCCCUGGCUCCAUCGACAAGAUAGCACCAUUAGCAGCCACCAGGUCCGAGCCCUCCACCUCCUCUUCUUCCUCGAACUCCAAGCAGAAAAAGCCUUCGCCCGGAAUAGCACUGCCCGUGAUCUGGAGGUGCAGAUGCUUGCCCCGCGACGGGCAAAAGGCCGAGGCACAACCUUCCUGCUUACAGAUCACGCAGAGGGGGGGGGGAGGUGCACUUGGCCUGGAAAUGCCUUGUUCGGCCGCACUUGAAACAUUCGCCCCCCUCUUCUUCGACCCAGAUGGGCGCGACCGCCGACCCUCGUAGCGCGUCCGGCAGCACCACCGCCAGCGGGACGGCCGACGACCGCGGCUUCUUGGCCGGCGGAUCCCCGUGGGCCCCACCACAGAGGGGGUGCUCCCGAGGCUUGCGCUCCAGCUCGCGCCGCCUCGCCCCAUGCUUGCGCUUCUUCUUUCGCUCCUGCUGGCCCCACCAAGGGGGAGGAGGACCCCAAUCCCCCUUGCGCCCGUGAGAUCCAGAGCCCUGGCCGAAGCCGCCACCUGGACCUUGCUCAAAACCACCGCCACCAUCUUCACGCCCAGACGACCUGGCCCGCUGGCCGCGGUUCGCCUGCUCCCGUAGCGCCUUCUCACGCCGUCGCUCCUCGUCGGGGAUCAGAGAAUCCAUCGGCCUCUUCUUUGCACGCCGAUCUGCCAUGGCUGCCACCGCAGCGAAUGAGCGGGUGAGGGGGGAGGAGGGCGAAGUGGAGAGAGAGAUCUGGCAAAACGCCUGAAACGCUGCACCUCACUGGGACGAGCCUGAAACACUAGGGAGGGGUCGCGCACGCCCCUGCGCAUCCAUAUAUAGCAUCGCGACCCGGGCUCACGGGCUCCAUCCUGGGCAGGCCGAGAGGUACUGGGCACAACUGGGCCAGGCCCAGCAGCAGCAGUCACUUGUCCCUCCGCUGCCCCGCAGGAUCCCACCCUAGAGAGCGGUUGGGCCCCAAGACAGCCUGAGGCCGGCCCAGGCCCAACAGGCGGAAACAGGCCUAGGGUAGGUGCCGCGCACGUCAGCGGCAACCCUAGCGUGACGGCCGUCUCCGCCACUCGCGCCGCCACCGCCGACAGCGUCGAUGGAGCGGGCACAAGAGGGAGCGCCGGCCACUCCUCAGCCGACAUUGGGCUGCCACAGGGCCAGGGGGCGGCGAGGCAGCGGGGGGCACCCGCAGGCAUGUCACCGAGGGCGCCGGCGGCCGCCAGCACCGCACCGCCGUCGCACGAGAUCCACUGCCACCCGGAGCGAACCGACAGCGACGGUCUCCCCGAGCGGCGCCGGCCGCCACCGCCACCUGCAAGAACUCGCCAAGGGUCGCACCCGCCGGCGGAGGAGCCAAAUGCGGCGAAGAGAACCCGUCCUUCUUGUCGGACUCGUCCUCCGCCAGAGCCCAGAAACGGCCACCGCACGCCCCCCGCCCCAGCUCCGAGGAGCCCACCUGAGCAGGGCACGCCGGGGUGCCGCUGGGCCCCGCCACACCUGCUCCCACGCAUCGGCCGCGACGAGAUCGCCGGAGGGGACGGAGGCGCCGCACGCGACGCCCCGGGCCACCCCUAACGGCUCGCACGAUUUGAAACUCAUCCUCCUCUCCCGAUCCACCGUUGUUAAACUGUAACUCAGCCCCUCCAGCAGUCCCAUUUCAACACAUGACGGGAACUCGAUCAGCUGAGCAGUUCACGACGGAACUUCCAAAAGGAUAGUUUGCUACCUGUUAUCACCAUGUCAAAAGAAAAAAGUUACAAGUUAACACGUACAGGUGUGUUAGUAGUCUAGUAACCUGACACGAUCUUCAAGAUCGAACUUUGACCACCAAUUGUAUUGAAUGAAUUAAAAAAGGAAUAACAGUUCUGGUUGUCAGAGGAUCCUAGGAAGAAAAAAGAGGAAAAACAAACAUAGUGCUAGUACCAAUAAAAAUAAGUCCUUACAAAAAAAAACUUCCUGCUAGAAAUCAAUCUGAAUUUGUUAUGAUCAACGUACAUCUGUCAUACUAGCUUAGCCCGCGCGGCGGCACGCCGCGCCUGUCGAUCAGUCGCGACUAUGUAGACUAUGGUCGAAGCAAUAGAGUAAUAAAUAGUUAUUCCCUAUUAAUUAAAGAGAUGUACAAUACGUUAUGAUGAAAUUUGUUGUAUAACUUGAGGCUUUUAAGCAAAUUGUUUUGUUCACGACAAUUUAUAGACACGCGUAUCUAUUUUUAUGUAAACUUUUAGCUUUCCGUCCACCAAGUUGAAACAAAUACACAACAAGGCCAAAAGUAAGGAACUUCAGAACAAUGCUUUCGGUAGCUAAAAUUUAACAAACUUACACAUUUCAUAACAAAAAAAAAACUAAAACGUACAUCUGAUCCAAAGUACAACCAUUGAAACAGUAAAAAUAUCAACUAUUUUGAUCAUCACAAAAGAAUUAAUGUGCAUUUCUUGGACAAAAAUUAGAGAUAAAAUAAUUUAGCAAGAAAAAACUAUUUCAGAUCACAAAAGGCGCUCCAAAGAGUAAUUGUGUAUCUCUACUUCCUAAAAGAAACGGAGUGUUCCCUCUCUCGUCUUACGUCAAUUGUCUCGUCGACACCCCCAACCUCAGACUUUCCCUUCGUGCAACAUAUAGUCCCUCCCGAUUCUCUUAUUUAUUCGCUCGCGAAAUUCCAGCUCAGUUUCGUGUUUUUAGUCCGCCCAAACCCGUAUCCCGGUCCCCUUAUUUAAUUGGUCCCGUAAUUCUCGUUUUGUUUCCUGUUUUUUCGUGCUCGUAAAGCCGCCCAGCCCGAUCUUCCGCCCCCGCAUCCCGUCCUUUCUCUUGCUCCGCCCAUGGAAGAUGCUAAGCAGGAGAAUGAGCAACAACAGCGAGCAGAUCAGCCGCGGUGCUUGCUGGUAGAGGCGCGGUCGAUCGGUGUGCAAGGCGAGCGCCUAUACACCCUGCAGCUGUGGAGAACUGGAGAUAUGUAGAAUCGAUGAAAUCCCAUGCACGCACCCCCACACACGAUCUCAUCCAAUCCCACCAACGAUCCGCUUCUCCCGGCUGCCGUUACGCGGCCUUUCCCAUCCUCACAUUCACCCGCUGGUGAUGCCGCGACCGGUGAGGCGAUAUGCCUUCGCUCGCUCUAGGUUUUUUUUUAUCGAGGAAGUCAUAUCCUGAGGCCGGGAAGAUCUCAUCCUUCCAUGCUUCUUCCCUACGCGGCAUCCUGCUGCAUGCCAGUUGUGUGCAGGUACAAUUCUUCAGCAUGCAACCUGUUCAAUAGAAUGUUUACCAUGCCUUUGGUAGAAGAUAGACUGUAGUAUAGUCUUUAUUUGUCCCUCCCUUGGUUAGUCUUUCGAUCUACUGGUCUUUUAUGAGGCUUGGCUUUUUGAAAUAGAAAAUUUGGCUUAUAUUUUGACUGUUGUUGUAUGUCUUAUGGCAGACAGAAGCUAACUUUUGUUUUUCCAGCUCGUGCACUCAGAGAGGCUUUUGAUGUAGCAAUUGUAACAUAUCGAAUAUAAUUAAUUUCUUUUUAACUAUUUUUGUGCCCUUUCACCUCUUACAUGCUCUGGUGAUUUCUUAGAUGUCUGCAAGUGACAAGAACAUGUCAUGAUGGUUGUCUUAUUGCCCUCUGUAGGCCUUUAAAAACAUGUCGUGAUUGAUCUGUUCCCCACUGGUAUAUUGAAAGUUCUAGGUCUAUACAUGUAUAUUGAUUAGAAAGAUCUUGCAAAUUUGGAAGCAAAAACGAGGUAUAAACUAGACAUUAGUUUUUAGGUUAAUUCUGUAAUGCAAUUUCAACUUCCUGUGGACUUUUAAAAUAAUUGUUUUGUUUGCCUGCAGUAUGUUCGUCCAGCGAAAGGGAUGCUCUUUAGUGGAAAAUUCUGAAAGCUUAUUCAGCUUUGAUGUAUAGCGGGCAUAGUUUAUUAAUAAUCUCUAUGAACACUUGUACAAAUGGUGACAAAAAAGUUUUUUAUACCAUGAAAUCAUGACAUAGAAUGUAUUAUUCACGUGUAUACCUUCAAUGUGGAUUAUAACAUGAUGUACCUUGUCAGGAACUUUCCUUCUCGGAGACUAGUUUCGUUUCAUAUUCAUGCACUAGCUUCUCUGGGGAUAUUGAAAUUUUUGCUUCUACUAUCUUUUUCUGGAUUCAUUGAAAUAUCCCCUUGCACGGAAAAUUGAUUUCUACUGAAGUUUUGCCAAGAUAAUCAGACUUCUUGUACUAAAAUUUACCAUGUUACUGUUGUAUUAUAAUUUACUGAAAUUUGGUAUUUUUGUACUAAAAUUUGCCUUUUUUUACUCUGGUACUAACAUUUAACUAAUUUUGUCGGAAGGAAGAGCUCAAGGGAGCAAAAGGUACAAGGAGAAAGGAGCGCUCAAGAGAAGUUAACUCAAAAUCCAAGAUGCGAUCUUCACAUAGCUCACAAAUCUUGAACAGUAAACACGUACUACUUGAUUCGUGAUGGCAUUGGACCAGACGACACACAACAUCCAAUUCUAUAAUAACUUUACAAGUUGAGUGUACUUGAUUCCUAUGUUGUUCCUCUUUAACUUGUUCGUUGAACUGGUUUGGUUUAAAUUAUAUAUGAUAAAAUUUAGUUCUAAUUUUAUUUUGAUAGUGAGCUUUUUUGAAAUUCAGUCAUUAGUUUUCACACCAGUUGCUUGGAUUUGAGAGGAGAAAAUAGAGGGUGGAAGAAGACAAUAGUGAUUUUGUGGUACAAAAAAAGUUGGCUAUAAUUUACUUUGUAUUAAAUAUGGUAUAUCUUUAGAAUGUGCAUCCUAUCGAAGAUACAUAUUUCACACAUUCAUGUUGAACCACCGGAAUACUUAUGUCCCCGUUGCAACGCAUGGGCAAUUUCCUAGUAUUAUUCAAAAGAAGACUUUGUUACCUUCAGGUUUUAAUUAGCCGACUGUAUCUUGUGCAUGCAGUGAUAUAAAUUCUUACCAUAAACAGCAAAAUUAAGCAGGUCUUAAUAUAGAAACAACCAUAUCACUCGGAGUCAAGAAUGAUGUGAUGAACUGAUGAUGGGAAAUCUAUGGUAGCAUGCAUAUACCCAGGAAGCAAUGUUCAUGGAAACUUUGUUAAACAACCCAUGAUCAGCUUAAAAGCAUUCCUUCCCGUGUCUCCACUGAAACAAAGCAAUAUUUAUACACCCACAGAUCAGAACAAUAUGAGCCAUUGUUUGAUAUUAAACCAAUAAUGCUUGAACAUAUUUGUUUUUCUACCUCACUAUGUGGCGGCCAGAAAAAGCUUUAACAAAUUAAAAACCACAUGCAACUUGAACUUGAGAGCCUCUUCUUAUUUCUCAAAAUGGCAGGAGGAAGGGACCUUAAUUUUUCCUAGUAACCCCAUGAAUAUAAUUAGCCAAAUAUUCUGCAUUUCAUCUCAUUACACCAGUCAUGCUGAUGGAGGGAACAUCAAUAAAAUUAGGCAUAAGCAAUCCAUCAAAUGAAGAGAGAUGUAUUUAGAAAUAAGAAUAACGAACUUUCUCAGAUACUAUGUACCUUAUCCUACCAUUAAGAAUCUGUUCAAGAAGGUGAAGCAUUCACUUUUAUGUUACAGUUGCUGACAACGGACAACCGGGAAUGGAAAUAAAAUUCUUAGCAAUGCAUAUAUGAAUCUGAGUAACAUGACUUCGAAAAUAUAAUGUAAAAGAUCAUAAUAAACCACUGCUAUGUAUGUUCAAUAGUAAUACAACCUCGGUUUGUACCCCAGAAGUUUCUAUCACCAAAACAUCUUAGAAGGUUCAGUACCAGUGAUGUGCCCACCAUAAAACCGAAUGCCAAUUUUCAGUUAAAAAGGAAGCGCAAGACCAUGUUCUUCUGCCCCCAAGCGUAUAUGACGGAAUGGGGCCAACUAAAGACUGGCCCCAGGAUUCCAUUUUUAAUGUAUGUUGUUGCAUAAUGAAUGAGGGGCUUGUAUGCUUAGAUUACUAUUUGGUUUUUGAUGUGAUGAAAACUGGAGGGAAAAAUGCUGGACGGACUAAUUUGACCAAUCAUGUGAGUAGAAGUAUUAGAGUUUUGGCCAUCUCGUCCAUUAAAUUUGGAUGGAGGGAAUACAUGUUAAUAUGAUAAACAUAUAUGCAUAUUGUAUAUGGGUUAUAUACAUAUCAAAAUCACUUUUUUCUGAAACUAAACAUCUUGGUGAAGAGAAGUAUAUUGCGGAGUUCCAGUGUGAAAAUAUUGGUUUUAGUCCCUGGUCAAAUGGACCGAUGCAUAUUAUGUUUGGUUGUACCAUGAAAAAUAAUUUGGUUGCUUGAAGAUAUUCAACUGAGGUAGAUGAUGUAAUUUUGGCAGACAUGAAGUUCUACGAUCAUCAAUACAGCAGAAUAUGCGAAAGAUGGGGUAAAGCAAGUCCAGCAUAAUAUCUAGUUUGUUUAUUUGCUUGAGGAACACUUAUUUGCUUGGGGAAUAAUGAAGUGUGCUUGCACCGUUAGACAUGAGAUGAACUUGAACAAACGAUCUGCAUUCAUAUAUGCAUUGCACCAGAAAUCAGUGCUGCUCUGACUUGCCUUUGCAUUGCCUCUGAACCAGUGCUGCUCUGUACCAGAAACCGGGAAUUUACUCUUCAGGUCACUGCAUCUACUUUGUCGCGGUUAAACUACCAAACCCAAAGAAAUACCUGCAAUUUAUUUAAUAGUUGUAUCAGAUUUUUUGUUCAGAAUGUGUUAAGCUAUUUCUUUUGCCGAGCUACAUUCUUGUGCAUUGGAUUCUCAAGGAGCAUCACUUGGGAGACAUGUCUUCACAUACUACCAUUUCAUAACACCACACUCCCUUCACGCACAGGACAUACAGGUUCUACAUCCACCCCUCACACUCCUAAUUUACAACCUGAGUUGGCAGGCUAUUGUAAGGCAGGUAAGUAGCUUUCUAGAUGGAAUGUUGGAUUUCACUCUGGCAAGGUAGGUCUUAAACAGAUUAUCAUCUGGCUAUCUAUUGUUUGAGCUCCCCAUGCUGCUAACACCAUCAGAUAUUGUUUGAGCUCCCUAUGCUGCUAACACCAGCAGAUAUUGUUUGCUCCAGACAUCUUCAUAUGCCAAUUUGACGUUUUUUUGGUAGACACAGUACCUAGAACAUCCAAAUUGACUGCUUGCACAGGCCUCUGAUUUGACACAAUCAGAAGGAUAAAACACCCUCUAGAGCUCUUAUAGGCAGUCACCCAUCAUUUGACUUAGACUGAAGAAGGUGUCUAUAAAAAAAGGAAAAAAGGUAAAUGUAAAGAAACACAUAUAGGGUUGCACAUAAUUUGUAAGAGAUGAUCAAGGCAUAUAGUUGCAGCAAGUAGCAAAUGGCAUGAAUUUAUUCAUGAUGCACUCACGUAACAAGAGUGUAAAUCUUCUUUAGCUAGGUCCAAAUGCUCAUACAUGCAGUAUAGGAAUGAUGUGUGAUACGCAGUAUGUCAUUGUAGGUUUCAGACCUGAUGAAAAGUUUAUUACAGUACAGGAAAAACUAUCAUGGAACGAUUAUACAGUAUAGAAAUGAUGAGAAAUCGGAAAUUUCUGUAUAGGAAUGAUGUGUAAUAAAAUUCAUGAAAAAAUUAAUGUUGAAUUUGCAUUCAGAAACAUGCAGCAAGCUAGAGAAGAAUAAAGAAGAUGCAGAAUGUCUGAAACUUCUCAAAACUGGAAACAAUUAUACAAAAGCUACCUGAUAGAGCAUACAGGUCUAGGAAUCUGCCUAAUUCCGUGUCUCUUAUAGCCCAACGACCACGGCGUAAUCACCAUCACUGCCGCUCAACCAGAAUUCGAUCGAAUAAUACAGAGGGAAAUGCAGCAGUUAAUACGGCAUAAGGGCACACUAACUUGGCAGCAAGAUGGGUCGUAAGCGCCUUCAAUGAUCCUACGACCUGCAAAUGACAGUGUAUAGACGACACGCCUUUACUCUGAAUAACCGAGGAGGAGCUGUUUUUGUCAUCCACUCAAGCUACUUACAAUGUUAGAAGUCUAUAAAGUAUUGAAGCGUAGCGCUGUGAAUGGAUCACUAGUCCAGCAGCCUUAUGACACAUAAAAUAGGCAGAGGGAGCAUUAACAGGUCCCAUAACUCGGGGUCAGGCUUCUCGAGCACGAUGACGCCUGGUAGUAGAGCGCGGGCCUCUCGCACUGGUUGUGCGCCAGGGGCUUCGUGUUGAACGCGCGCGCCUUGUAGUCCGUGCAGGUACCAGUUCAUGAACGUCCGCGCCGGCAUCUCCAUCUCCCGCGCCAGCACGUCGCUCUCGCCACCGUCACCACGAACCCCUACGGCAUUGACACCGUCCAUUGUUUCACCGCGAUGUAGCAUAUUGACGGUUGCAUCACCCCCGUCGAACAAACUCCGCAGAGACGACGGUCGACGUGUAGGGGAAACUGGAGGUAUCCGAUAAGAUCUUAAUGACCGGCAGCUCCUCCGGCAUGCUCGACUCCCGCACCCAUCAGUCCAUCCACGCGAACCCGGCGCCACCAAAUCUUUAUGUACUCCUUCCGCUUCUCCAUCAGGCACGCCAACGCUGUGAAGCCGAACACUGCAGCGUUGUCGUCGUCAUCGAGACCGUGGCAGUGGCAGGUGGUGGUGGUGGUGGCACACUCGCUGUCGACACCACCGUCACUGUGGCAGGUAUUGUGGUGGUGGCAUCCUCACCGUCGACACCACCGUGGCCGUGGCGGGUGUUCGCACACGAACACGUCACCGUGUACCCUCGAUGCCGGGGGUGAUGCACGCAGCUCAUGUCGAAUGAGACCCACCGGAAGCUUGGUACGCAAGACAAUCCGGCGGGUGCUUUUGAGGAUCCGAUAAACCCCGCACGCCCGAGAGGGACCCCGUCAGGGGGCGCGGCGGCUAUGGGCUGCCCUAGAUCGACCUGAUCGCCCCUAGGGCCUCGAGGUUCGUCGCCUUGCAACAAGAAGAACAGACGAAGAACGAGAAAGAAGAAGAACUAUGGUUAAGGAGAAAAGUUAAAAACAUAAAAAAUGGUAGAUUGAUUGUUCGAUUGUGUGUUGUUCUUCAAUCGGUCGUCACCUCUUACAUAUAUAUGAGGCGGCUAGACUUUUCGUCCAAGAAAAAGUCUCAAAUCCCCUCCAAACAUCAAAAGAUAACCUAACUCGAACUACGAGGGCUGGAACUUCCGGUUAGCCCGGAACUUCCGGGCUAAAAUUACAUCAAGUUGCCCUCUUGCACAGCUCCUACAGGUCGCAUAUGGUUUCGGAUCGUGAUGGUCCCAAACGCAAAGUGGUAGAUGUUGCAAUGGAGAAAACUUCCUUAGUUGAUCACUUUUUCAUCCGAGGUCAUCUUGAUGUCGAAAUUGGCCCCUCAAUUCUGAAAAUAAUGUUAAAGUUGCAGUUUUCGGGGCGCACCGCGUGCAAACUUUCGGUUUAGCCCAGAACCUUCCCGGAAGUUUUGCGCGGAACUUCCAGGGCAGACUUAUGCAACACACUGUUUUGGCUCUAAUUUUUCAUAUGAACUCCGAUUUACUCGUUUUUUUAUAUCAAAAUCGAUUGUUACGGCGAGACAAAGACAAUCUGUGUAGAAAGUUUUCUAAUAUGAGGCCAUCUUGGGGGCGUAAUCAGCCGGAUAGUGUUUUGAAUAGAAAAUCUGAAUACUUCGAACACAACUUCAGCCUUAGAAAUGAGACCGGAUGGCUAUGGCCUGAAUAUCAAAGUUUCUCCUUUUGACGAUACGGAGCUCUCUCACUUUGAACAUUUCUCCAUUUGAGGCCAUCUUAAUUAAGUUCUUGGUCGUGCCAGAAUCUGGUGUCAACACAUGCCCCACUAUUUUUCGGCAAACUUGUGUGCCAAAAAUAACUUGCAUGAUGCUUUUCCUAAGGAUGAUGCCAGCACUCCGUCAGCCAUUUUGUAUGUGCUUAGGACGAUAAGUAUAUAUCGUCCAUUUAGAUUAGCAACAAAAGUGAAGUUAAUCGAAUGUAUGGCGACAAGGUAGAACCCUUGCAUGAUGUAAGAAGUUAUAUUGCAUCCAUGGAUUAAAAUAAGUACACGGAGGGUAACCAGUCAUACAUGAGGAUAAAUUCCAUGGCAUAGGAAUUAAUGACAUAGUUGAAGAAUAUGGAUGUUGUUUGAAUCGAAGAUUCUGAUGCACAAACCUUCGGCUUGGUUGUUCAAAGCUUGCACUCUUCUCUUUCUUCAGCUUUGCCACACUUAUUGCCAAGGAAGCUUGCAUAUUAUUCUUGUUUUUUAGUACUUCCUUUGGGAACCCAAGCCAUGUUCAUCUUUUCCUUAAGUUCUUGUGCACUAAGUUUUUGUAAUUUCUUCUUUUGCCAAUAUGAUAAGCCGAGUGAGCACCCUGGCUGUGAUUUUGCUUGAAGCAAUGGAAAUCCCUGUUUUACCUUGUGCACUCUCAACUUCUUCUCUUCAGAUUGGGCACUUGAUUGACUUGUCUCAUUUCCUUUAGUGGCCAAUGUCAACACUUUAAUUGGCUCUUUUUCAUUUGAGGUCGAAUCUAAAGUAGCACUCUUACGACCAUCUUUUUUAACACGGUAAACUUGCUUGACCACCUCUUUCUUGUUCCUUGAGCUCCGGACCGAUUCAUUAUGAUUGAAACGGUCUUUGACAUGUGCUUGUUCAAAUGUUGAUCUUUUUGGAGCUGCAUAAUGUUUGUGAGAUGGUCUAAAAUGAGAUGAAGAAUGCACCUGUGUAUCAUACAUGUCCCAUGAUGGAUAUAGAUUUACAUAAUUAUAGGAAAGUACCCAUGGCAUUGGCAUUGGCAGCACAAAAUAUGGAUACGAAUGUACUGCAUUAUAAUUCUCAUUUUGCCAAUACCGAUCCUCGGGUUUGCGCCUAGGGAUUGGUCUUGAUGCUCUUGAAUUACUUGGCUGAUAAACACUGUUCUCCUCACUUAUCUUCUGAUAUGUUUUCAAUAGUUGCGUGAAAGUGACUUUCGGCUUUUUACCUUUGUGCUUAACUCGGCCUUUGUUUUCAAUAGUUGCACCGAUCUUUGGAUUUUCUUGUUGCCCCCCAGUCCUUGGCGUCUUCAUUGUAGCUUCGAUGGAGUUCUCGCCCUCAAGAUUAUGUUCAUUGUGCUCUUCAACAACUUGAUUACUUGAAAACUCGAUCCCAUCACCUGUAGUUUUUACCUUCUUUUUAAAUGCAUCGGCUUGAAGCAGCCGGUGCAAAAACCUUUUGCCAUGAGGACCAAUCGGAAUAGAAUGGUCAUCUCUUGGUGUUCCAAUAAAUUUCAAUCGUCCUUCAUAAAUGGCCAAUUUAACUAUUUGACAAAACAUGUUGCAAUCCUCAAACCUAUGCUUGAACGAAUCAUGCAACUUACAAUACAUUCGUCCUUGGAUAGAUGGCUUGACAUGGUGAUCAAGAAUUCUAAUGUAAUUAUUUUUCACAACAAACCAAAGAUUUGAUCACACAUGUUUGAAUCGAAGGUAUACCUUUUGUUUUAUAGCCGGUCUUGUUGUGAGAACGGCUUUAGAGUUAAGCAAACGAAUAGUUCAGAUUUUGCAUCUUUUCAUUCGGCUAUGAAUUCUCUUUCGCAUUCUUUUUCCGAUGUCCUUAAAUAAGAAACUAUACUAGCAUCGGUUUUCUCAAAAGAUUUUAACCUUGCCUUUAAAUUUCUGAAAUCAAAGUAGUUAGAACAUACAUGUCUCAAUUGAGACCAUGCGUAAGCGAAGUAUGAUGCAAGCAAAGCUACCCAAUUUGAUACGAAAUUUUGAUAAAGCAAUGAGGAAAACUUUAGUUGCAAUAAUAAGUCACUAUCGGUCAUUAUAAAUGGCACAAUAGGUUGACUGAUAUGCUCUAUAAUAAUUUUAUUGCUAACAAGUAAAUUUCCCUUCUUCAUUGGUCUUUCAAAAUUACUUAUGAGAAUUUUUCUUAUAGAAGCAUCAACAAUAAAGUUGCGACAAAAUCGGAAGAUAGGUAAAUCACUUGCUAGGCGUACCUUUUCAAACACGUUGGGAGAGCAUGAUGGUUGCUUUACUUGAAUGAUAUGUUGUUCCUUUUUUGAAUAGCUCCCCAACACCUUGUUGUCCUGGUUUUCUAGAGUAGAUUCGGUAUACGUAACAUGUGAUUCUGUCUUUUCAAUAGCCGAAUUAACAUUGUUAUCCGAAUCACCACUUUUUUUUAUAAUUCUAUCCACACCCAAUGCUUUCUCUUUUUGACAUAAUCUAGCUUGGAUUGCACCAAAAGUAAUAGGCUUUCCCUCUUUUAUUAAUUCCGGUAGAACAACAUUGCAUUUGUCCCAAAACGACGUAAGAUUUUUCUUAAUGACCCAAUCUAGAUAGAGUUGCCCCCUGACACUUUUAGAAUCUUUCGGUAAUGAGAUGUCGCCGAAAUUUUGUAAUUCUGCGGGGAAAACAUUGUAUGCUAUGAUCCUAUAGAAUUUUCACUUAUUCGGCUAUUAGCAUGAAGGUGCAAAGCCGAAUUAUGAAUACCUAUAGUUGCAUACGGUGACAAAACAUUAGUAGCAUGAGGUGUAGCAUAUGAUGGUUGAGGGUAAUUGGCCGAAUAACUAGUACUCCCUCCGUCUGAAAUUACUUGUCAUCAAAAUGGAUGUAUCUAGAACUAAAGUACAUCUAGAUACAUCCAUUUCAAUGACAAGUAUUUCCGGAUGGAGGGAGUAGUAGCAUGUUUGGAUUAACAUAUUGCAAGUUAUUUGCUAAAGAAGAAAAAGGUGAAACACUAUUGCAUACUAUCGAAAGUUCCUAUGUGAGGUGUUUCAACUUGAUUAACCAAACACAUCAUGUUGUUCAUCGGCAUAUGGAUUUCUGUGGUUGCCGAUGCAUGGUAGUUGGAAUACAUAUGUUGCAUGUUGCUAAAAUUAUAAGAGGUAGAAGCAUGAAUAUUUUGUUGCAUCGGCUCUUGCAGAUAAUUAGAUGCAUGACUGAUAAAGCUAGGGCUAUCCGAUACAUUAUGCUCAUUAGAUGAUCUAGCAACAAUAUAUGCAUUAUUUGCAUCUACAUAUGUGAAUUCGGUAUUCAUAUUACCUUUGUAGAUUGCAAACCGUAGAUGACGAUCUUCGUAGCAAGAACAGGCGGAGACGGUUCAAAGCUUCCCCCAGUCGAGUCGCCAAAAAGUGUGUUCGCACAUGAACACGUCACCGUGUACCCUCAACACCGGGGGUGAUGCACCGUAGCUCACGUCGAAGGAGACCCGCCGGAAGCGCGGUACGCAAGACAAUACGGCGGGUGCUUUUGAGGACCUGAAACCCCACAUGCACGGGAGGGACCCUGCGGCGGCUAUGGGCUGCCCUAGGUCGAUCUGAUCGCCCCUAGGGCCUCGAGGUUCGCCGCCCUGCAACAAGAAGAACAGACGAAAAACGAGGGAGAAGAACUAGGGUUAAGGAGAAAAGAUAAAAAUAUACAAAGUGGUAGAUUGAUUGUUCGAUUGUGUGUUGUUCUUCAAUAGGCCGUCACCUCUUACAUAUAUAUGAGGCAGCUGGACUUUCCGUACAAGAAAAGGACUCAAAUCCUGUCCAAAACAUCAAAAGAUAACCUAACUCGGACUACAAGGGCCGGAACUUCCGGUCAGCUCGGAAAUUCCGGGCUAAAAUUACAUCAAGUUGCCCCCUUGCACAUCUUCUGUAGGUCACAUAUGGCUUCGGAUCGCAAUGGUCCCAAAAGCAAAGUUAUAGAUCUUGCAAUGGAGAAAAAUUCCUUAGUUGAUAACUUUUUCAUCCGAGGUCAUCUUGAUGUCGAAAUUGGCAUUGCAAAUCUGAAAAUAAUGUUAAAAUUUCAGUUUUCGAGGCGCACCGCGUGCAAACUUUCGGUUUAGCCCGGAACCUCCCCAGAAGUUUUGCCCGGAACUUCCGGGGCAGACUUAUGCAGCACAUUGUUUUGGCUCUAAUUUUUGAAUACAAACUCCGAUUUAGACGGUUUUUAUAUCAGAAUCGAUCGUUUCGACAAGACAAAGACAAUCCAUGUAGAAACGUUUCUCAUAUGAGGCCAUCUUGGGGGCGUAAUCAGCCGAAUAGUGUUCUGAAUAGAGAAUCUGAAUACUUCGAACACAACUUCGGCCUUAGAAAAGAGACCGGAUGGCUAUGGACCAAAUAUCAAAGUUUCUCCUUUUGACGAUACGGAGCUCUCUCACUUUGAACACUUCUCCAUCUGAGGCAAUCUUAAUUAAGUUCUUGGCCGUGCCAAAAUCUGAGGCUCAAGCAAGAAAACACACAAACAGAACUGCCAACAAAUCAGACAUUAGGUAAAGGACUAAAGGAUGAUGAUCGAGAGAGGAAAGGAUUAAAAAAUGGACCCACUUGCAAUGACCAAAUCGAAGAAUUCUGACUAACACAGUAGCAUCCCGUGCAGCCCCGACCACUAGGGCAGAGUGGAAGCACACGCCGCCGCGGACGUGAUCCUUCCAUUGUUCUAGUCGGGCAUUGUUAGUAUUGAGUACGAGGAGGGGUAUAGGCCAGCGGGAGUCAGAGCAAAGAGUGGUUGGCAGACAAGGGAAUCUCGAGGUGGCCGGUGACCUGUGGAGGAAGGGGCAGGUGGCAAGCAUCCUCAGAUUGCGUCACAAAUCUCUGUGGGGGAAACAACAGGCAAGGAGUAGUCGUAGAGGAUAUCUGCGGUGCUGGCGGAAGCUAGGUUAGCGGCAGCUGCAAACCCUAGCAUGGUGGCGCUCGAAAGCAGGAAAGGAGAGAUUUUUUUCUUAAAGUAACUAGGGAAUUUAUUCAAAACUCAAAACAUUCGGGAUAGAAGCAAUGUCUAGUAGAUUCCCUAGCCACACAUGGAAACUCACCGAAAGAGACGCAACUCCUUUUGCUAUCAAGUGGGCCUCAAAAUUACUUUCCCUACGCUAAAAUCGGAAAGUAACAGAAUGAAACAUAAUUCUACUGGACAAAAUCUUGUUAAUGACAGGAGCAUAUAUUUGUGAAGCCUUGUUAUUGAUAUUUGAGAUCACCUCUAAACAGUCCGAGGCUACCACCAGAUUCUGAAGAUUCAUGUCAUGUGCAAGUGCAAGGGCUUCACUACAUGCAUGUGCCUCCAAGCUUGUUCGGUCUAUCAAACCGUCGAAAACCACUGCUCAUGCUCCCAAGUAUCUGCAUGUGCUAUCUCGACACACUCCAGCCGCUACUCCUUUCUCCCCCAAAGAUGAAACUCCCCCAUCACAGUUUAGCUUGGCCGCAUCAAGGCCUGGUGGCAGCCACACCUUCAGCUUAGGAAUCGCAGGCGGAGGGAAGCUUUCUCACGAGGUUCGAACAGCAACUAUGUCCAGGUCCUCAAGGAAACGCUUAAUGAAGCACAUUGUGGACAAUGAGCUCUGAUAUUCAUCAUCGUGGAUGGCUUUGCGUCGUGCCCACCAGAUCGCCCACAUGGUGACCAACACUCUUGCAGUAUCCUGUUGGCUUGUGGAUUCAAAUAACCAGAACAACCAAAGUCUCGCAUCCUCAUUCUGGUUUGAUAUCACAUGCUCUAGCAAUUCCUCGUCCCCCAAAGCCCAUACACAUCUAGCCAUGCGGCAGCUCAAGAGGGAGUGCCUCCAUGUAUCCUCCUCUGCUCCACAUAUAGAGCAAACCAGAGUGUCCUCCAUGUGCCUGUCAUUUCGGACCUGGCCUGCCGGAAUCGAUAUAUGCGCUAAUAUCCAAACAAAUAGUCGUACCUUUGAUGGCACUUUCACCUUCUAGAGUUGUGACCAAGAAUUCUUUUCUGCAGCAAUAUUUGAGUGGGUGGGCCUAUGCUCUAGCCAAUCCUCCCGCUGAAAGUUUAUUGCAGAAAGCAUUCUAUAAGCCGAUCGGACUGAAAAUACUCCACGCUUAUCAUAGUGCCAAGCCCAAAAAUCAUCCUGAACCCGAGUACUGAGAUGGAUAUUGAGGAUCACCUCCACGUCACAAGCUAUGAAAUGUUUAGUGGGAGAUUGUUUAUUCGAACUCUGUGAGCUAGGAUCAAUGAGCUCAGAGACAAGAGAUGGAGGGUUUAUCGACCGUGCACAAAUCGGUCGAAGUUUGUAAUCUCUCGGCAGCCAAUUGUCAUUCCAGAUGUUUGUACUCUUUCCCGUUCCAAUCCUCUUUAUUAGUCCCAGAGCUAGAACAUCUCUUCCCUCCAACAGGGAUCGCCAAACCUGAGAGGGUGCUGUUCCUAGGCUUGCAUCAAGCAGGUGAUAUUCAGGAAAGUAUCUUGUCUUGAGCAGUCAAGCACUUAGGGAAUCAGGUUAUUGCAUUAAUCUCCAAACUUGCCGUGCUAGAAGAGCCAGGUUAAAAAGAUCCAUGUCUUUGAAACCCAAGCCAGCCAUAAACUUCGGUUUGGUCAUUGUUCUCCAAGAUACCCAUCCUGUUUUCCUUUGUCCAUCCUUACACCCCCACUAGAACUUACGAAUUAUUUUGUUGAUAUGAUCACACAGCCCCUCGGAAGUUUAAAGCAAGCCAUCGAAUAAGUGGGUAUGGAUUGUGCCACAUAUUUUAUUAGCACCUCCUUCCCCUGCUGAUAAGCAUUUCUCCAUCCAUUCUUGUACCUUCUUCCAGAUUUGGUCGUUUAAAUACUUGAAAGACCCCUCCUUUGCCCUGCCCACAUCAGAUGGCAAGCCAAGAUAUUUCUCGGAUAAUGAUUCAUUAUGGACAAGAAGGAUGUUUUUAAUGGAGUCACGAGUGAGAGCAGCAACACCCUUGCCGAAGAAGAUGGAGGAUUUCUCCAGGUUAACCUGCUGACCAGAAUCAUUGCAAUACUUUAUCAAUUGCUCAUUAAUAUGUGUGGCACUAGCCUCAUUUGCUUCAAAGAAUAGUAGGUUGUCAUCGGCAAAAAGAAGAUGAUUGACCGAAGGGGCACUGGGUGCCACAGAUAUACCUUUUACUCCUCCAUUCGCUUUCAUCGAACAAGAGAGCCCCUCAAUUGCUAACAGAAACAGAUUUGGCGAUAUGGGGUCUCCCUGCCUCAGACCUCGAGUGGUCCUGAAAACAUCCAAGCUUCCAUCGUUAAACCAAACAGAUAAGGUGACCGAUGACACACACCUCAUAAGUGUCUUGGUGAAGCGGGACUGAACCCCAACUUGAGCAUUACUACCUUCAAAUAGGACCAUUCCAGACGAUCAUAUGACUUCAUCACAUCAAGUUUUAAUGCACAAUAUCUAUUUCCUUUCACCCUCUUGGUUUUCAUAUAAUGUAAGCACUCAUAAGCUGUAAUGAACUUGUCUGUAAUGAGUCGCCCAGGGACAAAAGCGGACUGCUCUUUGGAGAUGAUCUCAGGGAGAAGAGAUUUCAGCCUGUUUGCUAAGACCUUUGAAGCAAUCUUGUAGAUCACAUUACAAAGACUUAUUGGCCGAAAUUGUCCUAAAACUUUUGGACAUACAAUCUUGGGAAUCAAAAUGAUGAAAGUGUUAUUAAUCUCCUCAAGUGAAUCUACUCCAUAAAGCACUCUGAUUUUCAUUCUCGUGACUUCAUCACUACAUUAAUCCCAUUGCUUCUGGAAGAAGUUGGCGGGAAAACCGUCUGGGCGAGGAGCUUUAGUGGGAAACAUUUGAAAAAGAGCAUCUUUAACUUCCUCCUUGUUGUAGCUUGCAUUCAACCGAGCAUUCAUAUUGCCAUCCACCCGCACAGGAAUAUGCGACAGGACCUCCUCCAUAUCAACAGUUCCCUCGGACGUGUAUAAGUUUGAGUAAAAAUCCAUGGUCAUGUUUCUCAACUCACCCUGAUCCGUGCAUGUUGAACCAUCAUGCAGAUCUAGUUUAGUGAUCCUGUUUUUUGCUCGUCGUGCACUCGCUUUCCUCGGGAAAAAUUUCAUGUUACUGGCGCCCUCCGACAACCAUGUGAUGCGCGACCGUUGCCUUGACAUGAUCUCCUCUCUAUAUGCAAGCUCGACCAUGCGAUCCUCCAUCUUGUUCUCUUCUGCAGUAGGUCCGGUUCUCAAGGGGUUGGCCCUUAGUGCAGCUAGCUGAGGAUGGAUCGAGCUUAACUCAUGACGAACUGAACCAAAGGUAUGUUUGCUCCAAUAUGACAUAGACGUCGCCACUGUAUGAAGUUUGGUCGCGAGGUCGGAAACAGACAUUCCGGGGCCAUCACCGCUCCAGGCUGCCUCCACAACUUCUUUGAACCGAUCAUCAGUCUCCCAAGCACACUCGUAUCGGAUCGGUUUCUUCAAGGCUAUGCGAAGAUUUCCUUCCUCGAGGUCAUUCAAAAGAAGGAUUGGACUGUGGUCACUCUUGACCGUUGUUAAGUGUUCAACACUAGCAAAAGGAAACAUGCUCGACCAGCUUGGCGAGGCAAGAGCUCUAUCGACCCGAACUCUGCAAAACUGUCCACCCAUCACCCGUUUCUCCCAUGUCCAGUCCAUUCCUUUGUAUCCAAGAUCAGAAAGACCACAGACAUCUACCGCUUUUCCGAAUCCUUCAAUCGGAGCACUAUCUCAGGGAAUAGGCCCCAUUUGUUCCUCUUGACGUAGAAUUUCUAAAUCGCAAAUACAUAACCACGGUAGGGUGCUUUCACCUCUCAAUCUCUUCAUAGUAUCCCAAGUUUUGUAUCUAAGGCUCCUGUUAGCCUCUCCAUAAAAACAUGUUAGGCGCCAUUGCUCCCCACCUGACACCGGGAUCCAAGAAUCAAUGUGAUAUUGAGAAAAAUAUAUUUCCAAAGUAACUUCAGAUUUCCAAAAAAUACAUAAACGUCCUCUCCUCCCACUACUGGCUACUGCAAAACUACUCCGAAAACCUAAAGAAGCCGCCAAACCCUCCACUCGAUUCUUCGCAAAUUGAGUCUCCACUAUGCAAAGAACCAACGACGCACUAGCUUCCACGAGAUCGCGGAGCUCAUGAACUGUCAUAGGGUCGCCAAUCCCACGGUAGUUCCAACAAAGAGUCCUCAUCAGCCCCGGCGACCCUCCUAGUAGGAGGCCGCCUCUUCUAUAUAAUCCCCAGAAACACCUUCUUCCCCUUCCUGGCACCUCCUUUUGACAAUUGGAUCCUUUCCUGGAGUGGAGAUCACAUUAUUUGAGCUUGCCGGGGGUGUAGCCCCUUCAAUCAUCAUGACAGUACGAGCGACUCUCCCAGCUAAAUGAUUAAGCCAUUGGCCCCUUAUGUUUAGAGAUCCAUCCUCCUCAACCAUCCUCUUCCUAGCGCCCUUCUCUGAUCCUAAUCCCAGGCCAUCAAAACGCAUGUCCACUUCCAUCUGCUGCGAACCACCAGAAUGUUCCCCUACUCCAGGGUCCCUUCCCCCUCUAUCACUAGCCGAUCCACUCCCUCCUUUAUCUCCUCUGCCUGCAUCCCUUCCUCUACCUCUACCACCACCAUCUCCUCUACCUCGCCCCCUGAACCCUGUGCCAUUGGCAGCUCCGGCUCCCACAAUAAUCACUCACCCCAUUCAAAGGUGUUCGGAUCGUGAAAUCCAUCGCCACACUCAUCGACAAGGUGGCCCAUCUUACCACAAGCAAAGCAAAAGUCUGUUAACUUUUCAUAGUAGACACUAUAUCUUUGGCACUCCUUCAGAGUUAUUGGUACGAACCAGACAAGCAAGGUAUUGACAUCCAUAUAAACCUCACACGACGAGUACUAGCUGGAUUAAUUCUCCCCUCAUUCAUGAUCAUAGUAAAAGGUGGGUCUCCAAGCUUUGCAGCAACUUUCUCCGCGAGCUUCUUCCUCCUCGUGAGACCGUCAGGCAAACCCUUCACCCAAGCCCAAAUCGGGAUCUUGUUCAGUCUAUAGCCAUUGACGUCUGAGAACCCAUCAUACUCCUGGAUCACCACUGGUGCCCUCCUAAACAGCCAUGGCCCUCCAUCCAUAAUUCUCCUGCAAUCGCCUAAACAGUGACACUGGACCAGAAACAGAUUGGGGCCCUUGAUGUUGAAAGUAACCCCGUGUGCCACCGACCAAGCAUUGUGCAUUUGUGAAAGGAGCGCCGCAUGACUAAAAGGUUUCGUAGUAUCAACUCGAAAUAGUGCGAGCCAACGUACGUCCUUGAUCAGAUCUUCCACUUCAUCAGAGAAAUCUAACUCUUCCUCCUCCCUUCCAUGCAACUUCAUCCACGCGAAAUUGGUCCUCUAGAUUAGGUUCGGGACCAAGGUACUCUCCAAACUCCUCAUCAUACCCAUCAGAUUGGUUCCGCACAUCCUGCGAGCUUCAGUCAAUAUCUUCUCUCCUCCUAUUCUCUUCCGCAUCCCCUUCUUUCUCCACUCCUGAUCCACUAGGCCUAUUCGUCGCCGCCAAGGCUACUGCCGCCGCCAUCCCUUCCUCCUUUCCACCUUGCUCAUGUCGUCUUGGUUCCGCCAUGCACAUGCGAGCGCGUGACGGGAGAGGGUAGAUCUCACUGGCGGCCGGAGAAAACCAGCCCUCCAGGGAGAUUUUACGUGGACUCUGACGCGAUCGCUGGAGGAUAGGUGGAACCCCAGAAAAACCCUAGGGGAGAUAUCUAGGUCGCCGCCAUGGCAUGGGCCCAACAUAACGAAUUACCGAAUCCAAAUGGUCCCAACAGACUCGAUCAACCACAGCGCUGUAAAUCCUGGGAGCUUAGAAACUGUAGUGAUACUGGGUCGCCUGCUGGAGUGUAUAGGCCGUACAUCGGGGAGUAGCGUCCAAUAGAGGGAAACAUGGAAAAAAGUCGCCGAAACGGGAAUGGCAGUGCUAGGGAUUAAACCAUGUACCUCUCGCAGCUGACCGCUCAUCGCUAGCCAGACGAGGUUAUAAGAUUCAGUGUCUAACUAGGAAACGCGGACCACAAGAACUAUCCCCCAGCGACCGAUUUAAUGUACCGAACUGGUCUUUUUCCCACUAUUCAUUAUUCUUUUUCUGUUUACUUUUUGUUUCUUUUUCAUUUUUCAUUUUAUGUUUUUUCAUUUUAAUUUCUUUUUUAUUUUUCAAAAAAUAUUCGUGCUUUUAUAGUUUUGUUCAAAAUUUUACAAAAAGUUCUGUUCACAAAUACAAAUAUCUGCAUUCUAAAAAUUGAACAGAAUGUUUGUGUCUUUCAAAAUUGCUCAGAAUGCUAAAACAUGAAAAAAGAAAACAAAUUAAUGGCAAAAGUUUGAAAACAAUUUUUUCAAAAUUAUUCUAUUUGUUUUUUUAAACAUUUUGUUUGAAUUUCCCCGAACAUUUCUUGAAUUUGUGUAGAAUUUUUUUGGAAACAGGAACAUUUAUGAAAUUUUGAACAUUUUGAAAGCCCAAUGAUUGCUUGAAACUCCCCAAACAUUUUCUAACUCGUGAACAAAUUUCUGAAUAUUUGAACACAAUUUGGAAACGUAGACAUUUUAAAAAAGUUGAACUAAAUUUGGAGAUGUGAUAUUUUUUGAUCUAUGAAUAAUUUUCUGAAACAGGAAAACUUCUAAAACCCUGAACAAAAUUUGAUGCCUCAAUUUAUUUGAGUAUUUACGAUCUGUUUUAAUUGUUAACAUUUCUUGAAUUUUUUGACACUGAUUAUAAACUAUGAACAAAAAAUGAAGCGAAGUAAAGUUUGAAUUCCUAAACAUUUUCUGAAUUGUUUGAACAAUGAUUAAUAAAUAUAAAAAAGGUUGAAAUUCUGAAGAAUUUUUUUAGAAAAUAUGAAUUUGUUUUGGAAAAAUGAACAAAACUUGAAAAACAUGAAUAUUUGAAAAUUCCAAAUGAGUUUUAAUUUUGAAAUUUUGGAAUUUAUGAAAAAUAGAAGCAAUAAACAGGAAAAAAGGAAAAAGUUAAAGAAAAUGAAGAAGGAAAGAAAAAGAAAUAGAGAAAGAGUAGGAGAGAAGAAAAAAGGAAAAAUCAUGGUUCAAGAACCUCCUAGAAAGUUCUCAGAACCAGAAAAAACAAGCUGAGAAGCUGAGAUUCUGAAAACCGGGAACGACUUUUAGGAACCUCCUUGAAGGUUCCCAAAACCGAAAAUAACUAGCUGGGAAGGUGAAAAGGCUGAUAAAUGGCGGAUGUGUCAUAACAUGCAUACGAUGUUGGAAGUCGUUGAAAUUGGCAUGGAUACCUACAAUGGGCAUUCCCACAUGGUGGCAAAAGUUGGGGUCAUCUCAAACAUGUCCAAAAGCCAUCAUGUUCAACGUUCGGUGUCCGGGUAGGCUAGAAGGUCCAUUCAAGGCGCCAUGCUAAGUUUCUUGGGUAUUUUACAUUUUUGGAGUUUUCUCGGUAAAAAAAAACAAUAAAUGUAUGGUAGGACAUGUUGCAACUUGCAUAUGGUGAUGUCAUUCAUAUCAGGGAUAGAUGCCUACCAUGGGCAUGCCCAACUGGUGCCAAAAGAAGGGGUCACCAAGGAUGUCCACAAAAAUACCAUGUUCAACCGAGGGUGUUCGGGUAGACCAAAAGGGUUCGUCUAAGACCAUGUUGUUUUCCGACACCCUUGAAAUGGCAACAAUUAUUUUUCCAUGGCCUUGUAUGACCAAUUCAAGGCACCAUGUCAAGUUGUUUUGUUUUUUGACAAAGUUUGUAUUUUCUCGAGUUUUCUUAGUCAAAAAGACUAAUAAAUGACCAAACAUGUCGCAAUUUGCAUAUGGUGUCAAAAUUCAUUCCAGCCAGGCAUGGAUGCCUUGCACGAGCAUGCUCGCAUGCUUGUAAAAGUUGUGGUCAUUUUACGGAUGUCAAAAAAAAGACCAUGUUCAACUCAGAGCGCUUGGCUAGGCCAGAAGGCUCUGUCUGAGAGCAUGUUAUUUUUUGGCAUGCGUGAAAUGGCCCCAAUUUUUCCAUGGCCUUAUAUGACCAAUUCAAGCCACCAUGCCAAGUGUAUUUGGUGUUCAACAAAAAAUUCAUUUUAUGGAGUUUUCUUGGUCAAAAAAAUCUGAUAAAUGGCCAGACGUGCCGCAACUUGCAUACAAUGUUUAAAGUCAUUCAACCCAAGCAUGGACCCUAACAUGGGUAUACCCACGUGCUUGCAAAAGUCUACCUGGGUGUUUUGGCAAAAUAUUGCCUAUAUGGCAUGACUCAACGGGCCUUGCGGCCUAGUCCGAUGCGAAUAGGACCAAAGUUGAACGAGCUACACACAUAUUGGACCCAAGUGUGAUUUUUCAAACUUCCCGGACCUAUUGGGCACACCUUGAAUACUUUUAGGACCGCCAAUGUAUUUUACUCUGUGAUAAAAUAAACCCUCGACCAAAGGCGCUAGAAUGAACUGGUGGAAGCUCAAGGGGGAGGGAGCUCAGGUGUUCAAGGAGAGGGUUAUUAAGGAGGGCCCUUGUGAGGAAUGAGGCGAUGCAAACAAUGUCUGGAUGAAGAUAGCUACUUGCAUUAAUAAGGUGGCCUCAAAGGAUUUUGGAGUGUCCAUGGGAAGUAAAAGAGAAGCUAAAUAUACCUGGUGGAGGAAUGAUGAUAUUCAGAAGGCUAUUAAGGAGAAGAAAGAUUGUUUUAGACGCCUCUAUCUAGAUAGGAGUGCAAACAACGUAGAGAAGUACAAGAUGGCAAAGAAGGCUGCAAAGAAAACUGUGAGUGAAGCAAGGAGUCGGGCGUAUGAGGACCUCUACCAGCGGUUAGAGACGAGGGAAGGCGAAAGGCACAUCUAUAAGAUGGCCAAGAUCCGAGAGAGGAAGACGAGGUAUGUUGAACAAGUAAAAUGCAUUAAGGACGGAGCAGACCUGCUCCUGGUGAAGGACGAGGAGAUUAAGCAUAGAUGGCAGGAGUACUUCGACAAGCUAUUCAAUGGGGGGAAUCACAUAUCUUCCAUUUAACUCGACGACUCCUUUGAUGACACCAGCAGACGUUUUGUGCGGUCAAUUCAGGAGUCGGAGGUCAAGGAGGCUUUAAAAAGGAUGAAAGGAGACAAGGCGAUGGGCACUAAUUGUAUCCCCAAUGAGGUAUGGAGAGUCCUUAGAUACAUAGCUAUAGUAUGGCUAACUAAGCUUUUCAACCUUAUUAUUUGGGUAAACAAGAUGCUAGAAGAAUAGAGACGAAGUAUAUUAAUACCAAUCUUCCAGAACAAGGGGGUGUUCAGAGUUGUCCUAAUUACCGUGGAAUUAAGCUGAUGAGCCAUACAUGAAACUACGAGAGAGAGUCAUUGAGCGCCAGUUAAGAACUAUGACAAGCAUGGACAAAAAUCAGUUUGGUUUCAUGCUUGGGAAGUCGACCAUGGAGGCCAUUUUCUUGGUACGACAACACAUGGAGAGAUAUAGAGAGCAAAAGAAGAACUUGCAUACGGUGUUCAUUGACUUUGAGAAGGCCUACGGCAAGAUACCGCGGAAUUUCAUGUGAUAGCCCUUGGAGAAACACAAAGUCCCAACCACGUACAUUACCCCCAUCAAGGACAUGUACGAUAAUAUUGUGACAAGUGUUCGAACAAGUGAUGGCAACACCGAUGGCUUCCCGAUUGAAAUAGGACUGCACCAAGGGUCAGCUUUGAGCCCUUAUCUUUUUUCUCUCAUGAUGGACGAGGUAACAAGGGAUAUACAAGGAGAUAUCUCAUGUUGUAUGGUCUUUGCGGAUGAUGUGGUGCUAGUUGAUGAUAGUCGGACGGGGGUCAAUAGGAUGUUAGAGCUAUGAAGACAAACCUUGGAAUCCAAUGGUUUUAGACUUAGUAGAAAUAAAAACGAGUACAUUAGGCAUGGUUUCAGUACUACUAGCCAUGAGGAGAAGGAGGAGGAGGUCAUCCUUGAUGGGAAGGUGGUGCCUCAGAAGGACACCUUUAGAUAUUUGGUGUCUAUGCUACAGAAGGAUGGGGAUAUUGAUGGAGAUGUGAAUCAUCAAAUCAAAGCCUCAUGGAUGAAGUGGCGCCAAGCUUCUGACAUUCUCUGUGACAAGAGAGUGCCACAAAAGCUAAAAGGCAAGUUCUAUAGGAUGAUGGUUCGACCUGCAAUGUUGUAUGGCGUUGAGUGUUGGCCUGCUAAAAGGUGACAUGUUCAACAGUAAGGUGUGGCAGAGAUGCGCCUUUUGAGAUGGAUGUAUGGACACACAAGCACUACUAGGGAAAAGGCUAGCAGCAGCGCGGGUUUUAGGUGUAUCAGUAGCGCGGGGAGUGGUGCUACUAAUAAGGCGCUACAGCUAACACAUAGCAGUGGCGCGUGCUCACUGGCGCUACUGCUACACAAGUGUAGCAGCAGCGUGGUUAGUGGAAGCUCGCUACUGCUAGUAGCUCUAGCGCGCUUUGCCUGGACGCGCUACUACUAUCGCGGCGCCGCUGCUAACUUUUAUACACUCGCUACUGCUAAUUUAAGUAGUUUUUUUGUUUUUUUCGGCAUAUUUGUUUUGUAUUUGAACAGGCUUUAUAGACGAAUCUUUAGCACAUAGAAAUUUUAUCAUGAUACACAUAUGAAUGCCUGCGAGACCACAAAUGUAAUCAUAGCAUAUACAUACAAAUAGUCUCAUCAUAAUCAUCAUCCAACACAAAGUGGUAUAUUGUCAUCAUCUCGAAAAUAGCGAUACAUGCAAGUCUCGAAUACUUGCAACUACAACAACGUCAUCCAUCUAAACAAAGGUAUACACAAGAAGAGCUAUCACUAUGAGUGAGAGCGGAACUAUGCAGUAUAUGAGGUGGCAGUUACGAGUCCUCUCUCGCGCUAGCGUGAACCUCAAGUAACUAGCUUCUCCUUCUUGUCAGCUUUUGAAGCCUUUAUGGCUGGCGCCCGUGAACCCAUUCACUUGCGCCUGACACUGAUGCCACUCGUUGUACACCCCCGGAACCUUCCCUUUGUACACGACAUAGCAAUUCCAUCUCGCCAUCAAGAAACUAGGUACCUGUUAGAGAUGCAUGUUCAUGAAGAGGAUGGACAAUCAUAUAUAUGCAACAAAAUAUACUAGAGCACACCGAAAAAGAAAGGGUUAGCAACUAGAUGCAACAUACAGUAUGCAAAUUAAUUAACUAGAGGUACGCAGGUCAUCGUACGCAAACUAACACAGUAGCGUUACGCAAGUUCGGCAGGGACUGUGGACAUCACAAAGUUUCAUCGCUACAAAAAGUAUACAAGUUCAACCGACACAUAUCAUCAUCAUCGGCAUCAUAAAAUCACUAGCAGUUCCGUCCUUCCAUAUCAUCGAGGAUGAACCCUAGCUUCUUAAACGACGUGAGGUCUAGACGUUGCAUGCCUAUGCAAGUUUGGACGUCAGCUCGCGAUAUAGGGCCGUGGUGGAACAUCCCCUUCUCAUCGACGACUUCUUUCAUGAUGAUCGUCGCAAUGUCGCUUUGGAUGCGAAAGAAGUCAUCUCUAAGUUUAUAAUCCGCUUCUCCAUGAGAUUCUAGCCACUUGUGGAUAUGAUCAUCAUUUCUUCUUCUCAUGCGAAGCUUUUGGUGAUCCGUGUUGAACUUAAUCAUGAGAUGGACGAUGUAGAAUCCAUCCUUCUUGCUUGGUUUUGGGACAUGGAUGCAGGAGAAGUUAGUUUUCUGCGUGAAACCCAUCUUCUUGUUCCUUUGUUUCCUGAUCUGCACGUGGCCACGUCUAAAGCUAAAGCCUUUGAGAGCAUCAUCUAGAAUAUUCAUUAUGUGGGUGUAGUCUUUUUCCUCGUAGUCUCUGGAAGGGUCAAAAUACACGGCGGGGGAGACUUGCGGGUAAAGAACGAUACGGACGGCACGCCCGUUGCUACGGGGAAAAGACACCUCAAAUUAUUCCCCAUAUGAGAGAGCAGGAAUGAUUGAAAUGUACGAAAGGGUUGUCCGGAACUGACUUACUUUGGAUUAUAAGGCACGAGGACAAUUUCCCGGUCCUUAUUCUGUACCAUGAAGUUUUGGAGGUACUCCCUAGCAGUUUCACGCUCAAAGUCGUCGAGACUCAAGAAAGACUUGUGCAUGUAGUACGGAUCCGCCACACAGAUUUGCGAGACUUCUUCACUCUUCAUGACGGAGCUCAUAUGUAGCGGAAAAAGUUGGACGAUUGUAAAAUCGAGUUGCCUUGUUAGAAACAUCUCAAAGAUAUGGUCAAACUGCAGGAAGAACACCUCCGUGGGCCGUGUCUCGAUGUAGCACUUCCCCUCAGGCACACGAGCCGUGUAUGUCGAAUAUCCUGGAACCUUUGAGGUAGUAGGCUUUUCUCAGUCGGCAGCACAUGGUCGUGCAGUCUCCUGAGAUCCCCUGAUAGUGCCUCCAGCGGUUUCAGCGGUAGCAUCGGCUCACCCGUGAGAUGGAACAUGACCGCACCUUUCACGGGUACAAGCUCUUCAGAAUGCAUCGUCUGGCUGCUAUGUGCUCUUGCUUGUUUGGAGGCAGUUAUCUUCCCCGAUCUCUUCCUCUCCUUUUUCUUGGGCACACCUUCUAGACCCUUCCUUAACCCCUGCCCCAGUGUUCCCGGGCUAAGUACUUUAUGACCCUCGCGCCCGGCUAGUUGAGGCUGUGUUGAGGCGGCUUCUUCAGGCGUGUCCUGUGAGGAUUUCAUGAAGAGAGACUUUUUGCAAUCCCUGCUAUGACCCUGCCCGGGCAUAUCAUCCAUAUCCUCAUUAGCAAGCUGAAUGCUCGAUUCGUCAUAUGGUUGACUCAUCAUAUCUAUGUCACAGUCAUACGCGUUUGUAUUGAGGAAAUCCAUAGGGUCGACCUCCGUCUCAUCAUCCAUUCUCUGUUCUACAGGAGAAAUUACAUCAGCCAGUACUAUUGCACCCCCUUCAUCAUGUCGUCCGCCACUCUCACCCGGCACUACAGGAGCUGGUAAUUGCGUAGGCGGGGUGGUGGUCUCCGCACAUGCUUGUUGACGUGUGGUUAUUGAUGUGCUCUCGGCCGGCUCCAUACGAAUAAGAUUCUUCGGCCAUACCAGCACCCAACCCUUGCAGGUUCCAAUCCACGGCGGGGUCUCGUCGUCCACUCCCACAUGCUAUACUGGAGGAGGCAAGUCCUCUUGCCCUGAUUUCACACUGGUCAAGCCAACCAUGAAGUGCCCAGCGGGGAUCGGCUGGUUGUGGAACAUGGGUUGCGAGGGGUCCAUUAUCAUCCCCUUUCCCACGUCCACCUUCUGGCCUUUGAUCAAGUAGAGUAUGGUGCACGGGGUUUCUUUCGCCUGCAGACACAUAUGUCUAUGGCGUAAAACAACUGAAAGGCAACAAAAAUGGAAUAUUAUAUAUAUAUAUAUAUAUAUAUAUAUAUAUAUGUAUGUUGGUGCGACAUGUAAUUACCGUGACGGCGUCGAGCUCAGCCAAAGACGAAGGCCCACCUAGCGCGCUUGAGACUGAGGACGGGCUGCUAUGAGCGGGAGCGGCUGCGAGAGGAGGCCCGGUUGCGUGAGCAAGUGAUGGUGCGAUGGUGUUGUUGUUCAUGGAGUUGCUCCCGACGAAACUGGGCAUCGGGAAAUCAUGUACCGUCUUGUCUAGAUUUUCCUUCGUCCAGUUGAUGAUAGCUGGAACCAAGUUAGUAGCGAAAUCAUUUCUGCAGGCAGCUACAGCUGCAUUGACUGCCUGCUGUAGCAACUCAUUUUUCUCCUCGGCUCUUUUUUCUGCGUCCUUAGCUUCUUUUUUCUCGACCGCAAGCUUCACCUUCGCGUCGAUGUCCGCCUGACUAAACUUCUUUUUCUACUUCUUGGCCUCCGGGCCCUCGUUGUAAAACACCUUCCAUGUGGCGCCGUCUCCAGCGCCGUGCACACGACCAUAUUGCGGCCGCUAGCCCAAAGGGAGUCCCUUAAGUUCGUUCAAGGCCCGGUUGAGAGGGGUGUCCCACUUGGGCCUCAUGGGAGAAGUAGGGCUUUCGACUGCAAGCUGGUGUUGCUUCUCCAGUAGUCUAAUCAAUUUCCUCGUGAUCUUGUCCAUGUAAAAAACUUUUUUCUCCUUGUCCCACUUGUAGAGGGCCCUGCUGAAGUCACGCUCCAAGGGGUUGGUGAACUUCGCGAAGGGGUCUGGGAGACCCGCGGCUUCACGUUCCGCGUCCUCCUUAUCCCAUACGGGCCUUUUACCGAGGUAGCCACGGCUUCCGAGGCGAUGCUUCCCCGUGUUCCUUUGCUAAAGGCUCUUGAUUUUUGCAGCCUUAGCCUUGGCUGCCUCGGUAGCGCAAGUGUCCUUGAACUUUUCGAACUCCUCUUCCGUAAGUGUCGUAUUUUCCUCCAGAAUCUUGGGCAGGGGUUCAUAAGCCUCAAUAGCUCGUUUCACCCUCCCUUUCCAGGAGGCCAAAGCAUUGCUGAACAUCCCCAUGGCGUGAUUGUUAAUCUUUUUCAUCUUCGGAUCAUCCCACGGUUGUUCUAUGUUAUCAUCCCGGUCGGGGAACUUGAAUCUCUUGUGGAACUUCGUUAGGAGCAAUUGCGUCAAAUGUUCUUUACUCCUUAAGUCAUCAUUGUUGAUGCUCGCGCAUUCUCGUAGGAUGCAUCCUACUUGGUUCCCAUAGCACUUGUGAGGUUCUUCCGGCUCUAACGGCUCUAACUUUCCAGGUGCCAUCUUUGUGAUCACAAGUCGUCCAAUCCCUAGUUUGUUAGGUUUUCGUAUCCUCUGCUUCUUAUGCUUCCUAUUUUCGGUAGCGGCAUCGGGGCCGAUACCUUCCCCGCUGGUAUCUUCCCCACCGUACCUUCCCCACCGGUCUCAGCGCCGCCAUCGGUGCCGGCGCCGUCGGUGUCGAUGUCGGCGUCAGUACCAUAAUCUAGGCCGACCUGCAAUCCUUGCUUAGCAGUCAAAUAGUCGAGGUACUCUUGUUCAUCCUCAUAAUCCAUCUCGUUUGCAUCUUGGUCAGAAGGCCCAGUUUCUUCGUUGUUCGACAUGUUUCCUAUGAUUAAGUGUCCUCAUGUUUUUCUACAAGUAUGAUCAAAUGAAAAAAGACAUAAAAAGAAAUCUAUGUGCCAGCACUCGAUAUGCCAACUAUGUAGCACAAAUCAUGCCUUUAUUCACGGGAAAUUUUGGCAUGACCUUUGCUAGAAAAUGGACAUAUCGAGCGCCUGAUAUUCACCGGAACGGAAAUGAAUCAACAUUCCGGCGUAACAUAGGCCACUCGGAUCAUUUUCCAAACAUGACAUGUCCAAAACAUGACAUAUCCACAUAUCACAUGUCCAGUUCAAAUUUGCAUAUAAAUUCAGCUAAUUUUGAAACCUAGAUAAAUUCAUAACUAAAUAGAUAACCUAAUUAACAUACUGUCCUAACUAAAACCUAAGUAAAUUAACCAAAGAACCCUAGCAGAGAGAGAGAGAGGGGGGGAUUACAGGNNNNNNNNNNNNNNNNNNNNNNNNNNNNNNNNNNNNNNNNNNNNNNNNNNNNNNNNNNNNNNNNNNNNNNNNNNNNNNNNNNNNNNNNNNNNNNNNNNNNNNNNNNNNNNNNNNNNNNNNNNNNNNNNNNNNNNNNNNNNNNNNNNNNNNNNNNNNNNNNNNNNNNNNNNNNNNNNNNNNNNNNNNNNNNNNNNNNNNNNNNNNNNNNNNNNNNNNNNNNNNNNNNNNNNNNNNNNNNNNNNNNNNNNNNNNNNNNNNNNNNNNNNNNNNNNNNNNNNNNNNNNNNNNNNNNNNNNNNNNNNNNNNNNNNNNNNNNNNNNNNNNNNNNNNNNNNNNNNNNNNNNNNNNNNNNNNNNNNNNNNNNNNNNNNNNNNNNNNNNNNNNNNNNNNNNNNNNNNNNNNNNNNNNNNNNNNNNNNNNNNNNNNNNNNNNNNNNNNNNNNNNNNNNNNNNNNNNNNNNNNNNNNNNNNNNNNNNNNNNNNNNNNNNNNNNNNNNNNNNNNNNNNNNNNNNNNNNNNNNNNNNNNNNNNNNNNNNNNNNNNNNNNNNNNNNNNNNNNNNNNNNNNNNNNNNNNNNNNNNNNNNNNNNNNNNNNNNNNNNNNNNNNNNNNNNNNNNNNNNNNNNNNNNNNNNNNNNCGGGGUCGGGGGCGAGGGACGGGUCGGGGGCGAGCGCCGGGGUCGGGGUCGGGGACGAGCGCCGGGGUCGGGGGAGAGCGCCGGCGCCGGGGUCGGGGGCGAGCGACGGGGGAAGAGAGAGUGGGGAUUUGGGGGGAAAAGGCGGGAUGAAGCAGGGAUAGUGAGAAUUUUGGGUUAAGUGGACGUAGCAGCAGCGCGUUUGGACAAAACGCGCUGCUACUACCUUCAGUAGCUGUAGCGGUUUGUACAAAAUGCGCUACUACUACCUUCAGUAGCUGUAGCGGUUUAUAUGAAAUGCGCUACUACUACUGCCAGUUUUCCUUUUUCUUUUCCUUUAUUUUCUCCCACUUUUAUUUCCCGAGAGCAGUGAACGAAGGGAGGGCGAUAUAUAUUGCAUCAUUUGACGGUUAAAUAUGUAUGCAAAAUAGGAACAUCUAUAUUACAUCAUUGGACCCAUGCAUAAUAAUGGCUAAGUGUGUAUACAAAAUAGGAACAUAUAUAUAUAUAUAUAUAUAUAUAUAUAUAUAUAUAUAUAUAUAUAUAUUACAUCAUUUGGCCGAUAACAUACGGUUCCUCAGUGCUGACGUUUUCCUUUUUGAGUCAGCUUCUUUCCCUUCUUGUUCAUCGAAGAAUAGUUGAGCCCCUCAUUGUGACUUUGCCUUUUCCAUGGAGUACGAUUUUUCUUAGGUGAUAUAGUAUUGAUUCUUCUUUUGAUGUAUACUUCAUCAUCAUCAUCAUCUUCCCUCAUUGGGUUGCCGUACUGAUCAUAGUCUUCCUUGUUGGCAACUCCAUCCAUUCCAAUGAUGUUCCUUUUGCCUCUCCUCACGACAACACGACUGGGAUUGCAUGGGUCGGUUAUGAAGAAGCAUUGUGUCACGUGCUUAGCGUGUACCCAUGGCUCGUUUUAUGCGAUAGCGUUCACGGUAGCGCUCUUGGCGUCGGGUAUACUCAUGGUAGUGAAAAUCCGGUUUUCCCUUUCGACAUUCUUUGCCCAUCUAACACGGAACAUCGUCGUGUUGUGCAGUCCAGAGUAGUCAAGCUCCCAGAUCUCCUCGACGCUUCCAUAAAAUAGUUCAGUUGCGCCGUUGUCGCUGCCGGUCAUGCAUUCCAUCGUCACCGCUGAGUUCUGAUCAUCAUUGUCCAUAUCUUUGGCCUCCGUGUAGAACGUGUAUCCGUUGAUAUCAUAUGCAUGAUAGGUUAUGAGGUUGGGCAAGGGGCCAUGUUCCAAGGCGUAUAUGAGCAAUCCGUCCUUAGAGCCCUCCUCCGGGGGAUUAGCAAUAAUAUGCUCUUUGAACCAAUGCAGGAAAGUGGAGUUGUGCUCUCUAGUAACUUCGGCGUUCAUCCUGCAUACCCCCCGGUCACGAUACUUCUUUGCGAUAAUUUCUUUGUGCAGUGAUAUGAAAGGAUCUACCUCGUCUAGGUGUUGUAGCACUACCAAGUUUGCUCUGUCAAAGUCGCUGCAUCUAUCUAAGUAUGCCACGUGCAGUUGACUGCGACCGUUGCAGUGACCAUCUCCUUCGAGCUUCCCAUCGUGCUUCUUAACGGGCAAACCAACACUAACACUAGGCGGCUGGUCUGCACCAUAUAGAAAAUUCUCACAGAAAGAGAUGCACUCUUGUGUCAAAUAGCCUGGACGAUGCUUCCAUCCGGACGGGACAUGUUACGAACGAAUCCUUUGAUGAUCCCAUUCAUCCUCUCAAACGGCAUCAUGUUGUGCAGGAAUGACGGCCCCAAGUCUAUUAUGUCAUCCACAACAUGGACACACAGAUGCAGCAUCACGUCAAAGAACGCGGGCGGGAAGUACAUCUCAAGCUCAUUCAGUAUCACAACGAUCUCUUCCUGUAGCCUUCGGAGCUGCUUCACACUGAUCGACUUUCGAGAGAUGAUGUCGAAAAAGUUGUAGAGACCAAUAAGCGUGUCAUGGACGUGCUUGACCAUUAUCCCUCUAAGGGCAACAGGUAGUAUCUGUGUCAUCAUCACAUGACAGUCAUGAGACUUCAUCCCGCUGAACCUUUUCUUGUCCGUGUCUAGAUAUCUGCUUAUCUUGCCACAGUAAUCGGAACUAACUUUGACUCCGGUAAGGCACUUAAAGAAUUGACCGAGUCCAGAAUGAGGAUAUACGAGAUAGAGUUGGGGUAGUGCCGAUUGAAUAGAAGAUUGUCCAACAUCGACUGAGAUGGUUUGGGCAUAUUCAGCGCAGGCCUCCAGACGCGCCAUUGGAUAGCGGACGGCUAAAGUGUGCCGAUAAUGUCAAGAGAGGUUCCGGUAGACCGAACAUGACAUGGAGGAGUCCGUAAAGAGGCAUUUGAAGGACAGGAGUAUCGACAGAGAACUAGCCAUGGACAGGGGUGCGUGGAAGCUUACUAUCCAUGUGCCAGAACCAUGAGUUGCUUGCGAGGUCUUAUGGGUUUCACCUCUAGUCUACCCCAACUUGUUUGGGACUAAAGGCUUUGUUGUUGUUGUUGUUGUUGUUGUUGUUGUUGUUGUUGUUGUUGUUGUUGUUGUUGUUGUAAUAAAAUAAGCCCUCGAAUAAAGGCAGGCCGUCCAUCUAUUUAUGAUCGAAAAUCCACAUAUCUUGGUAGAAAAAAACAGUAAUAACAAAAAUCCAUACAUGGUGGUGGAUCAUUUAUUAGCAAAAAGUUCAGAAAAAACAUUUGAAAAAUAUCCAAAUUCAGAAGUACCAAAACAAAGACAAGUCCUACUAGUAUCCUUUCACAAAACACAUUAAAUGGAAAUCUUCUAGAUACAACAAGAUACAAUUCAUUAGACGACUUGUAUGUAAAUAUUUAUUUAAUGCUCAUGAUAUGGCUUAAGAUAUCAUGCAAUAAGAGUGCCUCGAAGAUCUGAAAAAUGAGACGUCCAAGCAUCUAUAAAUGUAGGGUCUAUCCCAAACUCCACUCUUCAGUAUUCACAUCUUUGUGAAAUGGCUCUAAGAAGGAGCACCAUGCUGAUUACUCUUCUCCUUGUUUUGCUCGCCUUUUCAGGUAUGAGAAGUCCAAUCAUCCGUCUAUGUCAUAUAUAUACUUCAUCUUGACACGAUUAAUAUAUCCAAUAUACGUCUAACACCAAGUUGGUUGGUAAAUACGUACCAGAGUGCCCAGAGAAAGACUAUUAAUCACUAGUUUGCGCUUUUUGUCCUCUUUUUUUCUGUAUUUAACUUGCUAAUUUCGUGUUUGGUAUGAACAACAGGCCCAAUCAAAGGAGAAGAUGACUUGGGCGGAGGCGAUGACAGUGACUUGGCCCCUCCUCCUCAUCCAGGGAGCAGUCAUAUGGCUCCUCCACCUCCCCCAUCUCCAAAGAGCCAUCCACCUCCAUCUCCAAACACUGAUUUGGCUCCUCCUCCACCACCUCCAUCUCCAACGAGCAAUCCACCUCAACCGACACAGCCGCCUCCAGGACCGUGUGUGGA
RNAcentral lists this long non-coding RNA (159541 nucleotides) under Triticum aestivum (bread wheat). Its description in RNAcentral is "long non-coding RNA (TAES_LNC017127)". The stretch from base 90143 to 90277 matches the Rfam family "MIR1120/MIR1122 microRNA precursor family". The record is from RNAcentral. Lineage: Eukaryota; Viridiplantae; Streptophyta; Magnoliopsida; Poales; Poaceae.